AGCGCGUCGUCGGCGGGAGCCUUGGUGCUCGGUUCCUCACCCUCCGUGCCUCUGUUCAUUACCUCGCCGCCGCCGUCAGGCCGGCCGGGACCGGGACGAUGAACAAGCCGAGGAGUGGGAGUGGCCAACAGGGGAAGCGCAGGGUAGGAGGAGGAGGCGGCGGCGGACUCGGCGGGGCGCUGAGGAAGCAGAUGGCCAGGCUCUGCAUCAUCCGGGAGUGCGUCAUCAUGCUCCUCUUCUACCAUGACUGAUCCAGUCCCAUCCACUGAUGCCCUUUGCGGUUCUUCCUGGCCAUUGACUACCUUUUUCUUUCUUUUUUUUCUUUUUUUUUUCCCCCUCGUUCAUUGAUCAUAUCCCUUGAUGUGCCUCAUGUAUGUACAUAUAGGGUGGUUGUUCUUGUUCACAUCUGUAUCUCCAUCAUCUUUUAACACUUGUUUGUGGUGUGUUGUUGAUUUUACUCCUAAGUCCGACAAUGGCAAGGAUGUACCGCGAAAUGUUGGCAUGUAUGUAUCCUUUUUGUUCAUUUGCUCAGCUUUAUAAGAAAUGCGAAAACAGAAGAAAAAAAUUGCCUGUGUUCUAUCUUUUGGCCUACUUGUUCUGUUCAUUCAUGCAGCUGUUCCGAGUCAUCCAGCGCAUUUCCACGUUAGAAGCCAUUGAGCGCAUGAUGUCUAACCAACGAUUUUCGUAGACCAGAGAAGGCCAUUGUAUACACUCAUACGCCUUCUUAAUAAUGAAAUAACACGCAGUUCUCCUGCUUAAUUCAAAAAAUACUAGUCCGUACGUAGCUCUGAAGCUACCGUGAACAACUUCAGAAAUGGCAACUCUGCGUGCUCUGCUCUGAAAAAUGGCAGCAACGCAACUCCAGGUUUUCGUCUAGGGCAAGUUUAUUCUUUUCUCGUACAUUAAUUGAGAGCAAAUGCAGCUACUGUAUAUCAGCAGUCAACUCUUCAUUAGCUGAUAUCUGCAUAAGAAGCUCUGAAAAAUGGCAUGGUAAACUGAAUAUUUUGGUGAUGUCUGGCAACGGCAUUGUGACAUUGUCUGUGAUGCUUCUCAGCUUUCAGGUGUUACUGCUUCUCUUUUUCAACUUGUAAUGAGCAUGCGGAUCCUAAUUUUGUUUCUUAAAAAAAGAACAGAUCCCUCACAAGUUAGUAAUAAAUACUAGAUGACCAAGUAGGCAGUUGAGCAUGGUAACAAGCUAACAAUACCACUGAAUAUUUGUCCAAGAAGCAUACAUAUGUGGAAACUUAAAGUACGAAAAACAUGAACUAAGAAAAUCUACGCAACAGUUCAGUAAGAGGUUAAUAGCGCAGCUAGUUACAGUGAGCAACAAGCGCUGGACUACGGAUGAAAUAUUAAGGGUAUGUUUGGAACGCAUAAAUUUUGCAGAAAUUGUGCAUUACGUUCACAGGAACCAGUUUAAUUUCACAAAAAAAUACAGAAAAAGAAAAAAAAUCUGCAUUCCAAAUAGGCCCUGAAAUGGUCUUUUCAACUUUUUUUUUUUGACAAGAGUCUUUACAACGGUUGAGAUCCUGCAGCGGCUAUUGCAACCACACUGGAUCCCGGUCCAAGUGAGAAGCUUCAGGGAUGAAGCUGCAAUAAAUUUGGUCAAAUGACGCUCUCCUUCCCAACAGAAGAAUGUACACAUGUCAUGCUCUAGUAUGGCCAUCAAAGUAAAAUAUGUACUCCCUGUCCACGAAAGAAUCAAUUCCUAAGAUCCGUGCCAGUCAAACUUUUUAAAGUUUGACUAACUUUAUGAAAAGAGUAACAACAUCUAUAAUAUAAAAUGCACAUUAUAUGAAAAUAUAUUCUAUGAUGAAUCUAAUAAUACUAAUUUGAUACUAUAAAUCUUAGCAUUUUUUUCUACAAAUUUGGUCAAAGUUUAAAAGUUUGACUUAGGACAACCCUAGAAAUUGACUCUUUCGUGGACGGAGGGAGUAUCAGUUAGUUGGGCAUCUCCUUGAUGCUUCAACCUGAAAUGAGCCAGCACGAAGCUACAAUUAGUUUAGCCCAGAGAUAACUUAGAUUAGUACAAACUGGCUCGGUUCCAAACACGGUGUUCGUUUUUAAUUACCUAGGGUCGGCAAGACCAGCAGAAUUCUCGCCAUCAGACAGAGAGAGCUCAGGGUGGAGAGGCGUAUACGACAACCACAUGGACAUGGUGUACUGACUGGCUUGAGGAAUCAUGACCAACCGUCCAAGUUCAGAGUUCAGAACUUCAGACAGCCAUUGCUGUAAAAAAUACAAAUACAACACAUAACAGCUUACUUACUCUCCAUUUUUUUUCUUGUUGUACUUGGACCAGUAGCUUGGAUGCUUUGGCUGUUUCUGCUUAGCAUGAGGGUUAGUUUAACUGACGAGGUUAGGAACUAUGAAGUGGUGUAGGAGUGAUGAUGAUGUGAUUGAUAUGGGCAUGUGAGAGGUGACUAAUUUGUGAGAUAGAGAUAUGGUGAGGACGAUUGGAUCCCACGCAAAGGCUAGCUAGGCAUUGCUCUGCGAUUCUGCAUUGCUCACGUUUUUACAGUACUGAAGUGGCUGUCACAGACUCAGAUCAUAGUACCUGCAGUGGUUCAGUGUGUGUAUAUAUAAGCGGCUGUUGAAAGUCAAAUGCUUGAAAAUGCCAUCACCGUUGCGAUCGCACAACUUCAGCCAUGAGAAUACCUGGAGCUGUUGGAAUGGAAGCGGCGCAUGCAGUGAAAUCGGUAUUGGUCAGCCUACUCCAAACUCCAAGAGCCAGAUAGGCAUUGUUUGACGCUGCAAGUUGGCAUGGAAGGGAUAUCAAAGUGUUUGGUCGGUUGUGCCCGUGGUUCCUGAGCUUGAGCUUAGUUUUUUUAACUGACGAGUCAGACUGACUCUUUAGAACUUGCAUGCAUCAACAUCUAGCGCCAAAGUUAUCGCUUCAUUGCAGGCCAUUGCUUCCAAAGAUGGUGGAUCCAUAUGGGUGGAUAUGGGCCUGCGGCAACUGAGGCCAUGGCCUUAGGUGUGGCCCAAAAUAUCUCUUAUACCAUAUGUAAAUUUCUGGCCUAGUUUAAAGUAAUUCUAGGCAUUGGGCUAAAUUCAACAGGCCCAAGCAGAGAGAGAGAGAGAGAGAGAGGAGAGAGUAAUCUGAGUCCUGACUCCGGGCAUCGUCGCAACCCUCACUCCGCAUCUCAUGUCGUGCCGCAAAUCCCCACUCCAGCGCUCUGCCUCUCCUCAUGCCGCUCGUCAACCCACUAGACAACAAUUAUAUUGGCGGGCAACUCAGGGUCACAACCCCUGCUGGCUGCCGCUAGUCACUAGUCACUAGAAGAUGUCCACCUAACCGUCGGAGACGCACUGUGCGUCGGCCGCAUGCAGCCCGCAGGAGCACGUAUGCGUGUGGGAUUGUGGGCAGAGCACCAGGCUGCCAGCCGCAAGUGCAUGAGCACUGACUGCUCAUACGGUCACUUAUCGGCCGUGUGGUAAAUUCCGGUUCUUAGAACCAAUUCUUGGCUUCUCCUCUCUCUAAAAAUUCCAUCAAUGAAAUGUUGAUUUUUUAGAGUUGCACAAUAAAAAGGAUAAUACAUUAAAUUUCUUUUUUACUCUUGUUCCUAAGCCAAACUAUCAUCUGAGAUAAAAAGAAAGAUUUAAGCAUGUAAUUGAAUAUCAGCUAAACUUUUUUUACGAGACUCAGUUAUAGACGCAGAUGCUCAAGAAUUGAGUUGGACCAACAAAUCUCGAGAUUGACGAAAUCACCACAGACGUUUCGCUGUCGACGGACACGCCAUCUACUACUAAAAGCAUAGCGUUGUAAAAUCCUAGAAUAAAUCUAGAAAAAUACGAGAAUCCGUGUCAAGUCGGGGACUUGAAUCCGGGUGGUUAGGUUCCACCACAAGGAACCAACCAUCUAAUCUUGAUCAUGAUCAGUUCAUAAUAUCAGCUAAACUUAUGCAUUUAAUUGUGAGCUAUUUUGAUCUGGUGUGGUGACUAGAAGUAUACAUGGUUUCCUAGUGGCCCUAGACGUAGAAAUUGACGAGCUCUAUCACUAGGUGGAUCAAUAAGCCUAUUAAUUAAUUAAUGUCAUUAGUACUAGCAUCAUUGUAGUUCCCUACAAUGUCCUUACAUAAUGAUCACUUCAAGAAGGAGGAUUUUUUCGCGCGUUGCCACGGAUAUAAAGGAAAAAUAUAAAUAUUGCCUCAUUGUAGUCUAUGAGUCAUCUAUAUAUAGCUUGAUUAUUAUAAUGGUCAGUUUCCAAAGAGAAAAAUACGAACACCCAUGGCAAGACACAAACACAAGGGGAUGGUAGUGGGGAUGUGGAGAAUGUAGAGUUGAUGCUUUGGUUAGUGUGAUAGAAGGCUAGUUAUGUUGAGAGGAUGGCAUCAUGUCUCUUUUUUACAAAAUAAUAGCAUACAGAUAAAUAAUGUGAAUGCUCUCUAUUGCGUGUUUUUUAUUUUUUAAAGUCCAUCCUACUAAUUAAUGUUAUAAUGUGAAAAUGCAUCUUAAUUGCUUUUCGCUCCGAACAAUGUCAGAGUUGCAUGCAAAUUAAAGGAAGUCCGUUUAAUAAAUAAAUCAAUCCAGAUUAAUAUUCGUAGUUUUAAAAAAGGGACUACUCGACUAUAUAUGGAAGGACAAGACUGGAAGUUAAUUUACUCGAGACCAAACGAUUAGUCGCGUACAGUGUUUGACAUGUUUGUCCCGUCACAAUGGUAGUAAGAAAAAAAAAAGUACAGCAGUACAGGUCGUGGAGGUCAUGUUGAAUCGGAUCGGAUAUAGGAGUACUACAUGUGUAGCCGUGGAAAUCUUAACAACUCGGGUGGAAUGGACGAGACGAACAGAGAAACUUACGACGACGAAUCUCCAAAGGAACUCGCUGCACUCGGUUUCCAAAUGGCCUUUGGGAAUAAAGUCGAUCCAUCAGCUAUAUAUAAAGAAAUUAAUCAAGAAGGAUGAAUUUACGAUGAACCUACCAGAGGUAUUUUACGGACAUUCACGUAAUGAAAGAAAUAGAUUAAUUAACAACUGAUAUGUAAGAAAGAGGAUAUAUUAUUCUGGAGAAAAGGAAAGUUCAAACAGGCAAUCAGUAUGUAGGAAAACUAUACUACAGUUGUAAAAAAAAAAAUCUUAGUUAGAAAUCGCGUGCUGCCGUGCUGGGAAUAUACGAUGAAGCAUUGUGCUAAUAGAUUGUGCUGGGAAAUAUUCUAAUCUUGGAGGAAGAUAGCAGAUGGUGGGAACAGGAACACGGGUAGUUCGCCGUGGGAACAGGAACAGCGAGUCCCCCCGUCGCCUUGGGAAACCAAAUUUCCACUGUAGUAACUAAUCUCACCGCAUCUCUGACCGGAACGCCGGAACCCCCGCUGUCUCCGAAAUCCAUCCAUGCAUGCAUGCAUGCAUCGCUAAUCUCAACAACCCGUGCAAUUACUCCUCGGAAGUCGGAACGACGAAGGUCGUACAUAGUCGCGUUCGCGUCCGGCGGUCCGGGCCCUUAAAACCCUGCACCCCAUUCGCUCUUAUCCUACACUUGCCAUCAUCGUUCAGGCCGCGCGCGGUCUAGGUCUAGCCCUUUAUACACCUGCUGCUAAGUGAGAGGCAGCGAGCGGAGCGUGGAUGCAUGGCGGACAACAAGCCGGGCUGCUACACGCUGGUGUCCGGCGAUGGCGGUCGGGCGUCGUCGGGGCGGCUGAUCAGGCGGAGGAUCGCCGACGAUGAGGGCAGCGGCGGCUUCCUCGACCUGUCGCUCGGUUCCAUCUACAACAACAGACCGUCGUCCGCGGUGGCCGACGACGACGUCUUCUCGCCGGUGGAGCGCGCGCUGUUGCCCGCGGCGGCGCUGUUGGAUGCGUCGGGCGUGGCGUCUGUAGUCGCCGCCGCCGCCGCCACGGCGGCCUACGCGCCGCCUGCGCCUGCUAGUCGCGCUUCGCCGUUCGCGCUGGGACUUGCUGCUGCCUCGGCGGUGCCCGGCGACGGCAAUGGCCACGGCGCCCCUGUCUUUUUCCUUGCUGCCAAUGCUGCAGCGACGAAUCAGGGUCGUCAGGUGGCGCCUGCGCUCACGACGCCGUCUGUGUCGUCGUUUCAGCCGCUGUUUGCCCGCGGUGGCAUCGGCGACAAUGGCAACAACCCUUCCGCAGCAGUGCCGGCGCCGGCGCGGGCUAGUGACAGUGCCACGACCCCGCCGCCGGCACCUCGAUCCAAAGGAGUUGUGGCGUUGUUUGCUGCAUCUCCCCCCUCGUCCGCGCAACCGGCGGCUCCCAUAAAAAAAGCCCCACAUGGGCGACGUGACAACACCACCACCGGCCGCCGUCGUCGUCGCCGCAGUGGUGCAGCCGGUGAUGACGCAGACGAUGAUGCUGACGCCGCACCGACCAACGGCGACGAGAACGCGCCGCCGCCGUUCCCAUGGGCGACCAAGACUGCGGGCACGCACCCGACGCUCGCCGAGCUCAUCGAGCGAGGGAUCGCCUCGGUUCAGGGCGAGGUCCGCUGCAAGCGCUGCGACGCCGGCAAGACGAUCUCGUACGAGAUCAGGGCCAAGUUCGAAGAGCUGUCCGGUUUCAUCAUCCGCAACGUGGAGGCCAUGCACGACCGUGCGCCGCCGGAGUGGAUGUGCCCGGCGCUGCCGGACUGCGACAAGUGCGGGCAGAAGAAUAGCCUGCGCCCCGUGAUCGCCGCCGAGAAAUGGAGGAUCAACUGGAUGUUCCUGCUGCUCGGCCAGACGCUGGGGCUGUGCACCCUAGAGCAGCUGAAGCACUUCUGUGCCCGCACCAGGCAGCACCGCACCGGCGCCAAGGACAGAGUCCUCUACUCCACCUACAUGGAGCUCUGCAACCAGCUGUGCCCCGGUGGGCCGUUCGACAUGGCGUCCGAGAGGAAGAACAGGACUCGUCCAUUUGCUUAAGUUGAUUCCCCAUAUUUGCUUAAGUUUGUUCCCAUAUUUGCUGAAGUUAAUUAGUUCCCAUAUAUAUAGAUAUUAUGCAUGCAUAUGCAAGCUUAAGUUAAUUUAGUUCCCAUAUAGAUAUGCGUAUGCAAGCUUAUUGUAAAUAUGUAUUCAGCUCCUCACAUUUAUCAUCUUUUGUUUUCUUGUUUAGUUGUAUUGUUUCCUUAUUUCAUCAAAAGCACAAAGUUAACAUCCGGUGUCCAAACAUUGUUUGCAUUUAGACACAACGUUUGAACAUUCGUUAGUUAUAUUAAAAAAAGACAGUGCAAACAUUAAAUAGUACGACUAUACUUCAUGCUUAAAGACCUUUUUUUUGUUAAUAUAAUAAUAGAACAAGUCACAAUAACAACUACUAAAUGAUUGUACAAUGGUAGUCUAAAAAGCGGCCUUGUUUGAACACACCAAGCGAUCAACUCCAUGGUGUUUUCGGAGAUUUGCUUCGAAUAACGAAAUGUCCAAUCACCACAAACACGCUUGGGCCUUGGCCCAUUAUAGGCCCAUGGGCAAUCGGUCCGCCACUCCGCCUGGUAUUCUUUCGGUCAAUGGCGACCUUUGGUUUGUUUGGCUCGGACUCCUGGAACCGCGUGCUAUAACAGCAACCAAACGGCGGCGAUGCGGCUUUUCUCCGGCGUCCUCGAUUCUUCUUCCGCGUUUGCCUCCGCCGUCCUGGGCUCCGUGUCCGACCGCCUCGGAUUCUCGCGCGUAUUUUUCGGUCGAGCGAGCCCAUCCAGCAUGCCGGCUCUCGCUUGUGAAGCCGCGGCCUCGUCUUCUGCGGCAGCCGGUGCCGACCCCUGUGCCGGCGCCCAGAAACCAUGGCUCUUCGUCGGUCUGGGGAACCCCGGGCGGAUGUACAAAGGCACUCGGCACAACGUAAGUUCGCGAGCUCUCUCUCUCUCCAAUUGCCCGUCCGUCACGUCUCGGGUAGGAUAAAUCUAGGCAUCUAGCUAAGACGACGAUAGCUGCGAGGGCGACAUCCUCGUCGGUGGCUCCACUUACUGUUUGGGGGCAAAAGGAAAUUCGAUAUAGACUAGAUGUUUUUUACUUCGAUAUGUGGAUGGGCUGUCUGUCGAUCAUAGUGGAUUCAGUGGGUUAAGCUGAUGCAGGAGUGGGGAAUAAGGUUGCGUUUGGUUGAGAUAUUCUAGGUGGGCAUGCUCGAUUGAUGACUGUGGUGCUAAAAUUUUAUUUGCAUCAACUCAUCAAGUAAUUCUACAUGCACAUGUUUCCAUCACAAUUACCUUGGCAUUAAGAAUUGAAAAUUCUUCAUGGGGUCUAUCACCUUUUCCAUAUAGUGUGGUUAUGUGCAAUCCCUUUUAAUUCUCUAACGCAGAUAAUUUGUCUUUUUUUUUCUUUCUGGCUGCUGGCAAUGGAAAUUAUCCCCUUUUAGGCUUCUUUCUUGCUGCGGAUAGCAUGUGUCCUGCAUUGAAUCCCCUUUUCUUGUCAUAUUAUUGGAGGAAUUAUGUUGUGUUAGGUGUUAUAUUAUAGAGAUCAUAACCUUGUCGUAAUUAAACAAGUUAUAAGCAUGAAUAGAAUUUCUGAAAUGUAAAUCUUGGUUCAAAAUACAAUUUUGCAUUCACAGAACUAUAACUUCAACUAGAAGAACCAAGAUAGCAUGUUUAUGAGUAAGUUGGGAAGGGCUACCACUUUUUGACGGUUGAAUCUUAUCUUCCAGGCUAGUUCAACUAAAGCUGUUCUUAUUAUAUUUAGUUGUUUCAUACUAUUUCACAGAAAGUUUUGGCAUUUAGGCAUCUCGAGCUUUGCUUAAUUUGUAAAUUGGUUGCCUUGAGCACAUUGGAGCUUCCAUUUAAUUCUUUAUAAUCUGUGUGUAUGUCUUCUAGUGAUUUUAAGUAUGCAUUGGUUUACGAUUCAAACAUAGACAUAAUGUAGCAUUAUUCUAUGGAAAAACUGGAUCUUUAAUUAUGUUAUAGGAUUUAAACUAGUGCUUCAGUAGAGCAUGCUGUGAAUUCAGUAGUAAAUAAUUGUAAGAUCCAGAAUCAUGUUUGGAUCACAGGUUGGCUUUGAGAUGAUUGAUGCUAUUGCAGAAGCUGAGGGCAUUUCAGUCAGCAGUAAGCAAUUUAAGGCGAUUGUUGGAAAAGGUAAUUAAUUUUACUGAUACACAGGUGUGUACCACUGAGUGAUCAACUUCCACCUUCUUUUUUUUGAGGGAAGCGAUCAACUUCCACCUAGCUAAGCAUUUUAUGUUGCCGUCAUAUAGUGAUCAAUUUAGUGUUGCAGUUUCUUUUGCGUGUUGAGAAAUUUGCUGGUACUACAAGUACUUGGCACCCCUUGUCGUGUAUAUUUCAACUCUUACUCUCUAGCAUAGUUGACUCCCUUGUCCCCUAUUUCUGGCUCUGUCCUUGACUGGCCGAAAUGCUGUAAUAUCUGAUAUUUUGUUUUUCUCCUUCCUUUUCUUCUUGCUAGCUAAUUUAAUCAGUUAAUUAUUUGUCAUUUCUCUUGUGUGAUUUGUGCAGAAUGAAGUAAGACUUCAUAUCUCUUGAGUUUUAGCAUUGGUCUUUCUAAGUUUUUUCUUACUUUCAUGUGAACUCCUCUGUUAAACAGUACAAUUAAGUGCUGUUUUUAAGCUUUUGAGCAUUAUCUAAGGUAGUGAGUGCUUCCAGCGGUCAAACAGAUGAAUAUGAGCCCAUUUAUCUGAAUUUUCUGUUUUCUCUGUUCUUGAUCAUACACUUACUGUUUGCACCUUCUGAGUUAAUGCUGUGUAAUAAGUAUCUACUAGCAAGUUCGUUUGGAAUUUUCAAUCAUCUGCAAACAAAGAAAACCUAUUAAUUUGCAAUUUAUGAUUAUAUAUAUCUAUCUAAUGUAAUUAAAACAGACAUUUAUGUUUUUGAAAAUAUAAUGAUUCACUCUAAUUUAGGCCUCAUUGGUGAUGUCCCUGUAAUGCUUGCCAAGCCACAGACUUUUAUGAAUGCAAGUGGUGAGUCUGUAAGUGAAAUUACUCUACUGCAGCUUUAAAUCAGUUGUUCUUUCUAGUCCUUUUCUCCUUACUGCUAUUUGACUAUUUGUGUAGGUGGGACAGUUGGUUUCAUACUUCAAGAUACCACUCAAUCAAUUAGUUGUGGUAAAUGUUGUCCUUGAGCUGGCACUUUGUCAUGUUAUGAGAAUCUUGUCACAUAAAUUGUCUCCUGUUCUUUAUAGAUCUAUGAUGAUCUUGAUCUACCCUUUGCGAAAUUGCGUCUGCUACCAAAGGGGGGACAUGGUGGACACAAUGGGUAUUCAUUUCUUUUCUAGAACCCUUCUUCCCCUUGUACUACAUGGCUAAAUUGAAAGGGACUUGAGUGAAUGCUUCAAUAAAAAUAAAUAAAUAUAUAGCACUUGCUUUAUAAAUUGAUUUUUACUCACAAGCCUUCCCUCCACUAUGAGGCAACUGUUACGUUUCUUUUUCUUCAAAUGGAACUUGGAACAUAAAUCCUUGUGAACCCUCUGUUUUCUUUAAUAGUUUCCAAACAUGAUAAUGUAGUUCUAUCAAAACUGUCAUUCUUUGUUUCGCUUACCCAUUUGUACAAAUUGCAGGAUGAGGAGUAUUAUUGACCAUUUGAAACAAAGCCGCAAUUUCGCGCGUCUAAGGAUUGGUACGGCAAAUAUUUAUUUUUGUAUUCAUCAGGGGUUAAGUCCAAAAUAGGAUUCUCCAAAAAAAAAAUGUUGUGCAGGCAUUGGACGGCCACCUGAGGAGCAGGGUGCUAUCAGUUUUGUUCUACAGUCAUUCACUGUUCAAGAAAAGGAAGAGGUUUGCGCUAGACUAAACUAUGCACGCAAAUUUGCUUGAGCACUAUUCCUAUAUGUUUUUCUUAAGCAGAUCAUGGUAUCAUAAAAUCUUGAGAACUAUUCCUACAAGCAGAAUAUCGUUAACUCUUCUCACCAAUUUCUGCAGCUUGAAGUCGUGUUCCAAAGAGGCUUGCAAGCAGUAAGAAUUAUGGUACAGGAAGGAUUCAACAAGAGCGCACAAUUUGUGAACACUCCACCCCCAGCAGAAAUGUUGAAUAGAUGAAAACCAAACGACACGGAUUAUUAGGUUUGCUUAGAUGUUAACACAAGGGCCAUUGCCGGCAAGAUAUAAUGUACCCUAAUUGAUCUGUAGAGGUUGUAAUUUGAUUACAAAGCAAGUAAUGUAAAUUAGAUACACAUAUUGUUUUCAGAUUACGGGGAUUAUUUGGAUUAGUGUCUUCUCUGUGUUUUUCUCCGUGAUAACUCAGUAUAUGUACUGCUCUAACGUUCAUCGAUCAACACCAUCAAACCCCAAAAUGUUCAACACUGUAUUCAGAUAACUGUUCUGAAGCUACGGUCUCAUGUUUUAGUUCGUGUUGACUAUCCAUUUGGCAUAUAUUUGUGCAUCAAGGUCAGGUAUGCAAUGCCAGGUUUUUCCCUUGACAGUCUGCUAAUUACCACUGCCGACUGGACCUUUUGAUCCAAAAAUCUGUCUCCAACUUCAGGACGGAAUACCUUAUAUUUAAUUUAAUUCAAUUUUGAAAUUUUAAACCUUAGAGAUCCUUCGUAUUUUAGGAUAGAGGGAGUAGGAAGAACAUGAGGUUCUUAUUUUAGGAUAGAGGGGGUAGGAAGAACAUGAGUCCUAAUCGUAAUACAUUUGCUACGUGGCCGAUUACUAAACUGACCUGUUCGGACUACACACACACACGUGGAAAUGCUCCAUUUUGAUUAGCAAGAUUCAUAUAUACGGAAAGAAUAGAUUCCUAGACUAAAAAUUUGUCCCUGAAUAAAUCAAUUUCUAGACUCAAAGUUUUCCAUGAAUAAAUCAAUUUCUAGACUUUUAUUGUGCAUGAGACCCAUUUAGGCCUUGUUUAGUUUCAAAAAAUUUUGCAAAAUAGGAAUAGUAGCACUUUCGUUUGUAUUUAACAAAUAUUAUCCAAUCAUGAACUAACUAGCCUCAAAAGAUUCGUCUCGGCAAUUCUGACCAAACUGUGUAAUUAGUUUUUAUUUUCAUCUAUAUUUAAUACUCCAUGCAAGUGUCUAAAGAUUUGAUGUGAUGGGGAAUUUGAAAAAUUUUGCAAAAUUUUUUGGAACUAAACAAGGCCUACCUCGAAGUUUCCAGCGGUCCACGUACUUAUUUAUUUCUACUGAACAUCUUGUACAAUAACAUUUAAUAUAUUUUUUGAAAACAUCAAAACUUAUUGGGUCUUUUCUUGGUAAGGGGUAGUAAUAUAUUAUUGGAAACACCAACUUCUCGGUAAGUGGUAGGUAAUAAAGGAUAGUAAGGUCUUUUCUUUAGUUUGCUAAUAUAUUCUAAACUUAUUGAGCCUAUUCGCUUGGCACAAAAAAAUAUAGUUGAAAGUAAUGUUGACUAAUUUGGUGUGAGAGAAAAAUAAUGUUAAAUAACCGGUAGAAUUAACGUCUGUUCUGUGAUUAAGAUAUUAUGACUGAAAAUAUUGAUAACUGAUUUAUUAUAAAAGAAAAAUACUAUUACCUAAAAAAAAUACUUCGUUUAUAAAACAAGGAACUGGCUAACUUGUGCUUCCCCACCGUUCGCGGCACGUCCAGCACUCCAGCUCCAGCUUCCCACCAACCCCACCACUCAAAAAAUAAAAAUAAAAAACGAUUCCACAGAUCCACCUUCCUUAAACCCUCCCAUCCACAUCAGACAUCACUCAUCAGUCUCCUCCCCUAAUCCCAGUUCCGCCGCCGCCAGCUUUUUCCCCACCAUGGCGGCGACGACCCACGCCGCCUCCAUGUCGUUCCUCCUCUCCCACCCGCAGUCGCGCUCCGCCACGCCAAGCCGCCACCUCCAGCUCCGCCCGGCAGCCCGCCGCGUCCGCUGCUGCGCCACCGACGCCACCGCCGCCGCCCCCGCAGCCACCACCAAGCACCGGCGCGCGGCGGAUGAGAACAUCCGCGAGGAGGCGGCGCGGCACCCGGCCCCGAAGCAGGGCCUCUCCGCGUGGUACGAGCCCUUCCCGCCGGCCCCGAACGGCGACCCCAACGAGCGCUACUCCCUGGACGAGAUCGUCUACCGCUCCAGCUCGGGGGGCCUCCUCGACGUGCGCCACGACAUGGAGGCGCUGGCCCGCUUCUCCGGCGCCUACUGGCGGGACCUCUUCGACUCCCGCGUCGGCCGCACCACCUGGCCCUACGGCUCCGGCGUCUGGUCCAAGAAGGAGUUCGUGCUCCCCGAGAUCGACCCGGACCACAUCGUCUCCCUCUUCGAGGGCAACUCCAACCUCUUCUGGGCCGAGCGCCUCGGCCGCGACCAUCUCGGCGGGAUGAACGACCUCUGGGUCAAGCACUGCGGCAUCUCCCACACGGGCUCCUUCAAGGACCUCGGCAUGACCGUGCUUGUCAGCCAGGUCAACCGCCUCCGCCGCGCCCCGCUGUCGCGCCCCAUCGCCGGCGUCGGCUGCGCGUCCACGGGGGACACCUCCGCCGCGCUCUCCGCCUACUGCGCCGCCGCGGGGAUCCCGGCCAUUGUCUUCCUCCCUGCCAAUCGCAUCUCGCUGGAGCAGCUCAUCCAGCCCAUCGCCAACGGCGCCACCGUGCUUUCCCUCGACACCGACUUCGAUGGCUGCAUGCGGCUCAUCAGGGAGGUGACUGCCGAGCUGCCUAUCUACCUUGCCAAUUCGCUUAAUUCCCUCCGGCUGGAGGGGCAGAAGACAGCGGCCAUUGAGAUACUGCAGCAGUUCGAUUGGGAGGUGCCCGAUUGGGUGAUUGUGCCGGGAGGCAAUCUGGGGAACAUAUAUGCGUUCUACAAGGGAUUUGAGAUGUGCCGUGUUCUUGGGCUUGUUGAUCGUGUGCCGCGGCUUGUCUGUGCACAGGCAGCCAACGCAAACCCGCUCUAUGGCUAUUACAAGUCAGGCUGGACCGAGUUCCAACCUCAGGUGGCCAGACCAACAUUUGCAUCAGCGAUUCAGAUCGGUGACCCGGUGUCUGUCGACCGAGCUGUGGUCGCGCUCAAGGCAACGAAUGGCAUUGUCGAGGAGGCCACAGAGGAAGAGCUCAUGAACGCAAUGUCACUCGCUGACCGCACUGGGAUGUUUGCUUGCCCACAUACUGGGGUUGCGCUCGCCGCCCUGUUCAAGCUCAGGGACCAGCGCAUCAUCGGGCCAAAUGAUCGCACGGUGGUCGUCAGCACAGCUCACGGCCUGAAGUUCUCGCAGUCAAAGAUCGACUACCAUGAUAGUAAGAUCGAGGACAUGGCUUGCAAGUACUCCAACCCGCCUGUGAGCGUGAAGGCUGACUUUGGCGCCGUCAUGGAUGUGCUGAAGAAGAGGCUCAAGGGUAAGCUCUGAGCGCCUGUGUUUGGCUAACACUUCUCCAACUCCAAUUGGUUACUGUGUGCCAAUUGUGUUCUGCAUCUGAUUUCCAAUUGGUUACUGUAUGCCAAUUGUGUUCUACAUCUGAUUCAAAUGCAGUGGAUUCCGCAGGUGCUAGUUUUUAGGUGGUAUCUUUUAGACUUCAAAAUUUAUGUUUGGGGUAGGCUAUCUGUUUGAGUUUAGCAGGGAGUGGCUAUCUCUUGCAAGACCGGGAGUGGUUACCUCUUGUACUAUGAUGUGUUCCAUGGAGAAUAAGUGAUCGUGUUGCUGUUGGAUUGAAUAAUCAUCACUCGCUCGUCUGCCCUUUGUGCAUGAACUUGUCGAGUACUUUGGCUCUUAACUGAUCAUUUUGGUGUUGCAAUGCUAGCUGAAGCUACUGCUACUGGUGAUAAUGAAUGUCAUCAUUGUUGGUUUUGCCAGUCUGGUAGUGAGUUUUCGUUGCAGAUUUGAUGCUUGAAUUUUGGUUGGUGGUCAAUUACCAUGAUUUGCGCUAAUCAUCGUGAUUCAAAGUAGAUAUUCGUGUGUAUAUGUAUCACAUCCAGACAUCCUAGAUGCCGUUGCAAAUAUGCGAAGCCGACAAUAGCAUGACUGCCAAUAAGGUCCAAUCAAGUAUGAUUAUGACCGUGGUCCAAAGUGGAGUAAUCUGGUAUCCUCUUCUAUGGAAAAUGGUAGAUAAUUUGGAUUUGGUGAUUUUGUUUUGUUUUGGUGGCACAUCGGUGCUUGUUUUCAGUUUAUAGCAACCUACUCAAUGGUUAAAUGCCAGUUAUGAUUUUUUUUUUGUUGAUGUGACAUGGAAUUAGUGAGUGUAUAGAUGCGAAAGUUAUAUCGAGCUUGUUUGGCACAGCUCAACUUCAACUUCAUUAGUAAAACUGUUUUUUUAGGCUUUAUGAGUGACUUUCUAGAUGAAGCUGAGCAAUAGUUUCACAAACUACUUCAUGCAUAGUUGAGAGAGAGAAAUGAGAGAGAGAGCUACAAUAAGCUACUUUUUUUCAGCUUCAUCCCAACUUAUGUCUUUGUGAGAGGAGGAGAAAAAUAGCUUCACCCAUGAAGCUGUUUUGGAAAUAAGUGUUUGGCAAAAAAAAAAAAACAGCUCACAACAGCUCAUGAAGCGGCUGUUGUGAGCUGUACCAAACACCCCCAUCAUCUUGAAGAUACAGCUUGUUCAUAACAUUCAAGAUUAGAGAAAUCCUGCACGAUCCUUAGGCAUAUUGUCAUGGAAAUUAUAUACUCUCUUAUUUCAAAUUAUUUCAAAUUACAAGACGUUUUGACUUUUUCAGAUGUACAUAUCUUUUUUAUGCACUUAUGCCUAGAUACAUACUUACAUAGUAAAAACGAUGUACCUUGGAAAAAAAAACCAAAAUGACUUAUAACUUGGAAUAGAUAGAGUAUAUAGUUAAUUAUUUAGAGCCUUCUAAUUAACAACACCGUGAUACUAUACAUUGGGUGAGAUGUACCGUAAUUGUCAUGACAACUUUGCACUGGGGAUAGUCUUUAAAAGCUAGAAUUUGCGAUCAGAUUGCCUCAACUUUGCACAGCCACUUUCGGGUCUCUGCACACCACUUGACUGGACGCGCGCGAGAUAAAAAAUUCCGUGGAGGUGAGGUUGAUGGACUGAUGGCGUAGGUCAGAAAGUUGAGCGCCGAGCUCGACGCUGGCAAUGUUCGCUCUUCAUGGCGCUCAUCAGGACUCCAGGGGGCCGACGUGCCUGUCCGCCCUGCCGAAAGAAUCCAUAGCUCUGUGAUAAACAUAUUGGGCUGGACGGAUUCAGGCCCAAAAUACACGGGCCUAGGCAGCCUCACAGGUGCUGAUGGAUCUGAUCCGUUGUCCCGCGCGCAUAGAGAGGCCCAUCUGAUCUGCAUGUAGCCCGUCGCAUCCCGAAUCACUCGUGGUCUGUGGAUCUGCAGAGAAACCGGUCUUUUUUGACCAAAAAGGUUUUGGGCGCCGAAGCUUAAAAACAGAAAAGUUUCACCUGCAUUUGACACGGUUGACUAAAGCUAUCCUGCACCCAGGUCUCAAUGCAUCCAUGGCUCCAUGUCCUUGUAGCGUGGCAUGCAGAGGCGAUCCCAAAGCAUGAGCGGUUGUCGUCAUCUUCAACCGACACAGUUGACUCUGAUGAGGCCAGUUUAGUUAGUUAGUUAGUUAGUUAGUUAUCCCUGCACCCUGGUGCAUGCAUCCAGCUUAAAACAUUGUUCCGGCACCACGUCUGGCUGCCUAAAAUACGUGCGCGCCAUUGCAGUGCCACGGCCUGCCUAACCGGCUUACUAUACGCCACCGACGCUAGCUAUGCAGAUUGGAUUGCAGAGCAUGUCAUUUGUCCCAUGCCUGCCUGCCACCACGACCAAGGCCCCGUUUAGUUCCGAAAUGAAAAGUUUUCGGGCACUGUAGCACUUUCGUUUGUUUGUGGUAAAUAUUGUUUAAUUAUAAACUAACUAGGAUUAAAAGAUUCGUAUCGUGAUUUACAGACAAACUGUGUAAUUAGUUUUUGUUGUCAUCUAUAUUUAAUGUUUCAUGAUUGUGUCGUAAAAUUCGAUGUGACGGAAAAUCUUGAAAACUUUUUGAUUUUUGGGGUGAACUAAACAAGGCCCAACUCGUCUCGCCACGGUAGACUCAAAGUCAAACCGGACCGACGCAUGUGGAGGUUUCAUCAAUUUUCAAAAGCGCAUUUUAUUAGGCAGCAGUUAACAACAUCGACCAUCGCCGAGUUUUGGGUGUGUUCACAUAUGCGACCGACUCUGCAUGUACUAGUAUGUUUGCAUUUGUGUUGUACUUGUACGUUAAUGGAAAUGAACCACAGAAGGAACGAUUUGGGAGCAGCGAAAGAAGAGGGCAUUGUCGCUGCAAUCUGAAGACACGAACACGAUUUUGGAAAUUGGAAUGCUGAUGAGACUCUCUCUCUCUCUCCCAACCGGUAAAGUUUAACAGAUCCAAUCGCUAUGCCAUCUUCCAAUGCUUUUUUUUUUGCCUUUUUCCUGUUUCCAGUACGUAUAUUUUUAUAUAAAUAUUAAACAAAUAAAAGAGGAAAUCAUUGGAUCGACCACACUCUUUGGCUGCAAUCUGCACUGACCCAUCAUGAGCCAUGACCAUGAGCCAUCAUGCAUGCAUGGCCCACGUGCACUGGAACAAUCCCAAUCACCAUGGUUCAUUUUUCGUUUGCGAAUUGUGGUUGCUACACUGUAGAGGACCUACAGCUGCUACCUGCUACUGCUCGAUUUGUGUACGCGUGCAACCGUGGCUGCUAAUGAGUGCUGCAGACUGCAGCAAUCCCUUUUUUUCUCUAAAGAAAUGAUAAGACUACUAAACACAAUAUACCAAUAGUAAUAGGUACUAUAAAGUUAAAAAUAAUCAAACAGUUGUUGGAAAAAAGACUUGAUCUUCUAUUGAAAAUUUGAGGUAGGGCAAGUGUGAGUGAGAGGUCGUGCAUCAAAGUUUGGUGAAAGGAAGGGCAAAGAAACCUGACGUCUGAUGCGAAGGCGCGUAAACAUCCGUCCAUGGUUGGAGCACAAAUUACAGUAAUUUACUUUUCAUUCGAUAAGGCAGUCUCAAUGCAGGUUUCAUAAGAGUGUCAUGCACAUUAAAUAGGAUGCCACAUAAGUAUAAUUGCUGACUUGGCAGGGUCAUUAAAUGAAGGAGUUUCAUCAGAUGAGAGAGGAGUUUCAUCGCCAUGAAACUCCUGUGGCUCGGUUACCUAGUUUAUAGUCUUGGUAACUGUGCCAUGAAACUAUACAUUGAGACUGGCCUAACGAUACAUUAUCAGUCUAUUUAGUAUUUACUAUAACAGCUACUGUAGUACGGCUACAGCUCAAGCUCAUCAUUGCUUUGUGGAAAAAAAAAAGAAGAUUAGGAAAAGCAGCAGGAAAACGGGGAGAAUCAGACGGAGACAGCGCGCGUUCCCUCCCCUUUUGCUUCCUGAAGAUGUGCGUGUGUGUUGGAAAUUUUCAAGGAGGAAGAAGGGAAAGCCACCGCUCACCAUCACCCUCCACCACCAAACACACGCAGCUAGCUUGGUAGGAGGGGGAAAAAGGCCUCCCCUUUGGCUUGCCUGCGAGUGGGAUCUCUUCUUCCUCCCCCACCGCCCGUCCCUGCCCUCUUCCGCCGACAGCGAGCGAGUACGCGACGCAUAGCAAGCGGCAGCCACACCGCCGCCGCCUCCAGGCUGCCAACACAUCCCUGCCAUCCCUUUUGACCCUGAGGAUCCCAUCCCACUAGCUUCCUACUACUACUACUACUACUACUUCCCCCAUCCUCUCGAUCUCUCUCCCCGUUCCCCUGACAAGCCGAGCGUCAAGUGGCAGGGAGGGAACGCGGCGGCGCGGGUGAGGAUCAAUGGGGACGGGGAGCGUGCGGGCGCUGGCCCUGGCGCUCGCCGUGUUUCUCGCCUGCUCCGGCAUCGCCGUCGUCACGGCGCAGGAGACCGAGCGGAUCGAAGGUACGCGGCGGCCGCGACCCUCUCUCCCUGCUUGUGUUCGUUUCCAUCAAUCUUCUGAUCUAUAGAUGAGCACGCUCCUGUCAGUUUCCUUUUUGCCUGUAGUGCAUACAUACAUCUAGUAAAUGGGCAAAGCAAGAAUCUUGGCAUCUAUUAGUAUGUUGGUUUGAUCUGUUAGGCUUCUGAAUCCUGAAUUCAUAUACUACUAGGUUACAGAUAAGCAGAAUGCAGGUAGAUCCUUUGGUAUUCUGUUUAUAGUUAUUUGAUCUGGUUCUGGCUUAAUUCAGUUAAAAAGCAAGCUUUUUAAGAACGUCCUGCUACUGCUCACAAUACAUGCUUUAGUUUUUUGUGGUUGACCACCUGAUGCACUCUGUAGAAGUAACCCAUCAAGCUUGACAAACAGGAUCAUACUCGUGGAGCAUUCAAUGAUACAUGAUGAUAAUCAUGAUUCAUUCAGUUUUAACAUAGGCACACAAUUCGUUAUAGACAUGUAGGUUGCCUAGCUAGCAUACCGUUGCUUCAGUGGAUUUCUUAGCUAGGUAUAUUCCUUUCCCCACUUUUAUGCUAGCCCUAAUGCUGUAGCCAAUAAAAUGCAGGAAGCGCUGGUGAUGUGUUGGAAGAUAACCCUGUUGGGAGACUCAAGGUCUAUGUCUAUGAUCUCCCCAGCAAAUACAACAAGAAGCUGCUGAAGAAGGAUCCUAGGUGCCUGAACCACAUGUUUGCCGCUGAGAUCUUCAUGCACCGGUUCCUGUUGUCAAGCGCUGUCCGAACUUUUAAUCCUGAGGAAGCAGAUUGGUUCUACACACCCGUAUACACAACUUGCGAUCUGACCCCUAAGGGUCUUCCCUUGCCUUUCAAGUCUCCUCGAAUGAUGCGUAGCGCAAUCCAGCUGAUUGCUACAAAUUGGCCUUACUGGAAUAGAUCAGAGGGCGCUGAUCAUUUCUUUGUCACGCCCCAUGACUUUGGUGCUUGCUUUCAUUAUCAGGUACAACACUAGUAGAUUAAUUGAGGAGCGGUUGCAUGCAUUUAUUUAUCCUUGUACUAAUGAAGAUUAGAUGUUCAACAAUGGUAGUUUAGUAGUGCAUAGUGCUGAAACAACUGGGACAUAUCUAAUUUUUACAGUAAACAUGGGGGCGAUAUGGGGUAUCAAGAUGCUUGUAUCAAUAUGAAUGAAAAUGAACUACUCUAACUAAUUGGUUCAGGCUCCAUAGUUUCUUUUCCCCUUUUAGAAGGAAAACAUGCACGAGAUUUCAGUUUACUUAGAUACCAUUCUGAUAUCCAUAUUGAUCGUUCACUGACCACCUGGUAGAAAUAGUCACUUACUAGACUUCCAGUCUUCCAUUUGAUUACUGUUACUGUCUAUUUCAAAUUUUCAAUAUCUUGAUGUUUCUGUAAUAAUCAUUUCCACUGUUCAGGAAGAGAAAGCAAUCGGACGGGGAAUCCUUCCCUUGCUUCAGCGUGCUACGCUGGUUCAGACCUUUGGACAGAAGAACCAUGUCUGCCUGAAGGAUGGGUCCAUCACCAUCCCGCCAUAUGCGCCUCCUCAGAAAAUGCAGACUCACCUUAUCCCUGCCGACACCCCUCGAUCCAUCUUUGUGUACUUCCGAGGUCUGUUCUAUGACACUGGCAAUGAUCCUGAGGGCGGUUACUAUGCAAGGUAAUUCAUCUGUCUGUCUACAAGCAGUGGAAUUGACACCUCACUCGUUUUUCAUCCUGCCAUUGCAUCCUGGGUCUAGUCUCUGAUGACAUUGCCUGUUCUACAGAGGUGCUCGUGCGUCAGUCUGGGAGAACUUCAAGAACAACCCGCUCUUUGACAUCUCGACCGAUCACCCACCAACAUACUAUGAAGACAUGCAGCGCUCAGUGUUCUGCCUCUGCCCAUUGGGCUGGGCACCAUGGAGUCCCAGGCUAGUGGAAGCCGUGGUCUUUGGCUGCAUCCCAGUGAUCAUCGCAGAUGACAUUGUCCUUCCCUUUGCGGACGCCAUCCCAUGGGAGGAGAUCGGCGUUUUUGUUGCUGAGGAGGAUGUCCCGCAGCUGGACAGCAUCCUGACAUCCAUUCCCACAGAUGUUGUACUGAGGAAGCAACGGCUCCUUGCGAACCCAUCGAUGAAGCAGGCCAUGUUGUUCCCCCAGCCUGCUCAGCCAGGAGAUGCAUUCCACCAGAUUCUUAAUGGUCUCGCGCGCAAGCUCCCUCACGGCAGCAAUGUUUUCCUGAAGCCCGGCGAGAGGGUCCUGAACUGGACCGCUGGACCACCAGGCGACCUGAAGCCUUGGUAGCAUCUUGUGGAACUGAGAUGGAUGUGACCUUCUUUGGAAAGGAAAUAUCGAGAACAUGAUAUAUAUACCUGUGCCUUUGAAUUAUCAUGGGUGCACAUAGUGCUGACCACAAGCCAAAUGUACAUUUUCUGUAUGUUUUUUCUUCUAUAACUGUUAUUAUAUAUAUCUUCAUUUCUUUUUUCCCCUUUCUAGAUAUAAGAGUGCCAAGCCCUGUCGACCAUAUGUGGAUAUAUCAUAAAUUAAAUUUACAAGAUUGUGCUACUCAUGCUGAUUGUCUGAUCACAUUUCAUUAUCCUACUGCACUGCCAGUUGCCAUACUGUCCAUUGUGUUUGUGGUGCUCGACCUGGCUGAUUUUGAUUCCCUUUGAUUCUGUGUGUCUGAGGCCUUGUUUAGUUCUCAAAAAAUUUUGCAAAAUUUUUCGGAUUCCCCGUCACAUCGAAUCUUUAGACGCAUGCAUGGAGUAUUAAAUAUAGACGAAAAUAAAAACUAAUUGCAUAGUUUGGUCGGAAUUGAUGAGACGAAUCUUUUGAGCCAAGUUAGUCCAUGAUUAGACAAUAUUUGUCACAAACAAACGAAAGUGCUACAGUACCUGUUUUGCAAAAAAUUUUAGAACUAAACAAGGCCUCUGAAUAAUUUGGUGACAAAGGGGAAACUGCUAUCUGAAGCAAGAUCCUCAUAGGUAGGAAUGGCAACGGGUACGUACCCGAUGGGUACUUGCCACCCGUACCCGCACCCGCCAGGUCAAAAUCUAUUCCAUCGGGUUACCCGCGAAAGCAGACGGGUAAGAAAUUCAUUCCGUACCCGCACCCGACGGGUAAUUCUUACCCGACGGGUAUUCCAUACCCGAAAAUAUACCCGAGUUCAAUAGAAAUAUAACAACUUUCAGCAAGUUAAAUAUCACAACUUAUAGGAAAUUAAAUAUAACAACUUGCAGCAAAUUAAUAGUAGCACUAGUAGCACACCAGCCGCUCAACACUUCCCACGUUCAGUCAAUCAGUUCAUGGGCUAUAUGGGCUAAAUUGCUUAGGUUGCUUACUCAUUUUGCGGGUAUUUCUUACCCACGGGUACGCGGGUAUGGGUACUACUAUUCCACACCCGUACCCGCCAUACCCGAUGGGUAAAGAAUUUCACCCAACAACGUACCCGCGGGUACAAAAUCUAUUCCAUACCCGCGUCCUUAUCGGGUAAAACCCGUCGGGUACUCGGGUUUCGGGUACCCAUUGCCAUUUUGACUCAUAGGGAAGGCUGUCCGAUCUGCUGAUCAGGCAGCACGUCACUUCGGUCUUUUUAACUGAGGCCUUGUUUAGUUCCGAAAAGUGAAAAGUUUUCGGUACUGUAGCAAUUUCGUUUGUUUGUGACAAAUAUUAUCUAAUCAUGGACUAACUAUGAUCAAAAGAUUCGUCUCGUGAUUUACAGCUAAACUGUGUAAUCAGUUUUUGUUUUCGUCUAUAUUUAAUGUUUUAUGCAUGUGCUACAAGAUUCGAUGUGACAGGGAAUCUUGAAAACUUUUGGUUUUCGGGUGAACUAAACAAGGCCUGAAUGUUGCUGAGUUCUCAAGGAAUGUUGGUGCAAAUUGCGAUUGCCCCUGUGAUGUGAGUGCAGUAACCUAGAGAACGAUUGCUGGUUGGUGGUGCAAAGAGGGUGGUGGUAGAUAGGUAAGGAAAUGAGGUCAACAUCAGCACCGGCACUUAGUUGCGAUGUCACGAACUGAAAUGGUAACUGAUGGCAGUUCAGAAAUGUAUCCCAGAUACAAGGUUGUCUGUUGGGUCUGGUCUGGUGCUAUGUUCCUAAAUGGCCACAAACAUUGGAAAUGGUGGGAGUUUGUAAAAUUUUAAAAACCGCGCUACAAAAAAAUCCCUCAAAUUUUGCGCAGCUCCAGGUGGGUGAUGUUUUCAACCACAGAUAAAAAAAAAUCUCCGGUAAGGCGUCGUGACUGUUGACUGGUCCGUGAGGUCAACGAAAGGAGGAGGAAGGUAGAAAAAACAUUAUGGCGUGCCAUGAUCUACCUAACUGGCUGGAGAAGACGACGAAAACGACCACCUAACACAAGGUAGAUCAGACAGACGAUCCAAGUCAAAUAUAGUAGGUAACGAGGAGAAAAUUAAAAAAAGAUUUUAUGAAAAGGAAAAAAAUAAAAAAAGGCGUGAAGUGUGACCUAAGCAAAGCGACAACGUUGCAAAAAAGGAAGAGGCAGUACCAGCAAUAGCCUAGUACUACUGUACUGCCACUUUCCUGGAAUUUUAUUUAUUUAUUUUUCAAGGACAAAACCACUGCUGGAGUGCUGGUAGUGGUGGGAGGAGUCCAUGGGAAUGCAAAAAGUCAUCAUUUGCAAACAAACACAGGGAACCUGGCAGGCACCCACCACCUCACCUCCGCCGACAGCGAGCACGGCCACCAUCACCCCUGCCAUACUCGCUUUGACUCCGCGUCUGGGCGCCUAGUCUAUUCCUCUUCCUGCCAAGAAUCCCGCCAGUUGCCUACCACCUCUCCCGGACUCCGCGUUCCUGCCUGAGCAGCUACCGAGAGUAGAGGGAAGGCAGGCGCUCAGUCUAAUGGGGAGGGGGAGCGCGAUGGCGCAAGCCCUUGCGCUCGUCGCCUUGCUCCUCGCCUGCUCCGACGUCGCCGUCGUCGCGGCGCAGGAGACUGAGAGGAUCCAAGGUACGCGGCCUCGCCCUUGCUUACUUCGUCGUCCUCUGCUUCUCUUUGAUCCGAUCAGUGAAUUAUGCGUUGCCUGCGCCCGUCGGGUGUAAUGAUCUGGGGAAUUCGUCCGUGCUCGUCGCCGCGCCCGCGUUUCUGCUGGCCGGAGUGGAUCUGAUGUUGAGGUCUUGGGAAGACGAGCGAGCGCGUAGUUGGCGAGAUAGAUCAGGUCUUUACUGCCAGAGAUGCUUCCACGCUUCCUUUGUUAAUCCAUGAACGAACUAGCAACUCGGCGCUCCCAUUCAGACAUUCAGUCAAGCGCUCAGUGCGCACAAUGAAUUAUUUCAUCAUGGAAAGGAACAAAAUUCAAAUCUUGAGAUCAAACCUGCCAUUACUUUUUUUUAAUGCAAUCUGGAAUGGAUCAUGAUCCUACCUUUUAUAUGCUCCAAAAUGACAAACUUGAUUAUCUUAUGAAUUCAAAAACGAGUUUGCACCCACAACAUUUGCGCUAAAUGGAUAAAGUUCACCUGUAGAUUCACUUUUGGAUGUGCCAUGUUAAAAAAAAAUAUAGAUUCAUUGAAUUACGUUUUUUGAAUUCAUCUCCAUGUUUCCACCUAAGAUAUGUUCACCGGUACAUACUUUGCCCACUAACUACACUUAUUACUUAUCGAUUAUCAACUUCAUAGAAUUGCGAUGGAUCCUUCAAUCAAAAUCUUAAUUGCUGUGAUAUUUAGCUACACCCUGAGCCUACUAAAAGAAUUCUGCAUAACUUGCUUGUGUGCCUGCUUGUUAUAUAGUUUCAGUUAUGCUUUGCCUGAAGGGGAAAAAAAGUACUUUUGCAAAACUGUUAGACUCCAUUGUCAUUGCAUUAGGAUCAUGUUUUUUCCUUCAAAUAGGCAAGAUAUCCGUGUAACAUUGUAUUAAGAAGAACACGAGUUUACAACACCCCCAAAACACACACACACCUCGGCUAGAAACACACACACCUCGGUUUUGAAUUCAUCUCUGUGUACAUUUGCGCUUCUUACAACAACGCACAAACAUGACCAAUGACCAGCCAAUCUAUCUAUGAGCCAGGACCUCCACAUGAAUAAAACCUCAGCUAGACACCAGAGAUGGACCUCCUAGGUGAUUUGUCUAAGAACACCAGAGAUGGACCUCCUAGGUGAUUUGUCUAAGAAUUAGCUGUAUUAGUAUUGGCUCCAUUGAACACCACGUUAUUUCGAUGUUUCCACUGAGACCAAGUGGCCAAAAUAAUCAGAGAGAUAAGACCUCUCUUGAGAGCUCUGGGGAUCAAGCCAUUUACCCUCAGCCACCACUCAUAUAACAUCAUUGUAUUGAUCAUGGCAUUAAGGUGCAUAUCCUCAUGUUUCCAAUGCGGAUGUGAUUAAAUUUCAGGGAGUGCUGGUGAUGUGCUUGAAGAUGAUCCUGUCGGAAGGCUCAAGGUAUAUGUCUAUGAGCUGCCCCCCAAGUACAACAAGAAUAUACUGGCAAAGGAUUCGAGAUGCCUCAGCCACAUGUUUGCUACAGAGAUAUUCAUGCAUCGCUUCCUCUUGACGAGCGCGGUCCGGACUCUAAAUCCGGACGAAGCUGAUUGGUUCUAUACUCCAGUAUACACAACGUGCGACCUUACACCAUGGGGUCAUCCCUUGACUACAAAGUCUCCACGAAUGAUGAGAAGUGCGAUUCAGUAUAUUUCCAAGCGUUGGCCCUACUGGAACAGGACGGAGGGAGCAGACCAUUUCUUUGUCACACCACAUGACUUUGGAGCAUGCUUCUAUUUCCAGGUGAGUCACAGAGCCAUAAACCAUGAAUUGGAUGAGUACCAAUGUAACGUUGAAUGCAAAGUUAUAAAAUGGAAUUCCAGCCUAGUCAUUUCCCCAUAUAUACACAGCAUCUGUUCUUGUAGCACCAUCCACCUACUGUGCACUCAGAAUUCUUAUUGUCCAGGAAGAGACGGCCAUCCAGCGAGGUGUCCUUCCGGUGCUGCGCCGUGCUACACUGGUCCAGACUUUUGGGCAGAAGCAUCAUGUGUGCCUGAAGGAAGGCUCCAUCACCAUCCCGCCGUAUGCUCCUCCUCAUAAGAUCAGAACUCACAUUGUUCCACCAGAGACCCCUCGUUCAAUCUUUGUCUACUUCCGUGGUCUGUUCUAUGACACCGCAAAUGAUCCCGAGGGUGGUUACUAUGCAAGGUACGCACCUAAAUCAUGUAGUACCUGACAAGCAGUCUUAUUACUGAAUCAUUGAUUGGAAAGUCUUGACGCACCUACCAUACACACAAAUGCAGGGGUGCCCGUGCGUCAGUAUGGGAGAACUUCAAGAACAAUGCUCUGUUCGACAUCUCCACAGAACACCCGCCAACCUACUAUGAGGACAUGCAGCGUGCCAUCUUCUGCCUGUGCCCACUGGGGUGGGCGCCAUGGAGUCCCCGUCUAGUGGAGGCCGUGGUGUUUGGCUGCAUCCCCGUGAUCAUCGCGGACGACAUCGUGCUCCCCUUUGCGGACGCGAUCCCAUGGGAGGAGAUCGCCGUGUUCGUGGCCGAGGACGACGUCCUGAAGCUGGACACCAUCCUGACGUCCAUACCCAUGGAGGAGAUCCUCCGCAAACAGCGGCUGCUGGCGAACCCGUCGAUGAAGCAGGCGAUGCUGUUCCCGCAGCCCGCGGAGCCCCGGGACGCGUUCCACCAGGUGCUCAACGGGCUGGCGCGGAAGCUCCCCCACGGCAAGGGCGUGUUCCUCAAGCCCGGGCAGAAGGUGCUCAACUGGACCGAGGGGACCCGGGAAGACCUCAAGCCGUGGUAGGUGUGUAUAGUAUAGUGGCGACUGGUGAGGUUGAGGCACCGUCACCAUUUGGUGCUCUUUUGUAAACGACACAACAACCAGAUGAGAGGCUGAUCGAAGAUGGUGAUGCUGAUGAUGAGUGAACCACACAGCCAUUGAUGAUUAAAUGUAAAGCUCUUCUCUUGCUCCUCCAACCAUUCUUCUUUUUUGAGGCAAUGUGCCUGUCUUGCCUGUAUAUAUAUAUACUAGUAGCACAUGGCAAUCAGGGUGGCCGGGGCAAAGACAAAUUACACUAAUGGUAUUAUUAUUCUAUAUAUUAACUAGCAUGUCUUGACAACACAGCCUCUGUUCUCUCGGAGAACAAGUUUCCUUGAACAGAAACACAUCUUUUUGGGUUCUGGCUUACAGUUGCCCAAACGAGAAACUUUCACAGCUCGCCUGAGCCUACAGCCUAGGGUUAGAAUUGGAAGGGAGCUGCAGGAAGGCUCAAGUUGGCAAUGGGGCCCCGAUCCCCGAUGGAGAUUUCAUCUAUUAGGGGAAGAAGAUGGAAGGAUUUGUAUCCCCGCGGGGAGUUUAAUGGCUGAAUUUCAUCCCCGUCGGGUGAAGCAGGUGACAGAACGUUCUCUAUGCCCCGUCCCCAUCACCCGUCGGGGACCCGACAAUGCAAAAAGACCACCCCUAAAUAGGCCUACAAAGCUGCAAGCGCCGCUCGGGCGGCUCGGCCGCUCCAGUAUCAAACAUCUCGAUCCUGUUCCUUUCCCCUCCACCUCUCCCAUAGUCUCAUCCCCUCCCCUCGUCAUCUCCCACAGAUUUCUCUCCUCCCAAUCUCGUAGUCUCUAGUAGGCCAAGUUGUGUCUCCCUCCCCCCAAUCCCAUCCUCCCAUCCGCAGCCCUCAAGGGCGGCCGCCGCUUGUGUCGGAGUCCCAGAGACGACGCUAGUCCCUCCCUGUGCAAGCUGCAGCGCCUCCCUUCUCCCAAUGCCAUCGUCCUGGACACCGGCAGUUCGAACUCUAAUCGAGCCCAACAAUUGCAGAUCCAUGGAGGCAGCGGAUGCUUCACCUUGACGUGAGGAGGCCAGAGGCCUUCACGGUGAGGAGAACUAGUUGCCCUACCUCGAUCUGAGAAAUGAGAAUGAUAUUGUCCCCAUUGAUUCCUGUCAAUUUUUGUAUCUCAAAUGUGAAAUUCAUACUAUAUUUUUUUCCUUAUGCUAUUUGAUUUGGUCCCCUCAUGCUGUCUGAUGCUCUGUGUUUCGGGGACGGGGACCCGUCGGGGCUGGAUUCCUCGUGCGGGGACGGGGACGGGGAGCGGGGAAUUUUUAGAGAGGCGAGGAGCAAAACGUUCUUCGUAUACCCGACGGGGAUGCCCCCGUUGCCAUGCAUAAGGAAGGCGCACCCCGUCUGCCGUGUUUAGUUCUGGAUGGAGAUCGGCCAUGUUUAGUUAUGGAUGGAAAAAAUUUCAUGACACUAUAGCACUUUCGUUUGUUUGUGAUAAUUAUUGUCCAACCAUGGACUAACUAGGCUCAAAAGAUUUGUCUCGUAAACUCCGACCAAGCUGUGCAAUUAGUUUUUAUUUUCGUUUAUAUUUAAUACUCCAUGCAUAUGUCUAAAAAUUCGAUGCGACGGAAAAUCUUGAAAUUUUUUUUGAGUUUUGCGUGGAAGUAAAUAAGGCCUAACAAAUUGUGGGUUAAAAAAGAUUCCAACCAGACAACAGGAGAAAAAUUCAGAUGGCGACAGUCCCAGCAGAGGAGGGGAAGCGCUUAUUUUAUAGCGGGAGCUCGCGCGCAAAUCCAGCUUUGCCUGCCGAGGUACGCUCUGCCUGCAGGGCUGCAGGCCUGCAGCUGAGUUAUCGACUUCUCAUGGGCUACCGAAUAUAUGGGCCUUGAAGAUUGGGUCGACAGGAAACAGCCAGACUGCGCUGCGGGCUGCGAUAUGUUGGCCGUCUAGCUUUCCUUCUCCUUUCCUUCCUAAGACAUGGAUUUAUGCUAUUUUAUAGCAUAUCAUUUGUGUUCUUUGUUAUAUUUAUUGGUGUAUGACUAUUUUAUAAAUUUUUGAAGUGAAUAUUUUUGCAGAAGUAAAGAAGAAUGCAAUUUUUUAUUACUUUUGGAUUUAUGCGUUUUUCCAGUGAGUCCUAGUAAAAUAAUAUUUUUAGCCUUUUUAUUAGUGCUAUUAUAUUUAGCCUUCCCCCAACCUACAGCCAUUAAACUGAUAUAGGACAAAGCUGAAUCUGUCAGCCAUUCAGCAAUGUUUUUCUCUUAUAAUAAAUUAACAAACAGUAUUUUCUAGCAUGACUUAUCAUGCCAAACGAAAGGCAACCCAGUGUCUAGACUUUGCACACGGUCGCCCCUUUCCUUGUAGACCAGAAACGGGCACGAAAUUUCAAGAGCUGGGAGCCGGGGUUGGGUCGGACACAUGAAGAAAAACAGUCCAUCGGCAUGGGGCUCAUCACUCAUCAGCGCACUGGUUCCAGUUCCGAAUCCGGUUCCGGUUCCAGAAUCCAGAUCCACGUCGGUCGUCGGCUUCACCUUUGCAGUUGCAGUACCACGGAUUCCUUGGUAGUUGUUGAAAUGGACCUAUCAUUGCACCUGAGUUCCAUCGCACGACAGCGGACAAAUAUAGCAUGUUCUCUUACUCCCUCCCUCCUAAAUUGUACGUCAUUUUAAAAAUAUUAGACAGUCAAAACAUCUUAAGUUUGACGAAAAUUAUAAAAAAAUUAGUUAAAUAUAAAUUUAAUUGAUAUACUAUGAAAAUAUAAGUAAUCAAGAACCUAAUGAUAUUCAAUUGAUAUCAUAAAUAUUAUUCUACCAUAUAAAUUUAGUUAAAUUUAAGAUAUUUUGAUUUUUCAAAAUUCAUAGAAUGACUUCCAAUUUAGGAUAGAGGAAGUACCAGGGGCGGUUCUAGAGUAGUAGCAUGGGAGGACAGCAAAUUUUUUUGAAAAACAUUUAAUAUGUAUAUUCUUUAAUAAUAUAUACAUGUAUAAUGCAUUGUUAUACAUAAUUGCUAGUCUACUCAGCUUAUAUAACAACCUUAAUACUCUAUAUUCACAACUAUUUUAUCACCGUUUAGUGAUCUAAUUAUGUUAUGUUCAUAUCGAUGAACUAUAUCGUUUUCGUUCGUACCCUCAUGAUUAAAAUCCUAGAUCCGCCACUGGGCGCACACGUUAACCUUUCAUGCUGGCUGGUCUGUGGCUGGGCAAAAAGACAAGAGACACAGCACGGUGGCUUAGUGACUGCGGUUCCAGUUCCAGCUCCAGUUCCGGUUCCCGUUAUGCCCGGUUCCACGGUUGGCUUCGAAGAUUCGAACACGCGUGCACUUCAGCGGUGCAACUAGUUUCCAAAGUAUGAGUACUGCCAGUAGCUACGUAGGCAAGCCCUGAUAUCGCAUUCCUCCAAGCUAUCAUUUUUCUACUCCUAUAUCUGACGCUCCUUUUCCUUCUUUGGAAUUUUCUACCUGACAUACUACCGGUUCCGGAUCCAGUUCCGGUUCCAGUUCCGGUUCCGGUGCCAGUCCCUCGGUCACUAUUUAUAUCCCACGACGAUUCGCCGAAUGCAGCAGGGGCCUCACUUCAACCGUCAACCUCUUGCCAUCUCCAAAACUCAAGCCAAUCGCCAUUGCUGCGGCACGAGCGACUAGCGAGGACCACGAGCGAUCGAUCAUCGAUGGACCCGGAAGCCGCGGUCCCGAGGGUGGUGAGCUCGGCCUCCGCCGCGCUCCGGAGCAGGCCGAUGGUGCCGCCGGCGAUGCUCACCACCGGCGUCUUCCAAGCGGUGGCGGCGCUCGCCCUCUUCUUCUACAGGACUACCCCCGAGGGCAUCUUCUCCCACCACGGCAAGCUGGCCAUCGUCGUGUACUACGGCGUCCUUGUAGCGGGGCUCGUCGUGGGCUCUGCGACGGCCUCCGCUUCCUUCUGGGUCGCGCGCCGUCUGGACGACGCCCGGCAUGGCAUUGGCAUGGCGCUGCUCUGCGCUUCGACGCUCAUGCUGAUCCCCGUGUUCGGGAUACUCGUCGGCUUCGUCAUGCUCGAGAAGUAGUCUCAUCAGAUACCUUGUAUGUAGUACAGUAUGUUUUUGUGAUGUGAGUUAUGUUUCUGGGUUUUUUUUUGUUUGAGGCCAGAUUAGUUUGGGUUACCGUUGAUGUGAUGAUUAUUGAUUAUUCAUACAUGGUAACAAGAUUAUGGUUGUAAAGUGGAGGAUCUUCGUGUGUUGCAUGUCUCCCUGGGACAGAGCAACAAAGGUUGUUAUUGUGAUGAAGGCAACUGGACCUGCUCCAGUUCUGGUUCCGGUUCCGAUUAUGGUUUUGGUUCCGGUUCCAGUUCUCAUUUUGGAAGCGAUGUUAUUCUCAUGAUCGAAAAAUGACACGCCCAACAGAACAAUGUGAAUUUAUUUAUUUAUCCAUCUAUCUCAAAACUCAAAUAGAAGGAGUAAAAAUAGGCAGCGUAAAUAGAAGGACUGAAGGAGCAAAUAAAUUUGGUUAGCUAAAAGUGGUGACUGAAUUUGCGAACGAAGUAUUCGUUUCGAUCUUACGAUUUUAAUCUCGAUUAGUUGAGCUUACGAGCAGACCACGGUGGGCAGGGGCGAAGCCAGAAAUUAAGAUCAGAGGAGAUAAAUGUCAAUAGGGGAAGCCAUUUACGCUUUAGUUACCUGACAAUUUAGCUAAGUCAUCAAGGAGCAUUGGAAAGGCAUCAAAGAUAGUGGAGGCCAGAACCGGCACGAAAUUUCAUGGGGGGAGCUCAUCAGUCAUCACCAUAUAGCGGUAACGGUUCCAGUUCCAGUUCCAGUUCCAACUCGGCUUCCGGCACCAACACGGUCAUUGAAAUUGAAAUGGACCAAUGGUUCCAUCAGAGAACGUCGGACAGAGACAGCUAGAAGUAUCCGAGCUGAAAGCGCAAAGCACAUGCUGGUUGGCCUUCUUUCAUGCUAUGCCACGAAACAUCAAAAGCUGACUACAAAGCACUCAGCCACAAGGAUACCGGUUCCGGUUCCUGGUUCGGUUCCAGUUCCUGGUUGAAGCAGAGCGAGCCAGGUGAAGGUGAAAGCGACCUGAUACCUCUCCGCACGGCACCACUGUUUUAUUACCUGCUAGUCAAUUCUUGCUCCUUUUUUUUUUUCUGUACUCGUAUUUUAUUCCUCUCUCUCUCUCUCUUUGGUCUCUUGAAGCUUUGUUGUUAAACUUGUAAGUUUGGUUUUUAAUAAAUCUCUGUAAGGGCCUCUAGUUUCGUUAAAAAAAACUUUUCCUGGACAAUUUCACCUAUAAAGCUUUGGCACGACUAGACGCCUUUAUUUUGUCUAAACUGCAGUCUAGUAACUCUAGUUCGUGUACACUGUCUAUAGACAAUUUAAAUGGCCUUUUAGCUCCGCUAAUUGGUUAAAUGAUAGAUGACCAAAUUGUUUAGAUGAUGUCACAUCUUCUUUAUUAUUAUAUUUUCAGACACAUUCCACAACGAGAAAGGGCAUUUUGUUAUUCACCAUCCCAUCUACAAAUCUCACUUCACUAACCAUUGUUUGCUAGUAGCAUUUCUUUAGGCUUCGUUUGGCAUAUAUUUUUUUUCACGAAUUUCACAAGCCGUUUCAAGUUGUGUUUAUGCCAAACAUGUAUUUUUGAAACAUGCUCUCAGGAGGAAUUAGUGUGAAAUAAGGCUGAAAAUAACUACUUCUGCUAGCUAGCACUCGCUAUGCUGGGCCUAGAGUGCGUCGAAGUCCGAUUUGCCCUCGACAGGACAUGAGUGCCGCAGUCGAGACGCACAGGUGUGCAGAGGCCGUCAGAGAUCAAGGAAGAAGAAGAUUGUGAGCAUGUACAUGCUGCGUUGUAUUACUGUAAUAAUCGGAUAAGAAAGAAGAAGAAAUAGAAGAGGAGAAAAAAAAGAAAAAGAAAAAGAAAGAGAAGAUCAUUAUAGUAAUUUUUUAGUUUUCUUGUUUAUCAUGAGAAAUUGUUUUGUCGAACACUAUAAAAAAUAAACUUUAGUUUAGUCGGUAGAGUUAUUUUCGCUCCAUCGGUAGAAUUGCUCGUGGCCUGAAGGCAAAAAAUCUGCUUCAGAAUCACUUAUGCCAAAUAGAGACUAGUAAUUUGAUAGAACCACACGUCUCUCCCGAUCGUAGGAAUUUGAUAGGUUCAUUUUCACCGGGGAAAAGAAACGGAGGAAGGAGAACGUUUAGAGAACCCGUGCCUCUGUCCAAUAUUUAUGAAAACAAGUCGGUUGUGUUUUGUCUGAAAGAGCAAGCACACACAUGCUCAGGAUGUGCUUUGCUGGGCACAAUGAACCUUUCAUGCUGAUGACAGCGUACGGUUGAUAUUGACACCGGCUAUCCAGUUCCAGUUCCAGUUCCAGCUCCAGCUCCAGUUCCGGUACCGGUACCGGUUCUGUAUAUAGCUUUUAAAGAUUGGGAAAACGCGCAGUUGGCGGUCAAUGCAGGAGGGAUAAGUCCAUGAUCAUUCUCUAUAUACGCAGGCAAAGGCAACAACCCAAGACACACUCAUCAUCGGUGGAGUAGAAGAAGCUCGAAGCUCAAUCUUGAACCUCUGCCAUUCAACCAAACCAGCCAUCUCUCUCUGUCUCACAUACAGCACUUGACACUAGCAAGACAGAUGGACUCAUCCCCAGCUGCACUCAUGAGGGUCGUGAGCUCGAUCGCCGGCGCCCUCCAUAGCAGGACGAUGGUGCCGUCGGCGAUGUUCUCCGCCGGCGUCGUCGAGGCGGUGGUGGCGCUCGCGUUCCUGGUCGCCAACACUCCUGAAGGUAUCUUCUCCCACCACGGCAAAGCACUUGCCGUCCUGUACUAUAUCAUCCUUGUGGCCGGGGUCAUCGUCGGCUCUGCGACAGCUUCUGCUUCUUUCUGGGUGGCACGCGAUCUCGAAGGCCGGCAUGCCACUGGCAUGGCGCUUCUAUGCGCGUGCACGUUCACUCUCAUCCCUGUCAUUGGGCUUCUCGUCAGCUUCUUCUUGCUCAAAAAGUAGCUUCUUCAGUUCAGACACCUUGUAAUGUUGGGAUUGUUGGAGUAUCUCGUAUGUAUGCUUGUAUGAUUGUACCAGAGUUUAGCUGCGUUCGUUUUGGAAGCUGAUAUUCGAAGGUGUUUUUGCCAAAUUUGUAGUGUCAUCUGUAAGUAAGAGAAAUGGUUGAUCUCAUCAGUCAAAUUUUCAGUCAAUUGUUCUGUCCAAAGAAAGAGUGAUUUUUGUUAUUGUGCUGUAAUGAUUUGUGUUUGUUCAAGGCAAUGAGAUUCUGGUGGCGCUGAGGUGGUGUAUCCUGUGUUUGUAUAUCUCUGCUACUUUGAAUUAUACGUCAAAUAGAAAAGCCAUUUGGUGUAACUUGGCUGGUCAUUAGCUUGCUGUUUGCAUCUGAAUCCACAUUAGCCGGAACAGAGCAACAAGGCUAUUGUGAUGAAGAUAACUGGGCGUACUCCGGUUCCAGUUCCGGUUCUGGUUCCCGUACCGGUUCCGGUUCCAGCUUUCUACGAUUAGUUUCAGAGAGUCUACUGAAGUCAACUUGCGGUAAAGAUGGUUGCGCCGUGGACAUCCUGAUUUGUCUCCGAUGCCUGCCCCGCUGCUUGACACAUGUCACCUUUGCUAGCACGACAUGUCAUCUGCGUGCCUGGGGCUCUAAGCUGUUGACGCACACACCAAGCUUGAUUAGUUCACCCCAAAAAUUAAUUUUUUUUUUCAAAAUUUCCUGUCAUACCGAAUCUUGUGGCAUAUAUAUGGAGCAUUAAAUAUAGACAAAAAUAAAAACUAAUUGCAUAGUUUACACUAUGAAUCACAGGAUGAAUCUAAGCCUAGUUACUCUAUAAUUGAAUAAUAUUUGUCAAAUAAAAAUAAAAAUGCUAAAAUUCCAAAAAUCAAAAUGUUUUGGGAACUAUACAAGGCCCAAAGCGAUAGAAGACAAGGACUGUAAUAGAUCGAUGAACUUUAUACAGGCUUGCAGCGACCUCGUAAAAACCCGGACAUUCUGUUUCACGACGCCGGACCAUCCUGUUUCGUGGUCUGGUUUAGCUUUUUUUUUAAAAAAAAUAAUCACGAUAGCACUUUCAUUUGUAUUUGACAAAUAUUAUCUAAUUAUAGAGAUUAAAUUUCUUUGCUUUCAUCUAAGAGCAAUUCCACCGGAUUGAGCAAGACCAAUUAUAUUUCCCUAUAUGAAGCAAUAAAAAAAACAUGAUCCUAUUUCGCUAAAGAAUUCUCAAUUCCUCGAAACCACACCUCUCCCCUUCAAACAAAAGAGAACAAGCAACAUUCUUUUUCUCGAUCUCCCUUUCUUUCUUUCUUUCUCUCUUUGCGGAGUUGUUCAUCGCGUACGAGCACCACCGUACCUGCGUAGCUUGGUUGUCGCGAUCAGAGUAGGUGAGCCGCACAUUAAAUUAGACAAAUUACAUUAAAUAAUGAGUUAAGUUCUCAUAUUAAAUUAAACAAAUAAGUCAAGUUCUCGCAUCAAAUUAAACAGAUUACAAUAUGUUAGACUAAGGCCCUGUUUAGUUUCUCACCAUCCAUCGCAUCGAAUCUCUGGACACAUGCAUAAAACAUCAAAUGUAGAUAAAAAAAUAAGGCAGAAUAGCCAUUUUAGUCCCUCAACUAUUACUCGAGGCUCAAUUUCGUCCUUUAACUUUCAAAACGUCCAUUUUAGUCCUCAAACUCUACUAUUAGACUCAAUUUCAUCCUAGAACUAUGAACAUGAUCGUUUUAGUCCUCAAACUUAGUAUUUUGAGCUCAGUUUCAUUUAAAAACUAUCAAAGUGUAUUUUAUUCUGUGAACUUUUAUUUUUAACUCAACUUUAUCUAUGUUGUACGUGGAAUGUUGCACUACUGCACAUGAUUAGCUCCACACCACCAGCGAUUGAAGAUAGAAAAAUAAUAUUUAUCUAAAAACUCUUUCAUGUCCAUUAAUAAUUCCAAGCUGUUAUGUUUAGCAUUACCUUAUACUUGUACCAUUUAUAUGUAUCCAACCAAAUUGAUAUUUGUGGAAAGAACUAUAGUUACAUCAAACACUAUUUAUUCUUCAAGAAUACAUGGAUAUAUUGAAAUAAUAGCAAAUCUAUAAUUUUGAUAAUUUAUGGAUGAAGUUUUGUCUAAAAUAUAAUGUUUUCUUUUUUAAUAGACAAAUUUGAGUUGAAAAUAAAAGUUAAAUGCACUUUAAUAGUUUAUGGAUGAAAUUGAGCUUAAAAUGCAAAGUUUAAGGACUGAAACAAUCAUCUUCAUAGUUGUAGGAUGAAAUUGAGCCUAAAACUAAAUUUUGAGGACCUAAAUGGCCAUUUUAAUAGUUUAGGGAUGAAACCGAGCCUCGAAUAAUAGUUGAGGGACCAAAAUGGUUAUUGGGCCAAAAAAUAAACUAAUUACACAGUAUGGUUAAAAAUCACGAGACGAAUCUUUUAAGCCUAGUUAGUCUAUGAUUAGGCUUAAGUGCUACAGUAACCCACAUGUGCUAAUAACAAAUUAAUUAUGCUUAAUAGAUUUGUCUUGCAGUUAUCAGACGAGCUAUGUAAUUUGUUUUUUUAUUAGUUUCUAAAAACCCCUCCCGACAUCCUUCCGACACAUCUGAUGUGACAUGAAAAAAAUUUUCAUCUCCAAUCUAAACAGAGCCUAAUAAAAUGCACCACCUAGAUAGUUGCCAUAUUAAAUUAGAUAAACUAUAAUAUUUAGGACUAACAUGCAUCCACUUGAAUAAUUGUUGUACGGUGAGUGAAAUUUUCUCUUUCUCUUGUACUAGGUUUUUAAAAUAGCGUCGCUGACAAGUGGACCUAAGUCGAAUCUGACCGGUGAAAACUCCUACCCUUCCGUUGGGCAUUCGCCCACAGCCGUGCUGCCCUGCCGCCACCCCGCCCCACCGUGUUCCGUGAACCAGCGCCAGCCCAGGGCAGGGCUGCUGUGCCUGUCCCGCUCGGCCGCUCCCCCGCCGCCCGCACCUCGCCGCCUGGCCCCUCGCGCUCCUGCUAUCGUGUCACCACCGCUGCCACCUGCCCUGGGCCUGCGAGAUGGCUCUCCGGUUUUCGCAUGUCGCAGCCCAACUAGAUCGGUGCUCCUGACUUCGAUCGGUGAGUCAGUUUUGUGCGUCGGCGUCGCCUAGGCCGGUGCUGGUUCUGUGCAGCUUGUGCAGUAGCGGAGGUGGAUUAAGCGCCGGGAAAGGGCGUGCUGCAAAAUCCCCUCCUAUUUCUGAAAGUACAUUGAGAUAUAAGGAAUUGAUUCAGGGCUUUUGGCGGUUUCUUUGUUGAACUAUUUGCAAUAGCAUUUGAAUAAUGAUAGCUUAUUAAAGAAAUUUCUUAGUAGAUAUACUGAUUUGGCUCUAGCGUAUGUUUGGGUCCGUAAUCUGCAGAGUCUCGCCCUCUUCCUGAAAGCGAGCAUGAGCAGUGCAAUCUGCACAACUGAUCUGCUCUCACAUAGCUAAUCAUCUAGGAUGUUUCUGCUAUAAGCUUGUAUACACAUAGUAUUAGGAUAGUAAUUUGUUUUAUGGAAUCAAAUUCCACAGUUUUGCAACUACCCCUCGGUUUCACCACAGGCUACAUGGGCCGUUAAUCUGAAUUCUGAACCUAGUCUAGCUCCGGCACUGCCCUCCACUUCCCCUGUUCCCCAUGUGCACACGCACCUUCUCUUUCUUUUAGCGUUUUUUUUCCUAAGAAAACUAUUUACCCGGCAUUACCUCUAUUAUCAAGAUUGACAUAAUUGUUGAUCAUGUACCACACAUGCCUGUAUUUUUUUUAAAAAAAAACCAUGAAGGUUUUUUUACUUUGAUUUUGUUUUUGUUUCCAAGUAGAUAAUAACAGGGGACAUGCUUCUCAACUCAGCUGUGCUCUAAUCAUAAAUAAUCUCUUAGGGAUAAAAUUAUUCUGCAUGGCAAUCAAGUCCAUAUCUUUAUGGACCAAGCAAAUGACCACAUGGAGGUAGGAUUAUUCCUUUUUUUUAAAAAAAACACUUUUCAUCCCUGCCUGGUCUGCUUUUAUCUAUUCUCUUUCCUUGACCCAAGUCAUUCAGAAAGGGGUUUUGGCUAUCAUCACAUGUUGUAUGUAUUUGGAGUUAGCUUUUUAUGUAAAUUCCUGCAAUGAUAUUCUCCCAAAUGAAAUUGGCUAAGAAUAAAUGUGCCAUCUCCAUGGUGGAUAUAGAAAAUCAGAAUAAACAGGUUGUAUAGAUUCACUUGUUGACUCCUGUUGCCUGUAGCUUCACUGUUGUUUCAAUUUAGGAGUGCCUUCUAUUGCUUAAUAGUUUUUGUUAAUACUAUGUUUUCACAUGCCAAAAGAAUUGACUAGAAACAUCAUGUACAAAUACAUUUGGAAUUGAAUGCCAUAGGUUUUUCAAAAUACUAAGCGUGGUCCUAAAUGCCUGUGUUUAAUUGGAAACCUGUCAUUCUCUACAUUUUCACCAAAUAAGGUUAAUCUUUGUGUUCAUAGCGCACCUACAUUGCUUUACACGGUGUAUCUUAUUUAGGCAUUCAACACAAUAUAUAUUUCCUCUUCCCCUUUGAGCUAUCACUGCAAACUUCUGUUUUUUUUCUUGAUUGAUGUGUGUAUGCCUCAGUCACAUGUGUAUUCUAUAUUGCAACAAUUUCCUGUUGUUGCUGUUUGGGAUGCAUGGGCAAUCUCGCAUGCUAUGCCAGUUCAAUAAAAACAGUGCUCAUGACUAAUUUUUCCUUUUGUUGUUAUUUUGUAUUCUUACAGAAUAGGUUGUAUCCGUACUUGCACCUUCAAUUCAUCUGCAUCAUUACAGCCAUAGAUAUUUUAUCUUGAUAUAUUUUGGCAUCUUCUUUUGACUCUCUAAUACUAGGUGUUUGAUGAUUUGCUUAUUUUGCACUUAUAUAACAUUAUAUGACUGACUAAAUUUACUAUUUAGCUACUGCAUGCAGCAUGGCAAUGAGGAUCUAUGGGCUUUGAACUACUCAGCUUUCUAAUUAAUUUUGUUAUUGCUGCUUUUCCAAUCUGCCUUUGCUCCUGAUCUUGGUGAAGACAUUGCUUCCUGAUAUAGGUGUUGGCCAGGUAACACACACAAGUGGAGAAUUUUGGAUCUGCCAGAGGGCAGCUUGGCCAUAGGCUGCUUCUUGCAUUAUAUAGCAAAAGCUUACUUGGUUUCCAAGGAAAAUAGUUCAACCAUUACAGCAUAUUCUAGUGCAUAAAGUAGAUGCUACCUAGAUGCUAAAGCAUCAGCUGUAAACAACAUUACAAUGAAUAGUAAAUUGCUAGAUAGAUAACUAGAUAUAUUGAGGAAUCAGCACUAGGCUUAACCCUCAAUAGGUACAUCCAGAAAACCUACUGCAUUCAGAAUGCUGCUUCUCUGUUUUCUGUAGAUGUACUACUGUUGUUCCUUCAAGCAGUUGUCCUUGGUUAUGCUGCAUAUUCUUUAUGAUGCAAAUUACUGGAGAAAUUAGUAACUGUGUAUGGUUCAACUGUCAUUUCACUGUUCUCAUGACUUCUUUGGUUUCCUCAGUAUUUGUUCAUGUUGUUUUAUGCUGCAAUGAUGGCAGAUUGGACAAGAAAAAGCAUCUGUGCCUAUGCACACUAGAUGAGAAAUACACUGAAAUACAACAUGUUUUUACACUAUCAUGCACUGGCUGAAAUUGUUUACAUGGUUGGUCUGCGGUUACACAUUACUUAUAUUACUUAUAACAUCAUGAGAGUAUCGCUGGAUGAGAAGCAUGAGCUUUGCAGUUUGUUCAUCUUAUCUCUAUUUUUUCUUUUAUGAAUAUUUUGCAUGAACUGGUCCACCACACCGGCAACAGUCAUGCAUAGUUUAUGCACUUGGAUAAAUAAUCUGCCUUGCCUUAGUCUUUCACUGUAGUCCAUCAAUCAGAAAUUGUUCUAAUUAGAUAUAAAAAAUUUGAAUGAUAAAAACAUUAGUUUUGCUAGCAGUCAAGAAAAUGCCUUUGCCACAUCGUUAAUUACAAAAGGUCACUGCAAUUUAAUUGCGAGAUAGCCUUACAAAAGGUUACUGCAAUUUAAUUGCGAGAUAGCCUUCUAUGCUGUAACAAAAUGACAAGGAGCUCAGAUAAACAAAUGGGAUGACGAGACAUCAACAAAUGUAUGGUUCCACAUUAUAAACAAUUAGUUAAAUAUGCAUAUAGCUUAGAGUUAUUAAGAUACUUGCCACAAAAUGAUGGACUGUUUUAGUGAUUUGCACAUAUCUUCUAAGAGAAGAGUUACAUCAAGAUGAAACCAUUUCAGAAGAAUUUGAUUUUGUUUUUUACAUGUUCAGUAAAGUAGCUAUUACCCUCUCUUGCUAUUUUAUAGUCAUUGUCAUCUAUUGUUAUUUUCGAGCUUAACUUUGGCUGAUAUUAACCAAUAUAACGGUUUGUCUUUUUUUACCAUGUGGUUUCAGGAACAGACUAACAGUGCUCCAUCACUAUGAACUUCCCUAAUGUAAGCUUGCCUUGGGACAUAAUGAGUAGCUACAGCUUGAAGGACCGAAAACGACGACCAACCGGGGGGGGAGGGGGUCAAAUUUCUUUCAAAAUAGUUGGCCAUUGUUCCAAGAUCAAAGCCUAAAAGCAACUCACACUCGAGCGGAACACAAGAGUGUGAGAUACACGAGCUAACAAGUAGCUAGAUACAUCAAGCGAAGUCUUAGGCACACCAGAGAACACUCAAACACAGAAUAGAUCGAACCCUUUGAGAGUGAGGUGAAAAAGCUUUCUCUGAUAGUCUCAGACUGACCGUGGUACAAGCACUGGACUGUCCGUGGUACAAGCACCGGACUGUCCGAGAUUGAGGGUUGGACUGUCUGAUGUUCAACUCCUAGAAAGCGGCGGACUGCCUGUGGUCAGGCCCGGACUAUCUGUAGGUCAAAACACAAAAACCACACCGCAAGAAACUAGUUCUGUCUGCUGAGAAACAUGAACCACGCACUGUCUGGGUUUUGGGGCGGACUGUCCGGCAUUCAAAAUAGCGAAAAACGAAGUUGGAAACAUGUUCUGGAUGCAGAACACGCAGGAUUGACGGACUGUCCGUGAUCCAAGCCUGUCUGUGAUCGGGCACCCGAAGGGGCUGCCGUUUGCGAUACAAACAGUAACGGCAGACUAUCCUCGGUCUAGGGGCGGACUGUCCGCAGGUCAAGAAAUCAGCGCGAACAAAGUCACCCGGUUGAAGAAAAAUCUUGAUUUGUGGCUAAAUCAAAACCAAUUGCCACCAAAUUUUAACCACAUGGUCACAAGGCAAUAGGUGAGCUACCUCUAAGAGAUCAUUGCCCAAUUUGAAGUCAAUCAAUGAAAAAUUGGAUGAACACGAAAAGCACCGAUUUUUCUCCCCGAAAGCUUGAUUCGCCCCGAUCUAUGAACUCGUGUGGAAUUGGUUGAUUUUCUUUAGUGGAAAGGCUCAACUCAUGUCAUUGCUCAAGCCAAUGCAAAAAGAACGAAUCAAAUUGGUCUCAAAAUGACGAAUCAAGGCAAGAACGAGAGGGGGAAACAAGAACGCGAUUCACAAAAGCAUCUCACAAAAUUAAAUCUCGGGGGACACAAGGAGGUUAAGGCCUCCAUCCUCGUAGCAAAUCUCAAUGCUUACAUAAAUUUUUGGAUCUAUGGACCUCUCCCACUCAAGAAGACUAGAGGUAGGGAAAAACCUAAGUGGAUGGUGGCCCACUCAAAAAGACUAGAGGUAAGGAAAAACCUAAGUGGAUGGUGAAAAAUAGGAAAUAAAAGACAUGAGAUGGGUUUGGGGCUCCCAUCUCUUAUUUAUAGGACUAUUACACAUUUCCCAUUUUAGAGUGAACUAGUUAGCCACAGGGGCAUUCUAAUCCAAUUCGAUAUAGUUUUCAUGCGACGGCCACAACGCCUCUCAUAAGGUAGCUUCGCCUCGACGCGAGCUCCUUGAUGCCGCCACAUGCCGUCUGUUCCUCCUCGGAACAUCGGCCUAGGUUUUGAGGUCCAAACCCGCGAAACCCGCCGCAAGUAGCAUACUCCAUACGCGUCUCUUGCCACUCGACAUGUGUCACCGCCGUCUUCGACCGGCUGCCCGCCAAGUCUUCCCGAGAAUCGCUCGACUCGCAUGUCUGUCGUCUUGACUUGGUCAACACGGUCACUCUCAUGUACACUUACGCUUAUCGAUGUCCUAGGUGUCAGCCACCACGGCUGAUCACCCGACCUCCUGGUCCGUCAGUCCAAUCCUCACGUCCGUCCUUCACCGCUCCGGGUCCAUCAGCAUGACAUGUCUCUACUUGACAGUUGACAUUCACCUCGCCAUCGACCACCGCCUCCGAGCUCCAUACCUACAUACCAUAAGCCAAUAGACAUGUCGCACGACUCAACUCACGUCAAUAGUUAGUCACCAACUCAACCUAUUUCGUGGAUCACGUUGACAAUCACUCAUUAUAAAUCGAACCAUAAGGACACAUUUCAAUCUUAUGUUCCCACAACUGUCGUAGCCUAGUAACACGUACACAGAGGUUUGGAGACGAUUCCCCUGGUGUACUCAAAUUUAUAGGAACAGGAAGGCCAUCGAACUCGUUGAUUCUCAUUUAUAUACUGAAAUGCAUUCUUGCCACUUUAGUUAUUCUGCAAUUGCUCAAUUCCUUCGAUGAACUGAAAAAGGGACGUAGCCACAACGAAGACACUAAGAAAUGCAUGGUUCCACAUUAGGAACGAUUAAGCAUCUGAAUCAUUAACAUAUUUGCCACAAAAUAUGUUUUUAAGAGUAUUUUACAGUUGCACUGGGAUAGUGAUCUCCACCUAAUACCUACUAGUAUAAUGCCGUGCUAACGUUACAGUUUAAUUUUGGGAUGUUUCUAAAAACAAUAAUUAUAGUUUGGAAAUAUUUUUUCAUGUAGCAAGGCGUAAUAGAGCUAUUUGUCGUAUUAUGAGCAUCUAUGUUACAUUUUGUCUAAUUCUUUAAUCAUGUAUUGGACAUCUUCAGGAAUGUUGUCGAAACAUUCGUUUGCUUUGGUCACUAAAAUGUCCGCCAAAAAUUCCAUCCUCUCCGAUACCAGCUUUACAGACAUUCUCCUCUCGUUCUUUCCCAUCUCAUCUCAUGUCAACGACAGCAACACACAGUGUCCAGUCAGUGACUGUCAACGCUACCAUGCAUUUUACACCCUUUUACCAGGGUUUUUUUUUUCUCUUUUACGUACACAUUUGGAGUAAGUACUGUAACUAAGAAGAGUCUGAAUGGCACAACGAAACAAAAUGAAUGAAAUCUAUAACCCUUCCCCCGUCGCACGCUGUCACUGCUGUGUCUGUAUUUGGACCCAGAUCCCCUCGCUAGGGAUGUGCCCGUUCACCACGAACACCAUGUAGUACCCCGAUGGCGCCAGCACCGCCGUCGCCGGCAUCGUCACCGACGCAUUGAACGUGCCGGCUCGACCACGCACCGCCACGUUCUUGGUCACGUCAAGGAACAGCAGCCGCUGGUUCAUCGCGAACGAGUGCGUCGUGAACGACGACGCCACCAUCGUCACCGACACGUCACCGAGGCCCGCGGCACCGCCACGCCUCCUCCGUGCCGAUGCCGGGACCGAGAACUGGAGCGUCAUCGUCGCCCCGUAGGCCACGCUCGUCGGCGCGCCGGUCGGGGACGGUUCGAGGAUCCUCGGCCGGAGCAUGUCGUUGGACGCAUCGAGGUACUCCGACGAGAAGGCUUCCAGGCUGAGGUCGGUGGGGAACUGCACGUUGCUGAAGUUGUAGUAGGUGUGCGGGUUGCUGCCGCCCACCAGCAGGUGGUCGUCGCGGAGGAGAACCACCGAGGAGUGGUACAGCCGCGCGACACCCGUCGCGGUCUGCUCCUCGAACCGGUCCCCCGACGAGUGGUCGGGAGGUAGACGACGGGCGCGUACGCGGGGGUCUUGGCGGACUCCCACCCGGCGGUGCCGUCCGCGGCGCCAUUGAUGAUCGCCACCUCCGCGCCGUUGGGCAGCAGGAUCAUGUCGCCCAUCACCCGCGGCGACAGCAUUGUCUCGAUGACCCACGCCGGCGCCGCGUCGGUGAUCUUGAUCCGCCCGCACGUCGUCAGCGCCGGGACGAAGGUGCCGGCGCCGCCCUUGGUGGAGUUGUAGGAGCCCACCGGCGCGACACCGCAGACCAGCACCUCGGCCUCGAUGGGGUUGGGUUUCAGCGGCAGCAGCACCAAGGAGCCCGAGCUGGGGUAGUUCCGCGGGUCGCCGUCGCCCAGCACGGGGUACGUCCGCACGAUCCUGUUGCUCUUGUAGUCCAGGAGGACGGCGCGGUUGUUGGAGAAGAUGAAAAAGUUGCCAUCUAUGUUGAGGUGCACGAACGGAUAAAGAUUGUUCUCCUCGAGAUCCUUCGUCCGUGCCAAAAAUGACAUUUGGACGACAGACGUAUCCGACGGGCCGGCCUUCGGGUAGAACUCGUAGUUGAACUGCCUCCGGCCACCGACGAUGAACGCGCGGCCAUCGUGGAGGAUCUGGUUUGUGGCGUACCACCGGUUGGCGGCGAGCGCGUCCUGCUUCUCGGACCAGUCGCAGCUCUUGUCGUCCCCGGUGCCGCCGCACGCGGGCAUGGUGCGCGCGUUGCGGAACCCGUCGUUCCAGCCGCCGGUCUGGACGAGCGUGCCGUCGGGGGCGACGGUGGCCGAGGAGCACCAGGUGUCGGUGAAGAUGGAGAGCGGGCGGAACGCGUUGGCGGCGACGUCGUACUCGGCGGCCCGACGCGAUACGGAGUUUGGCGAGUGUUGGGCCUUCCUCCACGGCCGGGAUCGGCAAGUUGCGGUCGCCCUUCCUCUACGGCCGGGAUCCGCAAGCUGCGGCACCAGCCCGACGCGAUACGGAGCUUGGCGAGUGUUCGGCCUUCCUCCACGGCCGGGAUGGGCAAGUUGCGGCAGCAGCCCGACGCGGUUUUCUGCGAAUACGGAGUUAAGGAGUUUUUCACGGGAGUUUGGCGAGUGUUGCGAUACGGAGAUGACGCGAGGCGACGCGUGAGGGCGGAUGUAAGGUUGUGAUCAUACUUUUAAUCUGAGCCGUCUAAUCUGUAGGACAUGUGCUGUGAGUCGUUGAUCUUACAUGUGAGAUUUGCUUGGAGAAGAUUUCAAUUAUAGUAGAGAAUAUUUUGUCGUAAUCAGGAUGUCUGCAUUGUCGAUGAAUAAAGAAGUGGUUAGCUCCACCUCCACGUUAGGGCGUCCGGUUCAACCAAAUAGCAAGAUGACGUGGACAUGCGAUCAAAUAAAAAAGAGAAAAUUUAAAGUGCAUACUAUACAUUGAAGAGAGAGACUGACACAGUAUUCAUAGCAACUCGUGCGAGCUUCUCACUCCGUUCUAUUAAAAGUGACAUUUUUGACUUUUAAUUACCGUAUUUGAUCAUUCAUUUUAUUUAAUUUUUAUAAAUUGUAAAAUAAAUAAAUUAUUAUUAAGAUAUUUCUAAUAAUAAAAUAAGUCAUAAUAACAUAGUUAAUUAUAAAAUUUUUUAAUAAGACAAAUAGUCAAACAAUAUGGUACAAAGUUUAAAACGUCACUUUUAUUGGGACUCAGAGAGUAAGACCUUGUUUAGUUGAGAAGGUGAAAGUUUUUGGAUACUGUAAUACUUUUGUUUUUAUUUGACAAUUAUUAUCUAACCAUGGACUAACUAGACUUAGAAGAUUCGUCUCACAAAAUAUAGGUAAACUGUAUAAUUAGUUAUUUUUUUAUUUAUAUUUAAUAUUCCAUAUAUAUAUCGCAAGAUUUGAUGUGACUGUGAAUCUUGAGAAGUUUUUAGGUUUUAGGGUGAAGCCUAAGCGAUUUGCUCAUUGCUAGCUAUAGACCUAUAGUGCAAUUCUCAUGCUCUCUCUCCUCUAAACACUAUAAAAAAUUAUGAUACUGGCUAUUUGGACAGCCCGCCGGAGCCGCCCUUGCGUGUGUUUGGUUGGGUUGUUAAGAGGUGUUUGGUUUGAGUUUAGCAUUUUUGUUUUAUUUAACAAUUAAUAUUUAAUUAUAGACUAAUUAAAUUCAAAAGAUUCGUCUCGUAAAUCAUUCUCUAAAUGUAUUUUUAGUUUCAUAAAUAGUCUAUAUUUCGUAUUUUAUAUAUAUGUCCAAACAUUUGAUGUGACGGAUGAUAAAUUUUACGGGCCAAACAAGUUCUAAAAUUUAAUAGAUACUAUAGCAUUUUUAUUUUAUUAAGUAAUCAGUGUCUAAUCAUAGAUUAAUUAAACUUAAAAGAUUUGUUUCGUAAAUUACUUUCUAACUAUAUUUUUAAUAUAUAUAUAUAUAUAUAUAUAUAUAUAUAUAUACGGUAGCGCUAUUCUACACCCUAGGUGUAGAAUAUUAUUCUACACCGCAAGUCAAAAUUGAGCUGAAAAAAUACCGAACAGUACUGAGCAAUGUUCAGUAUCAUUCAUGACUACACCUAGGACCACGAAAUACCGAGUAAUACUGAAACGUAAAUACUGAAUGAUACUGAAUUCUGCUCAGUAUAACAGUUCGAUGUAGAAUAGUAUUCUACACCUAGGGUGUAGAAUAGCACUUGUAUAUAUAUAUAUAUAUAUAUAUAUAUACCAAAAUUCAGUAUCGCUCAGUAUUCGUGUUUCAGUAUUGUUCAUUAUUUUGUGGUCUUGAGUGUUGAACAAGUUGAUACUGAACACUCUCCAGUACUGCUCAGUAUUUUUUCUACUCAAUUUUGACUUAUGGUGUAGAAUGAAUAAUAGUUAUAUAUAUAUAUAUAUAUAUAUAUAUAUAUAUAUAUAUAUAUAUAUAUAUAUAUAUAUAUAUAUAUAUAUAUAUAUAUAUAUAUAUAUAAAUAUUUAAUGUUACGGGAGUAACGACGCCGACUCAUGAAGUAGUGAGACAGGCCACACGGCCCGAGGCGUUUGUCACUUUUGCCGUUCCUUUACCAGUUUUCUACCACCCGCAUGCGGCUUUACUCCUCUGAUUCUGCUCUGCUUUGGCUACCCUCUCUUUUGCUUCCUCCUCCGUUGACCAUUGCUCAAGAACAAUGCCUCGGCCAGAUCUGAUGGAGGUGGCAGAGGCAACCAAUCUGGAGGCCGCGAUUCUAUGGCUGGUGCAAACCAUCCUCGGAGCUCUUCUGCCAGGAAAACUUGCCGAUUGGCUUCGUGAAGCCGGCCUCGCCGGUGCCAUCGAGGAACUCAAAUAUGAGGUGGAGAGGAUGGAGACGGUGGUUAAUGGUGUCAAUGGAAGGGCGGUCGGGAACAAGCCGCUUGCCCGCUCCCUCGCUCGUGUCAAGGAGCUCAUGUAUGACGCUGAUGACGUGGUGGAUGAACUUGACUAUUACAGGCUCCAGCAACAGGUCGAAGGAGGUAUGUAAGCAUCCAUCCUUGCGAUUUGUGUUUGUUUCUACUGUUCUUCCUUCUAGAAAUUGUGAUCAUAACUUUCUCCUUUCUCAUCUGUCAGUUAUGGUUGCUCCUGCUACUGAGCCGGAAGGCAUGGUUGUUGGAGAUGGAGCAGAGCAAGCAGUUGCAUCGACCAAUACUGUUGGUAUACUUCGAUCCUCGUGAUUUGUGGUUUUCCUUUACAGUUCGGUUUUCCUUUUGAAUAAUCUGUGAUUAUAAACACGCCCUCGUACCAUGUCAUCGUUUACUCCUUUCUCUGUCAGUGAUGCUUGCUCCUGCUAUUGAACCGGAAGGCAUGGUUGGAGAUGGAGCAGAGCAUGCUGAUCCAUCCGCUAGUACUGCUGAUAUAUCGGCCAACAACGGGCGCAAAAAUCGAUCCAAGGAGCGGGACUAUUUUCACAUUACACCAGCGGUAAAUGGACAACCUGGGAGAGCGAAGUGCAUUGAUUGUGGCACACAGGUUAUUUUUAGUCACGGCACAUCAGUUUUGCGCAAGCAUCGUAACAGUGCUAGUUGCAAGAAAAAACGUGCAGCGAUUGAAGAGGUGCCGAACUGUCCAAGGUACUGCUUACCCCUCAAGUUCUGGAUUGCAUCACUUUCGAAUAUCCAAUUAUGUCUGUUAUGGUAAAAAAACAAGGGACCCAGUACAUUGGUCAUGCAUAGAAGUUUUUAUAUGACCGUUUCAUUUGUUUUGGAAAGAAAUGAUUGGUUCAUUUAAACUAUGACUUGCAGUGCAAAUCUGAAUUGUGCUAAUAAAUUUGGGAUAACCAACCUGCGAUCCUUUUCCUCUUGUAGUGCCGGCGAUAGUAUACAAAAUGGUGCCACAAUUUCAACUUAUGAUUUAGAGGGCAGAAAAAGAAUGAGAAUUGAGUACAGUGUAUCUACUACCACACACCUCUGGGGCAAGGCCGAUUUUUUUAUAAGGAUCCAGGAAAUAGCUCUUGAGUUACGGAGCAUCCGAGGCGAUGUGAUUGAGUAUCUUAAGGACUCUGUUGCAAGGUCUGAUCAGUACCAGAGUAACACCACCUCAGAUGCACGAGUAAGAACAUCAGGCUCUCUUCUUGGAAGAGUCUAUGGAAGGUAUAUUGAGAAACAACGCAUCAUGAGUGUUAUAGAAGAUGCUAAGUCGGACAACAUAACAGUACUAGCUAUUGCGGGCAUUGUAGGAGUUGGGAAGACGACUUUAGCUAAACUGGUAUACAAUGAUGUAUUUGUUAAAAGACAAUAUGAGCGAAUAUGGGUUUGGGUGUCCAACAUCUUUGACGAAGUAAGAGUGACAAGGGAGAUCUUAGAUGUUGUUACUAUGGCCAGCCAUGAAGGAUCUUGCAAAAAAGAAAGCUAUGAAGGAGUCAGCAACUACUCGAAGCUUCUAGAGGUCUUAAAGAAACAUAUGCCAUGUCUGUCCAAAAAGUUUCUACUUGUUCUAGAUGAUGUCUGUGACUGCAUGGAUCAUUCCCAAUGGGACGAUCUCUUGGAUGCAUUGGGAUCAAGUUGCAUAAACGGUAAUGUGAUUAUUGUGACAAGUAGAAAUUUAUCCGUUGCAAAAAGGCUAGGUACAGUCAAACCAGUUGAAGUAAGAGCUCUUGAAAAUGAUGAUUUUUUGCAGUUCUUUAGAGCUUGUGCAUUUGGUGAUAACAAUUACAAAGAGCAUCCAGACACCAGCCAACAAAUAUGUGCAAAGUUGAAGGGAAACCCAUUAGCAGCGAAAAGUGCCGUGGAAAUGUUAAGAGAGCAUCCUACUCUUGACCAUUGGAAAAACAUCAUUAAGAAUGGUAUUUGGGAAUCUAUGCAACUCCGUGGAGGCAUUGUGACUACAUUGAAGAAUAUCUAUUACCAUCUACCCUACCAUUUACAACAAUGUUUCUUGGUGUGUUCUAUAUUCCCUAAUAACCAUCAAUUUCAUAUUGAUGGUUUGAUCUCCAUGUGGACAUCAUCGGGAUUUGUGAAAUCUAUUGAGGUAGGACGAGAUUAUCUCAAUGCUUUGGUCAACUUAUGUUUCUUUGAGCAAGUUGGAACAGAAUAUGACUCAGAACAAUGCUAUGUUAUGUGUGGUAUGAUGCAUGAAUUUGCGAGACUGAUUUCAAGGACCGAGUUUGCAACUAUAGAUGGUUUCGAGUGCAAAGUGUUGCCAACCGUGCGCCAUUUGUCAAUUCAAAUUGAAACUAAUUUGGAGUACCAUAUAGAUGAAUGUGAGAUCCUAAUUCAUAAUGUGAAGUUUGAAGAAAAAUUGCAAAGUAUAGCUUCUUCAUUGAGGAGAUUGAGGACGGUGAUCUUAAUUGGGGACGAUUCUUUAUUCGUCCUGAAGUCCUUCCAUACCUUUAUUUCCAAUUUGGUAAAUUGUACCCAUCUUCGCUACUUAAAACUUGGGAAGAAACUCAUCAAUGAAUAUUUGCCUAUAUCUCUAAGCAAGCUUUACCACCUUGAAAUAUUAGAUGCUGGGUGCCGAGCAAUUGUAAAUGAUCUCAUAAGCAUGAGGCAUCUUGUUCUAACAAAGGGAGCAUGCAGCCCUUCCUCCAUAGCUAGGUAUGCUAGCUUGCAGACGAUCCAUAUUGAGGAUUGUAAAGGAUGGGAAGUACUCACAUCUCUAGAAAGUCUGUCGUCUCUUACAAAGUUGAAGUUAAGGAAUAUGGUGGAAGUAACAGAGUUGUUAAUACCUUCGUUAGAGGAGCUGGUGUUGACUGAUAUGCCAAAGUUGUAUAGAUGUUUCAUCAAUUCAGUGGAGGACUUGAACUCAAGUUUGAGGAUCCUGAAGAUCACAAGUUGCCAGGUACUUAUGUCCUUUCCCCUCUUUGAGAGGGGUGAAAAUUUUGAAAUCGAGCAAAAGUCAUGGUUGCCCAAUGUUAGCAAGCUAACCGUCUAUGGGUGUCCUCAUUUAGUGGUAUCAAAUCCUGUACCACCAUCAAGUAACUUUUGUAAAUUUUUCAUCGCAAAUAUUUUAACACUUCCAACCAUGGAAGGAUCAUCAAACGGAGAAAUGAAAAUUGCAAGGCAUCUUGUUCUCUCGAGAUUCAAGGAGUUGUCACUGGACGACAAAUUUUUGUCAUUCCACAACCUGAAGACCAUAACUCAAUUGCAAAUAGUGGGAUUGAUAAUGAGUGUAUUGUCUAUGUCACCCAAAGGUCUCAUGCAACUUGUCAGCUUGAAGAGGUUGGAAAUAUGCUACUGCAGAACAAUUUUCUCUUCGGAUGUUCCGUCAACGCAAGCCCAUGAAGACAUGGCAGCCACAGUUUUUGAUGCCCUCCCAUCUCUCGAGUGUCUCAAGAUUAUGUAUUGUGGAAUAACCGGAGAGUGGUUAUCUGUGAUGCUGCAACAUGUGCGAGCCUUAGAGGAAUUGUAUCUAGAAAGUUGUAAGAAGAUACCAGGGCUAAUGAUAGAAAGGGAAGACAGUAGUUUUUCAAAUCUCACCUUGGCUCCACGUGCUUCGUCACAGGGAAAUCCAGAUUGUGCAUCAAAAAGGUCAUGUUCUGAACUCCUGUGCAUUCCAUCUAAUCUCGUUCCCUCUCUCAAGAAGAUGUCUAUUAAAUUUUGUGACCUAACAAAGUUCCAAGGAAACAAGGAAGGAUUCUCUGGAUUCACCUCUCUUGAGGAGUUAAGUAUUUAUGGAUGCCACGAGCUGAUACCGUCUUCGGUACAUGGAGACGAAAUCGAUGAGAAAGCAAACGGAAGAUGGCUUCUCCCGUGUUCACUUGGCGUAUUGGAUAUCAGAGGCUUUUCCCUGGAAACGCUGCAGCCCUGCUUUCCGGGAGAUCUGACCCGCCUCACGGUACUAGAAGUGUCAGAUAUCAAUGCAUUGAAAUCUCUACAGCUGCAUUCCUGCACAGCACUGGAAAAGCUGACAAUUAGAUAUUGCGAAUCGCUGGACGCACUAGAGGGUUUCCAAUCCCUCUGCAGUCUCAAGUAUUUGGAAGUAUACAAAUGCCCUGGUUUACCUCAAUGUUUGGAGAGUCUAUCAACGCAGGGUUAUGAGCUGUGCCCUCGUUUGGAAAGCCUUCGGAUUGACGACCCGUCUCUUCUUACCAUGCCAUUCUGCAAGCACCUUACCUAUCUCCAAUGCCUACAACUCGACGGCAAAUAUGGAGAUAUCGACGCGGCAGGACUAACAUGGGAGCAAGAGGCAGCGCUUCAGCUCCUCACGUCCCUGCAAGAGCUCCGAUUCGAAGAUUACCGCAAACUCUCGGAUCUUCCCGUGGGUCUGCAUAGCCUUCUCUCUCUCAAGCGACUGGAGAUCUUUUAUUGCGAGAGUAUCUCAAGGCUGCCACCAUCGCUGGAAGAACUGGAGGUCUACGAGUGCAGCAAGGAGCUAGCCGAGCAGUGCAGAAUGCUAGCAACAAACAAGCUAAAGGUAAUUAUCGAUGAUGAAUAUGUGAACUGAUUACUGGGUGGCUUGUUUAGCAAACGUGUCUACCAGAACAUCAAACGUUCCCGACAUCGCGUUGACGCCUUGGAAGGUACAUAUGCUUCUACAGCUGACCAUGUUUAUCUUCAGGGUUUUUAUACGUGGCUGUAAUGCUGAAGUAAGAAGUCUCUUUACAGGCAUUCAAAGCUACCAUCAUAUGGCUGCAGUGGCUGUUGUCAGAACCAAUAGGAGUACCGUACGAGUAUUACAAGCUGUUCGAGCAAGUGUUGAAAGCCCCUCCUGUUUUUCCUAGGUGGCCCUGCUACAAGGCUUGUAUUGGCCAAAGAUGAGGGGCCAAAAAUGUUUUUCUUUAUUAUACUCUGUAGACUAAAAAAACCUGGAUUUGCUGUGCAAGGUUCUCUGGUUUUGCACAGGCUUUGUUCCACUUGUAAACCUUGUCCUAACGUGCUCAUGUUGCUGAAUACGGUUUUGGUCAUAGGCUUGCCGCCUUGCUGAGAUAGAUGUCCAUGUCAUAUGACUGAAAGAGGCCUGUUUAGUUCCCGUGGAUGUUUCCUGUGUAUUCUGUAUACUACAGAAGGGACUCUAAGAUAUGUACAGCCCACUUUACAUCAUAGAGAAAAUAGUUGGUGUAAAUAAUCGCACCACAACUUCCUUGCUAACACAUGCAAAAUGCUCUGAAUCUACAGCAUGACAAUGCCCAGUUUUCGGCCUCUGAUGUGAUGAAGACAGGGCUAACAUGAUGGGUUUGAAGCAACCCGUUUCGCUCUGACCCUCUGUGCUAGAGAUGAGGAUUCAUAUUAAUGAUGGUGCAGCGAUGCAGACAAGAAAUGAGUUACACCAAUCCACAAGAGUAGAAUUUGCAACAGAAAUAACAAUCUUAUAUUCAAACUUUUUUUCGCAUCAGUAGAACUACAAAAAACACAGUUCCUCAAUUCAUCUAAAACCACACACACUCAAAUUAUAUUGACUUGUCGUAGGAUCAUACAUGUUCUAUGUGCUGAUUUUUGUGAUCACGUCAACCGAACCAUCUAAAUGAUACAUUCAUGGCUCAAAAAAUAUUUAUCUAUACACUUAAUUUUUACUGAAAAAAUACUCAUUACAAAGAUCUAUAUAUUCUAGAACAAUACAGAUGACAAGUUUGGCACAAGAACCACAAUGCCGAACACCUAAUUUUCAGCUAGAUCGAUAGAAGACUUGAGGUUAAAUACCAUCUACUAGAGCUAACUCCGCGCAAAACCAAUCUUGUGAAAUUAUUUGGGAAACAAAUAGUCCAUGCUCUAAUGAUGAAUCCAUUAGUUUUGUAUGGAGGGAUGCCCCAUUGUUUUGCCAGGUUGUUGACACCCAUUGCCACUUGGACAGAAAACCUACAGAUUUGGUAGAGGUAGCGACAUCUGCCAGAAAAGAGGACAUUAAAAGCAAACAAACAGAGAAACAAAGUUCUCAAGGAACAACUUAAUAUUAUUUUUGUCAAGAUAAAUGAGCUGGGAAAUCCAUCAAUACAUGGUUAGUUAAUUAUUCCUUCAUGAAGCAGGACAUUAAAAGCAAACAAACAGAGAAACAAAAUUCUCAAGGAACUACUUAAUGCAGCUGGGAACUACUUAAUAUUAUUUUUGUCAAGAUAAAUGAGCUGGGAAAUCCAUCAAUACAUGGUUAGUUAUUUAUUCCUUCAUGCAGCAGGACAUUAAAAGCAAACAAACAAAGAAACAAAGUUCUCAUGGAAUUACUUAAUAUUAUUUUUGUCAAGAUAAAUGAGCUGGGAAAUCCAUCAAUACAUGGUUAGUUAUUUAUUCCUUCAUGCAGCAAGAAUUUACAACAAGUAAACUUAAUCUGUCCACAGACUAUACUUCACUUAAGAUUUCUUGUUUGCAACUAUAUAUUCAGAGUAGGUCAAAACAUGCCCAAAUAUGGAUGCAUAUCAGUUUUGGAGUUUUCCUUUAGCAUUUUCUCCAGUACUCUCAUAGAAGAACACUUAAGGUGGUAGAUCUCAAGCAAUGCAACAUAUCAAAAUCAGAAUGAAUAUAAGGCAGGAGACAGAUGACUGAAAUGGACAGUUCCUAUAGAGUUGAUGAUUUGUAUAGGCCACAAUGUCAUGAAUAAAAGAGAGGUCACUAACCUUAUGCAUCCAACUCUACUGUUCGAUGAUCCAAAGUCCAAACAUAACGUGAUGUUGCCUUCUCAAAAACUCACCUGAUUAUGCAACUGCCCGAUGGUCCCUUUCUCUGCAUACAAGCAACUAUUUAUUCAGUUCAGAACUUUGAACACAACACUGAGGUUCCCAUGAGGCCACGGCCAAUUUUCUAGGAAUAAGUACGUCAAUAUAGCAGUGAAUAAAACUUCUUAUAGAAGUGGAUGAGUGCAGUGUGAAGAUGAACACACAAGUAAUAUACAUUCAGGGCAAACCUCAAUUUCAUGAAAACCAGUCCUGUAGCAUGAAAGACUAUUGCUACCAAUUGAGGAGAAAAUCCUUUUAAAUUAAACAAAAAGAAACUAAUUAGCUCGGUUUGAGCAUACAACAUGGAUAGAAAUGUAUGAAUAUAUUUUUUAUUAUAUUGAGGCAGUAGGAGGUAGUUACUGGAGUAAGAUUCAUAGAUGACAAGAAAAUGUACACACUGUGGACCUGGUUUGAUAGCACGAAAUACAUAAAUGAUAUCUGUUGAGUCGCAUUGCAGGCCACCAUAAACAUCAUGAUCUACACAUGGAUGCAAAUUCCAACUGGGAGACAUACCUCUGGGCGUGAUGUAGGCUGGGGUGCUGCAAAACAAUGAGAAGAGGAAUAGGAUUAAUCUGACAGAGACCAUAGUGUCGGUAGUUUAGCGCAGAGCACGAUUAGGAACCCAGAAGAAAUCCUGGCUGGGACGACUCCUCCAUGGGCUCAUCCGUGUCCAUCUGUGAGCUAUCCUCCUUGCCUAGGAACGCCUCGAAGGGCGUGAGCCCAGCGGCUGUGGCGUCGGAGCGGCAGUCGGAUAGGAAGCAGAUGAGGGAGACGUGCUCCAGCUGCAUCGGGGGCUCACCCGACGGCGAGCUCCCCACUGCUGUCGCGACCUUCGCCUUCACCGCCGUCCCGCCGGGGUCGCAGUGGCAUGGCGCGCAUUGUCGCUGCGCGGCCGCGGGGUCUUCGUCGUCAGCAUCGCCGGCGGACGAGCGGCGAGUCAGUCGGAGGAAGAACCCCACGGACUGGGCCCUGGGCCGGCAUACUCGUUUGGGCUACUGGCCCACAGCAUAGACUAGUCGAUGCUUUGUCUGAAGAACCCCACGGACUGAACGUGCUCUCCCAUUGCUUCCUCCUCCGUUGACCACCGCUCAAGAACAAUGCUUCGGCAAGAUCUGCUGGAGGCAGGAGAGGAAAACGCAGUGUUGGGCGCGAUUCUAUGGCUGGCGCAAACCAUCCUCGAAACUCUUCUGCCCACCGGCGAGCUUGACGCAUGGCUUCAACGAGCUGGACUCACAAGCGCCAUCGGAGAACUCAAGUCUGAGGUGGAGAGGAUAGAGACGGUGGUUAAUGGUGUGGAGGGGAGGGCGGUCGGGAACAAGCCGCUUGCCCGCUCUCUUGCUCGUGUCAAGGAGCUCAUGUAUGACGCCGACGACGUUGUGGAUGAACUUGACUAUUGCAGGCUCCAGCAACAGGUCCAAGGAGGUACAUGUACAUCUUGUUUACAGUUCUUUCUUCUGAAAACUGUGAUGAUAGUAACUUUCUCGUUUCUCUGUCAGCUGCUAUUGAGCAGGAAGGCAUAGUUGUAAAUGCAGCAGAGCAAGUAGAUGCAUCGGCCAAUGCUGUUGGUAUACAUCGAUCCUUGUAUUUUGUGAUGAUAGUUUUUUUUCUUCUUUUGAAUAAACUGUGAUUAUAAACGCGCUUACCAUGUCACCGAUUUCUCCUUUCUCUGUCAGUUAUGCUUGCUCCUGCUAUUGUGCCAGAAGACAUGGUUGGAGAUGGAGAUAGUAGAGCUGGAGCAGAGCACGUAGCUGCAUCGGCUAGUACUGCUGGUAUAUCAGACAAUAACGCCCGAAAAAAUCGUUCCAAGGAGCGGGACUAUUUUCACAUUACACCAGCCGUUAAUGGACAGCCUGCGAGAGCCAAGUGCAUUGACUGUGGUACACAGGUUGCUUUUAGUUACGGGACGUCAGUUUUGCGCAAACAUCGCAACAGUGCCAGUUGCAAGAAGAAACGUGCAGCGGUUGAAGAGGCGUCGAAUUGUCCAAGGUACUACCUAUCCCUCAAGUUCUGCAUUGCAUCACUUUUCCAGUAUCUAAUUAUGUUAGUUAAGGGAAAAAACAAGACCUAGUGGCUUCGUGUGAUCUGUGAUGCAUAGAAGUUUUUACAGGAUCAUUUCAUUUAAACUAUAUGUCCUGUGCAACUCUGAAUUAUGGUAAUAAAUUUCUAAUAAGCAACUUGUGAUACUUUUCCUCUUGCAGUGCCAUCGAUAGUGUACAAAAUUGUGCCAUAACUUUGAAUAGUACUGAUUCGGAGUGCAGAAAAAGAAUGAGAAUUGAGAGCAAUGUAGCCACUGCUACACACUCCUGGGACAAGGCCAAUUUUUUUGAAAAGGAUACACGAAAUAGCUCUUGAGUUAGGAAGUUUCCGGGGCUAUGUGAUUGAGUAUCUCAAGGACUCUAUUGCAAGUUUUAAUCACUAUCAUCAGAGUAACAACACCUUAGAUACAGGAGUAAGGACAUCAGGCUCUCCUCCUGGAGAAGUGUAUGGAAGGUACAAGGAUAAAAACAAGAUCAUGAGUGUGAUUGAAGCUGCUAAGUCAGACAACAUAACUGUACUGCCUAUUGUGGGAGUUGUAGGAGUUGGGAAGACAACUUUAGCUAAACUUGUAUACAAUGAUGGACUUGUGAAAAACCAAUUUGAGCGAAUAUGGGUUUGGGUGUCCAGCAACUUUGAUGAAUUAAGAGUGACAAGGGAGAUAUUAGAUGCUAUUACCCUAGACAGCCAUGGAGGAUCUCCUCGCGUAGGAAGCUAUGAAGGAGUAAGCAACUACACAAAGCUUCAAGAAGUCUUAAAGAAUCAUAUGGCAUGUCUACCCAAAAAGUUCAUGCUUGUUCUAGAUGACGUCAAUGACUGCAUGGAUGAUUCUCGAUGGAAAGAUCUGUUGGAUGCUUUGGGAUCAAGUUGUACAAAGGGUAAUGUAAUUAUUGUGACAGCUAGAAAUCUCUGAGCAAAUGAAGUUUUGCCUAUAUCUCUGAGCAAAUAUUACCAUCUUGAGGUACUAGAUGUUGGUCAACCAGUUAUUGUUGAUGGUACCAGUGAUCUUGUCAACAUGAGGAAUCUUAUUCUCUCAAAGGGAGCAUGCGGUGUUUCCUCCCCAGCAUGGUUUUCUUGCUUGCAGACAAUCCAUCUAGAAGAUCAUGAAGGAUGGGAAAUACUUCCGUCUCUAGAAAGGCUAUCACAUCUUACAAAGUUGAAGUUAAGGAAUCUGCCUAAUGUAACAGAAAUGUCGAUUCCUUCGUUGGAGGAGCUGGUGUUGAUUGAUAUGCGAAAGUUAGAUAGAUGUUUGUCCAAUUCAGUGAGGGACCUGAACUCAAGUUUGAGGGUACUGGAGAUCAGGGCAUGCUGGGUACUAAAAGCCUUUCCCCUCUUUGAGAGCUAUGAAAAAUUUGGAAUCGGGCAGAAGUCAUGGUUGCCAAAUAUUAGUGAGCUGACUAUCCAUGAAUGUCCUCAUUUAGUGCUAUCAAAUCCUCUUCCACCUUCAAGUAGCUUGUGUAAAUUAUCGAUCAGAGAUGUUUCAACACUUCCAACAAUUGAGGGAUCAUCAAAUGGGGAAGUGAAAUUUGUAUUAUGUGGUGAUUCAUCUUUCAUUGAGUUGCUGGACGAGAACGACAGCAUGUUGUUAUUUGACAACCUGAGGACCAUAACUAGAUUAAAAAUAGUGGGCUGCGGAAACCUAUGGUCUUUUUCAUUUGAGUGUUCCCCUUCGGAUGUUCCAUCAGCGCAUGCCCAUGAAGACAUGGCAGACACAGAUUUUGAUGCCUUAGAGGAAUUGCAUCUAGUUAGUUGUAAGCAAACAACAGGGCUGUUGAUAGAAGGGGAAGAGGAUAGUUUAUCAAAUCUCACCUCGGCUCCACGUGCUCCGUCACAGGGAAAUCCAGAUUGUGCAUCAAAAAGCUCAUGUUCCGAACUCCUGUACAUUCCAUCUUAUUCCGUUCCGUCUCUCAAUAAGAUGUCUAUUGAAGAUUGUGAGCUAAUAAAGUUCCAAGGAAACAAGGAAGGUUUCUCUAGGUUCACCUCUCUUGAGGAGCUAAGAAUUGUUGAUUGCCCCGAGCUGAUACCGUCUUUGGUGCAUGAAUACGAAAUCGAUGACCAGGCAAACAGAAGAUGGCUUCUCCCGUGUUCACUAGGCGUAUUGGAUAUCAGAGGCGUUUCCCUAGAAACACUGCAGCCCAGCUUUUCAGGAGAUCUGACCCGCCUCACAGUACUAAAAGUGUCAAGAAUCCAUGCAUUGAAGUCUCUACAGCUGCAUUCCUGCACAGCACUGGAAAAGCUGACAAUUGGACUUUGCGAAUCGCUGGACGCACUAGAGGGCUUCCAAUCCCUCCGCAAUCUCAGGUAUUUGAAAGUAUACGGAUGUGCGCAAUGGCAAAGUCCAUUGGUUGGGGGGCUUCCAUCCAGGGUUCAAAUCCUGGGUGCGGCACUUUAUUCUGGAUUUAUUCCAGGAUUUUUCGGCGCUAUGCAUUAAGUGGUAGGCGACGUGCCCGUCGACAGCGAGGCGCCUGUGGUGACUUCGUGAACUUCAAGAUUUGCCGGCUCAGUCCUUCGAAGGUGCUCAUAGGGGUAGGGUUUGCGUACGUGUGUUCAUAGGGGUGAGUGUGCGUGCGUGUUGAGUGUCUGCGUUGUACUGUGUAAUCUAAAAAAAAAAGAAAGUAUACGGAUGCCCAAGCUUACCUCAAUGUUUGAAGAGUCUAUCAACGCAGGUUUACGAGCUGUGCCCUCGUUUGGAACGGCUUCGGUUCAGCGACCUUUCUCUUCUUACCAAGCCAUUCUGCAAGCACCUCACCUCUCUCCAAUGCCUACAACUCGAGUACAGAUAUAAAGAUAACGACGCGGCAGGACUAACAUGGGAGCAAGAGGCAGCGCUUCAGCUCCUCGCGUCCCUGCAACACCUCCAAUUCCAUGGUUACCACAAACUCUCGGAUCUUCCCGUGGGUCUGCAUAGCCUUCUCUCUCUCAAGCGACUGCAGAUCUUUUAUUGCCCCAAUAUCUCAAGGCUGCUAGAAAGGGGCCUCCCACCUUCGCUGGAAGAACUGGAGGUCUGCGGCUGCAGUGAGCUGCUAACCAAGCAAGUCAGAAAGCUAGCAACAAGCAAGCUAAAGGUAAUAAUCAAUGGGAACUAUGUGAACUGAUUACUGGGUGGCUUUUUAAGCACACGUUUCACCACAUCACCUUAGAAGGUACAUAUGCUUCUGCUGCUAACCAUGUUUAUCUUCAGGGUUCUUAUACAUGGCUGUCAUUCUGAAGUAAGAAGUCUUUUGCAGGCAUUCAAGCUGGCACUGUGGCUGUAAUGACUGUUGUCACAAUCUAGGAGUAUCAUCAUACUACUACUACUACUAUUACAAGCUGUUUGGAAGUGUUGAAAGCAUCCCUAUUUCUCCUAGGUGACCUGAUACAAGGACGAGAGGCCAAAAAUGUUGGUCUUUAUCAUACUCUGUAGCCUCAAAAACCUGGAUUUUCUUUUGGUGCAAGAUUUGCUUCUGCACAGACUUUGUUUCACUUGUAAACCUUGUCCUAACGUGGUCAUGUUGCUGAAUACGGUUUUUUGUGAACAGGGCGUUGCUGAGAUGUCUGAAAGCAGCGACUGAAAAUAGCCUGUUUUCGUUUCCAUGGAUGUUUACUGAUUAUUCUGUAGAUAAGGGACUCCAAGAUAUGUGCAAUCCAUUUUUCAUCAUAAUGAAAAGAGUUGGUGUAAAUAACCGUAUCCUCAAUUUUCUUGCUAAACAUGUAAAAUACUCUGAACCUACAGCACCAGUGUCCAGUUUUCAGCCUCUGAUGUGAUGAAUGGGGUUUCUCUCUGACUCUGUGUGCUAGCAAUUAGGAUCGACUGUUUCAAAAAAAAAAGAGGAUUGAGAAUUUAUAUUGUAUUGAAACCACAUACACGUAAUUCUUUUACUAAUUUCCCAGUUUCAAAAGUUAUUUCCAGCCUUGGUAAGGUAGGCAUCAAUCUAGACUCUUCAGAUGUAGCUAUCUUAAAAAAUCUAGAAGCUGAUAGUUUGGUCCUCCAUGCUAAUAAAAAAAGAAGUAUCCCUAAAUGUAAGUACUCCAGCAUAGACAGUGAUGAGAACGGGAAGAAUGACUCGAGGCAGUUCUCAGCCACGCUUGUGGAAAUCUUAAUGAGAACAUGCUGGAUACGGAGAAUGAUAAAAUCAUAGAUCUCUCUCAUCUUCGUCGUAAGAAAAAAUAUAACAAAGCCAAAAAUACAAACAAAGGCAGACUUCCCCAAAAGCCUAAGACUCCCUCCAAAAUUAUUCUAAAAUGAAAGGAGUUUUCUAGAAUAGCAGAGGUCUGGCAGACUUGGCUAAACACAGAUUCUUGGCUGAAUUAGUUAAAGAAGAGCAAAUUAAUUUUAUCGCUGUCUCUGAAACUGGCGGGAUUCUUUCCCGGGUCAUGUCCUCAAAAAUCUUUGUGGGGGUCAUGACUUUCUUUGGCACACCAUGGCUCCUCAUGGUAGAUUAGGGGGUAUUCUGCUAGGUGUGGACCUAAAUGUUUUUGAUAUUGGAGCCAUCGAUGAGGGAGAUUUCUAUGUAAAGUUCACCCUCAGAUGCAAAUUAAAUGACUUCAAGUUUAAUUUAUAUUCAGUCUUUGGGCUAGCUCAAGCAUAGAACAAAAGUGCUUUCCUAGUGGAACUCGCCAACACUUGCUCCAAAGAAACUCUUCCGUAUAUCAUAGGGGUGGGGACUUUAAUACAAUGCGAGGUCCUGAGGAUAAGAGUUCAGGGGAUUUUAACCCCAAAUGGCCUAAUCUUUUUAAUGCUGUCAUCGAAUCCUUGGAUUUUAAUGAGAUUGUGAUGCCAGUAUACUUGGACGGGGCCAGGGGAUUAUCCAACUUUCGAAAAGUUAGAUAGAGUCCUUGUAAGCACUAAAUGGGAAUCUCAAUUCCCGCUGACGACUGUUGAAUCUAGAGAGAGAGAGAGAAAUAUUUCAGAUCAUACUCCCCUAGUGCUUAACACAGGAGCCUCAACCCAUCAGCUCCAAAACUGUCCUUUCAAAUUUGAGAGAGGCUGGUUGAUACGUGACGAAUUUUAUAACAUGGUUGCAAAUAUUUGGGAAGCCCCAUGCUCUGAGUUGACCCUGCUUGAAUGUUGGCAGUCAAAAAUCCGUAGGCUUAGACAAUAUCUAAGAGGCUAGGCUAAACACACUGCAGGGACAUACAUAAAGGAGAAAAAAACCCUGCUAGCUCAUUUAGAGAUUCUAGAAAAGAAAGCUGAGGAUACUCACCUCUCUGAUCAAGCGCCUAGUUACCCUUCUGAGAGAAGAGGAACUGAAAUGGUAUGAGCAAGCCAAAGUCAAAACGCUAUUGGAGGGAGAUGCUAACACUCUUUCUUCCAUCUAGUGGCUAAUGGGAAACAUCGUAAGCAACACAUCUAUAAACUUGAAGAUGAUCAAGGUACGAUAGUUGGGAACAUGCGCCUCAAAAGUCAUAUUACCACGUAUUAUAAAAAAUCUCUUUGGGCCACCUGAACACUCCAAGAUCACACUUAUGAAAGACCAAAUUUUAGAUAUUCCACAAGUAUCCCCAGAAGAAAAUGAUAUCCUUAUUAGUCCUUUCACCGAAUCUGAGGUGAGGGAUGCAGUAUUCCAAAUGGAGAAUAAUAAAGCUCUAGGCCCAGAUGGAUUCCCUGCAGAAUUCUAUCAGGUGUUUUGGGGAGUUAUCAAGGACGACCUUCUACACCUCUUUGCUGGAGGCUCUCGAACUUUAUAGCCUGAAUUUUGGAAUCAUUACCUUAAUUCCAAAAAUUCAAAAUGCUACUAAAAUUCAGCAAUAUAGACCAAUUUAUGUCCUCAAUGUGAGCUUUAAAAUAUUCACAAAAGUAGGCACAAAUAGGCUGAAUAUGGUCGCAAAAAUUGUGGUGAGCCCAAUGCAGACUGCCUUUAUGCCGGGCAGGAAUAUCAUGGAAGGAGUAGUGGUAUUGCACGAAACUAUUCAUGAGUUACAUACUAAAAAACAAUAUGGGGUCAUCUUCAAAAUUGAUUUCGAAAAGGCAUAUGAUAAAGUCAAGUGGUCUUUCUUACAUCAAACCUUACGCAUGAAAGGUUUCUCCCCUAAAUGGUGUAGGUGGGUAGAGAGUAUGGUCACUGGGGGAAGUGUGAGGAUCAAACGUGGUCUCAGGCAGGGAGAUCCUAUGUCCCCCAUCUUAUUUGACAUCGUCGCUGAUAUGCCAGCUCUUCUUAUUAAUAGAGCAAAAGCCGAUGGACAAAUAAGAGGAGUCACCCCCACCUUGUUGAUGAUGGUUUAUCUAUUCUACAAUAUGCAGAUGACAUCAUUAUCUUCCUAGACCACGACCUAGAAUAAGCAAAGAAUCUAAAACUUUUGCUAUGUGCUUUCGAACAAUUAUCUAGGCUUAAGAUCAACUUUUACAAGAGUGAAAUUUUCUGCUAUAGUGCAGCUAAAGAGAUGGAGCCUUAUUAUACCAGUCUUUUUGGGUGCAAUGCAGGGGAAUAUCCCUUCACAUAUCUGGGGAAUCCCAAUGCACCAUAGACAGCUCUUGAAUUCUGAAUGGAGAAUAAUAGAAGAACAUUUCCAAAAGAAACUCUCUUGCUGGAAAGCGAAAUACUUGUCUUAUGGGGGAAGACUGGUCUUGCUAAAUUCUGUCUUAAGCAGCCUGCCCAUAUUUUUGAUGUCCUUCGAGAUUCCUAAGGGAUUACUCAAGAACCUUAACUUUUUUAGAUCAAAUUUCUUCUGGCAAAGUUCUUCAGACAAACAUAGAUACAGACUUGCCAAAUGGGACAUAUUAUGUUGUCCUAAGGACCAAGGGGGUCUAGGUAUCCUGGACUUACAACUGCAGAAUAAAUGCUUAUUGUCCAAGUGGUUGGUAAACCUACUCAACAUAGAGGGCUUAUGACAGUCCCUCUUAACAAAUAAAUACCUACGAUUGAAAACCCUUACCUAAGUCAAAGCCAAACCCAAUGAUUUACAUUUUUGGAGAGGACUCAUGCGUAUUAAAGAUAAGGUGCUGACCAAUGGUUCCUUUGAUGUUAAAGAUGGAACCAAGACGAGGUUUUAGGAAGACACGUGGGUGGGAGACAAGCCUCUAAAAAUAAAAUACCCUUCCCUUUAUAAUAUAGUGCGGGAUCGCCACGCAACUCUAGUCCCCUCAACAUCUCCUUUCGCAGGGCACUGGUAGGCGAUAAACUUUUAGAGUGGCUUACUUUAGUAGCACAGAUUUCUAGAGUUGAAUUGGUGGCUGGUUCAGACUAUUUUAGGUGGAACUUAACCAAUUCUGGGUUAUUUUCUGUCCACUCACUGUAUCUCCAUCUCAUUGAUCCACAACCACCUUUUCUCCACAGGAAGCUCUGAAAAAUAAAAAUUUCUCUAAAGAUCAAAAUCAUUCUUUGGUUCCUACAAAGGGAAGUUGUUCUAACCAAAGACAGCCCCGCUAGAAAGAACUGGAAAGGGAGCCAGAAAUGUGUCUGUUGUAACAUGAAUGAGACUGAUCCAACACUUAUUCAUUGAUUGCCCUUUCACCAAGAUGAUUUGGAGGAUUAUUUUCUUUGCUACUAAUUUAACUCCACCUAAAUCUAUCAACCACAUAUUUGGUACAUGGCUUCGUAAUCAGAAUAAGAGGCUUAAAUAUGUGAUUUGGGUUGGGGUAGCUGCCAUGUGCUGGGCCAUCUGGCGUUGGGGGAAUGAUGUUAUUUUUAACAAACUCAAAACUAACUCUAUUAUGUAGGUUAUUUUCAGGGGAGCGUUUUGGCUCCGCUUUUGGGCCCCGCUGCAGCGUGAUGAGCAAACCAAGGAUAUCCUAUCUUCGAUGAGCAAGAGAUUAGACACAAUUGCUUUAGAGGUUUCUAAUUAAGGAUGGAAACAUAUUUACUGUUUACUUUAGAGUCGUGGUCAAUGUUUGAGACCAUAGUUUGCUUUUUCUUUUUAAUCCUAAACUUUAUAAUAAUUGACUGUGUACAUCUUUGGAUGUAGAGGCCGGAUAUUUUUUCAUCCCUUAUCUAAAAAAUAUACAUUCAAAAUUGUAUUAAUUUGUUGGAGGAUCAAUGUCAACCAAAACAUCUAAAUUAUACAUUCAUGCCUAAAAAGUAUUUAAGUAGAAAAGGCAGUGGCUAUACACUUAAUUUUAAAUUUUUAUUGAAAUGAUAUUCAUUACAAUCACAUAUAUAGUCUACGUGAACGAUAAAAAUGACAAGGUUUGACACAAGGACCACAAGGCCGAACAGCUAAUUUUUAGCUAAAAAAAGGUCCACUAAAAAAAGCUAAAAAAGGGGGAAAAAAACUUGCAUACCAUCUUUUUUUUUUGAAAGAUCAGGAGGGGCAAGAAGCCCCUACUGCAGCAUGUAUUGAAAAAAAAACCCAGGUACAGUUACAUAAAUAACAGUGGUAGAGUGAGCAAAGAAAAGGGGCUAGGGAACUAAAAAGGGAAAACUGAAAAAAAGAAAUGACCAAACUAAAGGCCUCCAAGUUAAGGUAGAUUGUCUAUCCAUUCUUGGAUUCUAGGGAAGUACUUACUCUUUACCCUGCAUAGCAGCCAAAGGAACUCAGCUCUGAAAAUUGUUUUACACCCUUGAACAGAAGGUGGGAUAUCUCUGAAGACGUAGUUGUUCCUGCUCAUCCAGAUUGCCCAGCAAAAAAGAAUGAUGAUUUCCAUAAAGAAACUCUGGUUGAUCUGUGCUCUGAGGAAUUCUAGGUUUUGCAGUGGUUGCAUUCCAGAAUUGACAGAUAGGUUGAUGGAUUGCCAAGCUUCAGAUGCAAAUUGGCAGCUGAUAAAUAAGUGUUCAAUUGAUUCUUCAGUCUGUUCACUACAUAAAACACAAUUAUAAUUUUCUAAAUCCAUCUGCGUUCAAUUUUUUUUUUCUAUAUCCAUGUUCCUUCUCCUCAGAACACCUCUGGUGUUUAGUUUAUUUAUUAGAUCAGCCAAAAAAACACGUGAUGCUUGUUCUGACAGGAGCUAUGCCACAGCCAUUUAAAUGCAGGGUGUACCGGCAUGUGCCCACCAUCUAAAAGAGCUAACUUGGCACAAAUCCAAAGUUCACAAUCUUGUGAAAUUAUAGUCGGCGCUCUAAUGAUCAAUCCAUUAGUUUUGUAUGGACGGAUGGCCAUUGUUUUGCCAGGUUGAUGGCACCCAUUGCCACUUGAACAGAAAACCUACAGAUUUGGUAGUGGUAGCGACAUCUGCAGAAAAGAGGACGUUAACAGCAGAUAAACAGAGCAACAAAUUCUAAAGCAACUACCUAAUAUUAUUUUUUUUGUCAAAACAAAUGAGCAGGGCUAUCCAUCCAUAUGUGGUUAGUUAUUUAUUCCUUCAUGCAACAAGAAUUUACAACAAGGAAACUUGACACAGACUAUACUAUUCACCUACAGAUCAACUUCACUUAAGAGCUCUUGGCCUCUUGUUUCCAACUACAUAUUCAGAGUAGGUGACCACAUGCCCAAAUAUGGAUGCGCAUCACUUUAGAAGUUUUCCAUUUAGCAUUUUCUCCAGUACCCCCAUAGAAAAACAGGUUUGUUGUAGAUCUCAAGCAAGGCAACAUAUCAAAAUCAGAAUGAACAUAUGGCAGGAGACGGAUGACUGAAAUGGACAGUUCCUUCAGAGUUGAUGAUUUGUAUAGAACUCAAUGUCAUGAACAUAAGAGAGGUCACUAACCUUAUGCAUCAAAUUCUUCGGUUUGAUGCUCCAAAGUCCAAACAUCACGUGAUGUUGCCUUCUCAAAAACGUGACCUGAUUAUGCAACUGCUUGCUCCGUUUUGCUGCAUACAACCAACCAUCUAUCCAGUUAAGAACUUUGAAGACAACACUCAAGUUCCCAUGAGGCCACGACCAAUUUUCUGGGAAUUAAGUAUGCCACUGUAUCAGUGAAUAAAACUGGCAAUCAAAUUGGAAGAAUGCAGGCUGAAGAUGAACACACAAAUAAUAUACAUUCAGGCCACAUCUCAAUUUUAUGAAAAUCGGUCUUGUAGCAUGGCCUGAAAGACCAUUGCCACCAAUUGAAGGGAAAGCCCUUUGUAUAAAUUAAACAAAAGAAACUAAUUAGCUUCGUUUGAGCAUACAUUAUAAUUAAACAGAUAUGAGAUAUCAAAUAUUUUUCUGUCAUAUUGAGGCAUGGUGUAGACAGCAGUUAUCGAAGUAGGACUCAUAGAUGGCAGGGAAAUGUGCACAUUUUUGAACUGUUCUGAUAGCACGAAAUACAUAAAUGAAACCUACUGGGUUGCAUUGCCUCCCACCGUAGAUAUUAUCAUCUAUACAUGGAUGUGUAUUAAGGUAUGGAUUCUUGAUGCAUGGUGGAGGCAUCACGCACCUAUCAGCCCAGAGCCACUGCCGAUUGGGAGGCAUACCGGCCCCUGUUUGCAACACGUGUAACAAGUUGCAUCAGGCUUUCUUCCUCUGAAUCAGACUGUCAAACUGAAAUGAACUAACCUUCUGGUGGAAAGGGAAAAAAACUGUGAAUUCGAGACCUUUGGGAGAGCAAUCUACAAGUAUUGGCAUUCCCCCACUCAAGAGGGGACAAGGAAAUGUAGCGAACCAGUCGGGUAAUACGUUCAUAACAAUUACUCUUACUCUUACUCAUUAUAGUUGGAUGACUGGAUAUUGCGGCAGAAACAGAUGCAAUUUCCAAUCAAUCGACUGAGAGGUGGAAGUCUCACUCACCGGUUCCACACCUCUUGCUCUGAUGAAUUGGUUGAUUUCUUCGGAGACAUGGGGCAAGCCGGCAAGGGAUGUUCUGUAAUCUGUACAUUAAGCAGCAACACUACUGGUUCCGGUUUGGAAUCCGGUUCCAGUUCGAGAUCCACGUCGGCUUGCAGUAGCACGGCAUGGACUCCACGGUGGUUGUUGAAAUGGACCAACCACUGUCAGCGCACCUGAGUUCCACCGCGGCAUCGCGCACGACGGCGGACAAAUAUAUAUAUAUAUAUAUAUAUAUAUAUAUAUAUAUAUAUAUAUAUAUAUAUAUAUUGUCUACUCGCACAUGCGAGUAUACGCACACGGUGCAGGUAGUCUGCGCGAACCUAUGUUAACGGGCUGGUGCUGGAGCUAACGGGUUUGGAAAUAAAUGUGGAGCAUGCGUGUAUCUACACGAAAUUAAAAAAAGGAGGCGCUAAUCACGGGAUUCUUUCUUGGCCAUAGACGGCAGUUCCCCUUUUUAAUAUGUACGUAUAUGAGUUUUUUAAAUAAAGUAUUCAUGCAUACUUCUUGGGGUGAUUGGUAUGUAUUUAUAAUUUGUUUAAUAGAGUAUUUAUACACUUUUUGAAAUGUUGUAUCUGUAUAUACUAGUUUUAUAAAAGGAUGUAUGCAUUUAUACUGAGUAUAUGCAUAUACUUUACGUGACAAGAGGGUAUGUGUACUAGUUUUUAAAAGGAUAUAUGUAUUCAUACUGAGUAAAUGCAUAUAUACUUUACGUGACAAGGGAGUAUAUGUACAUACUUUUUUAAUACUUUGAUAAAUACACUUAUUGUUUAGAGAAGAUGGUAUGUGCAUAUACCAAUUUUCAAUAAGGGUAUAUGUAUACUAUAUGAGCUUUUUUUUUUGAGUACCCUUGCAUACCUUCUACACGGGAGUACUUGUACAAAUUUACCUAUAUACUCUGCAAGCUAGUAUAUACACAUACUAUGUUCUAAAAGGGAGUACUUGUACAAAUUUUUGAGAUAAAAUUUUAACAGAAUAUGCUUACAUACCUAUAUACUCUGCAAGCUAGAUAGUAUACACAUACUAUGUUUCAGGCUAUACAAAACAUUUAACUACAAAAUCCCUCCCUGAAAAACUUAAAAAAAAGGUGUAUGUCCAAAACAUACUCCCAACAGUAUGGUGAGUCUUUCCGGCAGGCACAUUACAAAAACAAUUAUCUGAAAAUUUUUCUAACAAAUUAGUCCAAGAGAAACUUCAUUUAUUCAUACAUAACACGAUGUAUGCAGCCAGCAAUUAGGCCGGUAACGAUUCUUCUUGCAUAUACAUAUUGGAAAACCAUUACUUUAAUCCUCACAAGUAUCAACUGAUACUCUAAUUAGUGAAGAAGUAUUUAAUAAUACACUUAUUGAAAACGUAUGCAGAGAUACUAGCUAUUUUCUAAAAGAUAAUCUGAAAAUACCAAAACAUCAGUUGGAGCUUGUUAUAUGUAUAUGCACUGUUCACUGAGCACGAACAGAUUGAGAACCCGAUUUGAAAAUUAAAGGAAAAAGGAAAUUAUAUUAUAUGGAGUGCACUCAUACUUGCCAUAUGGCCAUACCUCAAUGUCAAAAUCACAUCGAUUAAUCGAUACAACUUCCGUGGCCAAACACACAUGCUGUCUCAUAUUGCAUUGCGCUAACUGUCACAAACACAUCGAACUUGUCGUCGUCGUGUAUGAAGAAGAUUAGAGAAAAAAAAUUCCCCUGAGCAGGACCUGUCCUGCAAAUGCAAGAUUGAUGAACAGGACCAACCGACCAAGACUAGUAACAAAUCCACGAGCUUCAACAAGAAGGAAAGCCAUGCCGACGUCAGGGUGCCGUGCGCUCACUGGAAAGGGGCCGCCGUCAACCACAUAGCACCGCGCUCUCUACGAUGCUGAUUGGGAUGGGGACCGCCAAGACCCAGGAGCGAGCGCCACCGGAUCUGCCAUCGGGGACGAUGCAGGCGGCGCCGGAUCUUGAGCGGCAUGGCGACGCCGGAUUCCGGCAUGGUGCUGCUCAGUAGGGGCUGAGAAUCUUGCGUGCUUGCGCAGGCCGCUCGAUGGAGGAGGUAGUUGCAUCGCGGCGGUGCCACAAGAUCAAGAGGAGGAAGGGAAGAGGUGGUGGUGGCGGCGGCUACUGGGAGUCGAGGCUCAAGAGGGCCUCUGAUGCAGGAUGUUGUAUAUAUGAAUAUAUGGUGUAACGGGUGAGGAUCUGCUACUAAACCCGAUAAGCCAGAGAAGAGGGCAAUUUCUAUGGAGAAUCGGUCUGCAUCGGUGGUGGGCGACGACUGGGAAAGAAAUCGGAGUAGCUACACGUACGUGUAAAGAGGAGUUUCCCUAUAUAUCUAGGCUAUAGUAUCUCUACGCUAGGUAGCUAAGCGACCGUUUUAUUAUCCGCACCUGACGUCAACCUUACAUGCUGGCUGGUCUGUGCCUGCCCAGUGCCCACCCAAAGACAAUAGCGGUUCCAGUUCUUGGUUCCGGUUCCAGUUCCCGUUCCCCUUCUGUCCGGCUCCAUGAUUGAUCUUUAAAGAUUCGAACACGCGAGCACUUGGGGGGUUCAAAGUAUACCUUGGAGUACGUAGGCAGCAGCCCCGGGAUCAAUCUUGUACCUCUCGCGUUCCACUUCCACCAAGCCAAGCCAUUUUUCUAGUAUCUACACUCUUUUUCUCUCUUUGGAAUUUUUUAUCUGAUGACACAGCUACUAGUACAGUGACAUCAGCUAUGGUUCCGGUUCCGGUUCCAGUUCCGGUUCCGGUUCUCGGUCACGCUCACGCGUCGUCAUUCGUCAAAGCAGGCAUCUAUUUAUAUCCCAUGUCCACGGCCACGGCGAAUGCAGCAGCAGGGCAUCGAUCGGUCUUCAACCUCUCUCGGCUCUCGCCAUUUCCCAUUGCUCCGUCACACACUGCUGCUACUAGCAAGUACACGACGCGAGAGAUCGAUCGAUGGACCCCGAAGCUUCGCUGACCAGUGUCGUGGACUCUGCCUCCGGCGCGCUCCGCAGCAGGGCCAUGGUGCCGUCGGCGAUGCUCACCGUCGGCGUAUUCCAAGCUGUGGCGGCGCUCGCGCUCCUCUUCUCCGCCAAGACUCCGGAGGGCUUUUUUACCCACCACGGCAAGGCGGUCGUCGUCUUCGUGUAUUACGGCGUCCUUGUGGCUGGGGUGAUCGUCGGCUCGGCGACGGCCUCUGCUUCCUUCUGGGUCGCACGUCGGCUGGACUGCCGGCAUGGCAUUGGCAUGGCGCUGCUCUGCGCUUCGACGCUCACGCUGAUCCCCGUGUUUGGGAUACUCGUCGGCUUCCUCAUGUUCAAAAAGUAGUCUCAGACGUACACCUUUAAUUUGUAUGUGUUGCCAGUGUUGGGAUUGCUGAUACUUGUAUGAUUGUACCCAAACUUUUCAGUUGUGUUUGUAUGAAACCUGCACGAGGUUCACACAGGUGGUUGCCCAUUACUUGAGUGUCAUAUGUAUGUACGCAAGACGGCAAGAGAUUCAUUUGAGUAAUUUUGUUUUUUUUCCCACCUGAGGAAAGAUCGAUUUCAGUUUUACUGUACUGUGAAUCUGUGAUGAUUGUUCAAGGUAAUAAGAUUUUAGAAAAGUCAUUUGGUGUAUUGCUGUUUGCUGCUGAAUCGUUAUUAGCCGAAACAGAGCAACAAGGCAAAGCUAUUGUGAUGAAGGCAACUGGACGUGCUCUCGUUCCGGUUCCGGUUCCGGUUCCAGUUUCAGUUCCGGUUUUGGUCCCGGCAACUGGACCUGAGGUCCAUCAGACACGGACGGACAAAUAGAAAGUAGCCUCUGAAAGUGGAACCACAUGCUCGAUCUCGAAUCGAGCUUGUGCUGGCUGGCCUUGACUGUUAAAACUUGAUGUUGGCGUCUGAAUCGUCAUUAGCGGAUUAGCCUGAACAGAGCAACAAGUUAAUUAUUGUGAUGAAGGCAACUGGACCGGUUCCGGUUCCGGUUUCAGUUCCACAGUUCGUUGUAAAGAAGAUUCUGAGGAAGGUUAUUGCGCGUUUAUCCUUUGCUUUGAUUGAUGAAGAAGAGUACCGGACCUGCCGAUUUUGUCUCCUGUGUACGGGUGGGGAAAGGGUUGGGUGGGACCUCGGCGUCGCCCAGUGCGCGCCAGGGCGGGGGGAGAGCCGAGUCAAAGGAGCUCCUCCUGACGUCCAAGUUCAGUUCUCAUUUUUGGAAGCGACCAUAUUAUUCCCAUGAUCAAUAAAAUGAUACGCUCUAACAGAAGGACGUGUGUUUAUCUCAAAACUCAAAUAGAUGGAGCAAAUGUGACAAGUUCGAGCAAAAUAGGGCGCAAUUAGUUUGGUCUACAUCGAAAAACGAGCAACACGUUGCGACAACAAAUCUUGGCAUCAUUUACUUUGUUAGAAAAGCAUGUUUUGACAGUAAAAUAUCCCAAGGUAAACAUAAAUAUAUCAAACACUAACACUAAUACAGUUGUUUUUUGAUAGAAACACUAAUACAGUUGUUACCACUUAAUAACAUAUAAACAUUCAUGAAAGUUCAGAUAUAUAACACCUAAUCAUCAAGCGAAUAACAGCUAUUUCAGUUAACUGUGGGUUAAUGACUGAAGCCUAAGACUGAAAUAUCCAAAAUAUUUUCGGUUAGCUACAAAUGAUGACUGAUUUAUGAACGAAGUAUUCAGUUUCGAUCAUGUCAGUUUUAAUUUAACUUCAAAUAAUUAAUUCGGCUCGGUCUUUCGGGUAAUUAUAGACGCCCCUAGUUACACGAGCACAAGCAAGCCGCGGUGACUAGGCACGGGCAGCCCCAUCAUACAUGCUUGGCUAGAACUGGCGCGAAAUUUCAAGAGUGGGUCACAUAUUCACAUCGAUGGGUGGAGGGGAGCUCGUCACUCAUCACUGUGUACUGAUUAACGGUUCCGGUGGGGAGUAUUUCGUGCAUGUGUUUAAAUAUUAGAUGUGACAGGGGUUAAAAAACACAGAAGUAACUAGAUAGGGGAACUGCCUUUUCUGUGCAUUAUUUAUGCAGACAAGUGGGCUCUGUUUUCUGUCCGAAAGAGCAAACAGCACAGUCAAGUAGUCAACCUUGCAUGCUAACAACAGCCUACUGUUGAUAGUGACAUCUGGUUCCGGUUCCAGUGCUAGUUCCGGAUCCUUUUAAAGGUUGUGGAACACGCGUGCACUUGGCGGUCAAUGUAGCAGUAGCAGUAGCAGGCAUCCAUCCAUCCAUCCAGCAUCCAUGAUCCAUCUUUAUAUACGCAGGCAGAGGCAACCCAGACGCCAUGUUCAUCGACACAAGCACAAUAACGAACCUGAUCUGCCAUUCCACCAAGCCAGCCAUUUCUUUCUCACACAAACUUGACACUGCUAGCAAGGCAGAUGGAUGGGGAAGCAGCGCUCGCGAGGGUCGUGAGCUCGAUUGCCGGCGCCCUUCGCAGCAGGACGAUGGUGCCGUCGGCGAUGUUCUCCGCCGGGGUCUUCGAGGCGGUGGUGGCGCUCGCGCUCCUAGUCGCUAACACCCCCGAAGGUAUCUUCUCCUCCCACCACGGCAAGGCGCUCGUCGUCGUGUACUACGUCGUCCUUACAGCCGGGGCCAUCGUCGGCUCUACGACGGCCUCUGCUUCGUUCUACGUCGCACGCGAUCUCGAAGGCCGGCAUGCCACUGGCAUGACGCUCCUCUGCGCGUCCACCCUCUCUCUCUCAUCCCUGUCAUUGGCCUUCUCGUCAGCUUCUUCUUGCUCAAGAAAUAGCUUCAGACAUGUUGUACACUUCUACGUAAUGUUGGGAUUAUUGUUACUGUGAUGACUGCACCUGUUUAUUUCUUAUCCUUGUAUUGUUGCACCAAAAUUUAGUUGUGUUUGUUUCGAAAUAAAAAAAGAUUUGCAGGUGAUUCGGCCAUCUGUAGUGUCAUCUGUACGUAAGAGAAAUGGAAAAAGUCUGGCCUUGUUUAGUUCCAAAAUUUUUUGCAAAUUUGGCACUGUAGCUCUUUCGUUUGUAUUUGACAAAUAUUGUCUAAUCAUGGACUAACUAGGCUCAAAAGAUUCAUCUCGUCAAUUUCGACUAAACUGUACAAUUAGUUUUUAUUUUUGUCUAUAUUUAAUACUUCAUGCAUGUGUCUAAAGAUUCGAUGUGACGGGGAAUCUGAAAAAUUUUACAAAAUUUUUUGGUAACUAAACAAGGACUUACAUAACCCCCAAACUAUUUAGGGUGGACUACUUCACCCCCGAACUAUAAAACCGAAUAUUCUACCCCCUGAACUUUUAAAACCGGUCAAAUAACCCCCUCGAGUGGUUUUGGAGGGUGGUUUUAUCUUUUUCUUUUUAUUUAUUUUCGCUGAAUCUUUGAAAAAUCAUAAUAAAUCAUAGAAAAAUCAUAAAAUGAAAAUUUUAAUUUUGUUGGACUUCUGAUGAGUUGAUCUACACAGUGAAUAUAUAAUAUGGUAUUCUUUAGUACAAAGUUUUUGUUGUAGCUUUAAAUCUAUGUUUUUCCGUAAUUAAUUUGAAUAAUUCAUAUAUGCAGUUCCUGUGGUCCAAUUGUGGUAAAAUUUUUUAUGGUGGGUGCACUAUUAUAUGCUUGAACUAUGGUAAAAAUUUCAUACUCAUUGGAUCACGUAUAACUUAGUUAUAGAUAAAGCAUAGAUUUAACAAGAAUAAAGCUAAAUAAAUUGAUAACUAAGUUAUACGUGAUCCACUAGGUAUGAAACUUUUACCAUAGUUCAAGCAUACAAUAAUGAUCUCACCAUAAAAAUUUCAUCACAAUUGCAUCAUAGGAACUACAUAUAUCAAUUAUUCGAUUUAAUUAUAGAAAAACAUAGAUUUAAAACUACAACAAAAACUUUAUACUAAAGUAUACCAUAUUAUAUAUUCACUGUGUAGAUCUACUCAUUAGAAGUCCAACAAAAUUGAAAUUUUCAUUUUAUGAUUUUUCUAUGAUUUAUUAUGAUUUUUCAAAGAUUUAGUAAAAAAAUAAAAAAGAAAAAGACAAAACCACCAUCCAAAACCACUCUAGGGGGUUAUUUGACGAGGUAGAAUAUCCGGUUUUAUAGUUCAGGGGGUGAAGUAGUCCACCCUUAAUAGUUUGGGGGGUUAUGUAGACUUUUUUUUCUAAAAGAAAUGGUUGAUCUUAGCCAAUUUUUAUCCGAAGAAAGAGUAAAUUGUGCUGUAAUGAUUUGUAUCUAUUUUCCGUUAAAAUGAAUUGUAUCUAUUCAAGAUAAUGUGAUUGUGGUGGUGUAUCUUGUCUUUGCGUAUCUCUAGAGUGUACACACAAAUGCUGCACUCUGUUAUACGUCAGCUAGAAAUGUCAUUUGUCUCAAACAGAGCAACAAGGCUUUGUGAAUUGUGAUGAAGACAACUGGACGUGCUCCAGUUCCGGUUCCAGUUCCAGUUACAGCUCCUGUUGGUUUCAGAGAUUCUGUUGAGGACAACGUGCCUUCUGUUGAAACUUGUCCAUCGGCUACACUGCCCUCAAUCUUCUGCAUAGGCACAGUGGGUGCAGAGUUGGGCUUCGAUUUCUUCUCUUGGAAGGUUAUCUCCAUGGGGAACAUUGGCAGACACUGAGAUCCAUUCUGCCACUAUACCAAGCAAUCACGACUGUUUUGGUCGGGGAUGGAAAGACCUGCUCGUUCUAGUAUGACGUCUGGGUCGGGGACGAACCUUUGGCCGAUCGGUUCCCCUCGCUGCUAUCUCACUGUACAGCCAAGACAUCUCCUCUGAGUGUAGUCAAAGCUUCUGGCAUCCAUACCUCUUUGGUACCCAGGCUUUCGAUAAUAACAGCACAAGAACUGAACAUGGUUCAGGACAUACUGGACUCCACUCAACUCAAUGGUGAACCAAACAAGAGGUGCUCGGCUUUCAUACGAGUAGACAGCUCCCUUGACAGUGGGCAACUAUACAGGAUGAUCAAGGCUAGAGGUCAAGGAGAGGAUCUGAGAGCGAAAUUCAUUUGGAAAACCUUUGCUCCACCAAGGGUUCAGCUGUUUAGCUACUAACUCAGAGGAGGAUUAAGUGUCGAUCGGUGCUGCUAAAGAAACACAUUGUAGAUUCUGCAACUUGCGAAAUCUGCAAUACCAGCGAUGAGUCUCCUGAGCACAUCAUCCAUGGCUGCACCAUCGGCAGGGAGAUAUGGCAAUGUCUAGGCCUUCAGUCCAUAAUCUCCAUGGACAUGACACAGCUACACACUGUCUCCAAUUGCAAUGCUACCCCCAUCCAGGAAUUCCCUUCCUUCAUUGCACUAGUCUGCUGGCACAUCUGGAAAGCCAGAAAUGCAAAGAUCUUCAGCAAUGAAGCACAUUCAGUUGAUCGCGUCCUCUGUGAUUGCAAGUCAGCAGCUGAACUCUGAAAGCUCAGAUUGCCGAGGCGAAAAAGAGCAGCAGUUACCCAGUGGUGCUCAGUCCUUGACAUGGCUAGGCCUUCAGCAAACUAAACAGCUCCUUUCUAGGACUUGUAAAACCCUUUUAAUGCAACUCUUAGUUGCAACUUUUGUAAUAUGCUGACACUAUUUGCGAGCUGUUUUGGGCUAAAAUAAAAAGUUUUACCAGGUGGGGAACGCCUCCCCCCGUUGAUCCUAAAAAAAAAAGAUUAUUGCGCGUUUACUAUUAUCCUUUGAUUUGAUUGACGAAGAAGGCUACUGGAUAUCCUGAUCUUUCAGAGUGGGCAUUCCGUUUAAACCGAUAAAUCGGUUCGGUCUCUUCAGUUUGAAAGAAAAUCGGUUUUCAAACUAUACCAACCGAUCGGUUUGUGGCAGAAUUAAGAACCGACGAAUUCGGCUUCGGUUUCUUUGCCUCGGUUCUUCGGUUCAACCGAACUAACCUGCACAUCAGGUAUGCUGGUCGUCACCGUCCGCCGCUGCUGGUCCUACUCGCCAUCAUGCCUGGGUGUUGCUCCCUGGCCACGACGCGCCUUGGCUGGCCUUGCAGUCGCACCUGGCCCACUGUUCGCUGGCCUUCGCCGCAGCUCGCCGAACGACGAGGUCGCUCGCUACUCACUGCCGCCGCUUCGUGGAUGCGCUGCCAAGCCGGUGUGCCGCUCCCCACCCCCUUGCUGCCACGCAGAGGAUCUGCUCCGCGAUCCCCAUCACCACAGACCAGGCGCUGCACCGCCGGCCGCCGCCGCCAUUGGUAGGGUUAGGAGCCGCCGCUGUGCACGUGCUGGGGCUUCGGCUGUGCUGCGUGUCCCGUGCGUAGGGAUUGGAACUUGGAAGGUAGGAAUAUAGUUGAGUGCGCUGUGGGCCUACUAAGUUGCUAUGGCUUCCGCUUUGGGCAGUUGGGCUGACGCGAGCGAAGGGCCAAAGGCCUUGCAAUGGGCUACAUAUGUGAGGAAAUGUGCGGGAGCCUUUAUAUAUUCGGUUUAUAUGGUGUUUCGGAUUCAUGUGACCUGGAAACCGACUACGGCACCGAACACCGAUCUUUGUAGAAUUGGAAACCGAAGCCGAACCGAGAAACCGAAAAUCGACAUUUCAGUUCGGUUUCGGUUCGCUUCGGGUCGGUUUUCGGUUAAAAUAAGCCCACCCUGGCUGAUUUUGUCACUAGAUGCCCGCGCUCAACUCCUGCCGCCCUUGCUAGUGCAACAUGCCGACAUGUCAUCUGCCUGAGCUGUUGGAUCAAUAUGGGUAUGCAGCUCGGGGCUAGCGGCCUGGCCCAAAGCCCAUCUUUUUGGCCUGGCAUGAGCACAGCCCGCCCUGGUGGCAAGCGGCCUAGGCUGACCUGGUCCAUAGGAGCAGGUCAUGCCUAGGCGACUACGCAAGCACAAUGGGCGGCACGACCUAGCAAUGACAUUUAUAAAAAGGUCCGAUGGCGUCCUGUUAUUUUUCACGGCCUGCUAAAAGUCCAACUUGUUCGCUAACUCUAAAUCCACUAUUAACUCAUUUCCUUCUCCCCCGCCCCCGUUGCACUCCUUCUCGCGGUUGCAACACACGAGUCGCUCGCUCUUGCCUCUCUAUCGUGGCUCCGCACCACCACACUCCCUGGCGACCUCGUCCUCACUCCACGCCGUCACGAUGCUGCCCGGCUCCUAGGCACCGUUGUCCUCCUUCCACACCGGCGUCCUCCAUAGAUCCGGUCUAGACCAUCGGUGGGCGGCCGCCGCCUCCUCUACACCCCCAUGUGGGCGCACCGCAGGCACUGACAGUGGGCCAUGGGUUGGCCCGCUCUAUUAUCCUGACCGUGCUUUUCGAGUUGGCACGACAGGAAAAAACAGCCCAAAGGCUUGUGCCUAGACCGUCGGGAUUCCUGUUAUCGGGAUUCUUGUUAUAGAUGAGCCUGAGCGGUAUAGGUCUCGAUGUAAUAUUUUCUUAUAAUUGGGAUUUCUGUUUGUGUUAAAGUCUGGAUGUAUUCCUUCUUUUUCUCUGAAAGCUUCAAAUUCUAGAGUUGUCUUAAGUCAAACUUUUAAAUUUUGACUGAAUCUCUAGAAAAAAUGCUAAGAUUUAUAGUACCAAAUUAGUACCAUAAGAUUAUCAUAGAAUAUAUUUUCAUAAGAUAUUUAUUUUAUGUUAUAGAUAUUGACACUCUUUUUUAUUUUUUUGAGGAAAUGACACUCUUUUUUAUAAAAUUGAUCAAACUUAAAAAAUUUGACUGAUGCGGACUGAGAAUUUAAAGUUUUUAGGAACUGAGGGAAUAUAUACAGAUGUCUGCAUUGUCGAUAAAUAAAGAAUUUUUUUUGACGAAAGAUAAAUAAAGAAAAUAGCUCCACAUUACAAGUCAAAAGGCGCAUGCUCUCUUUAUUCUCCACUUCUACCCGCUCUCUCAGCUUUACACGCUUUACCAGCUUUCCACCACCCAGCCGUAUGCUCUUCUGAUCGUUUCUGCUUUGGCUACGCUCUGCCCUCAGUUCUGCUUCCUCCUCCGUUCACCAUCGCUCAAAAUCGAUCUGAUGGAGGCAGCAGAGGCAACCGCUGUGGAGGGCGCGAUUCUAUGGCAGGCGCAAACCAUCCUUGAUUCGCUUCGACCCACCGGCGAGCUCGACGCUUGGCUUCAUGGAGUCGGCCUCGCUGGUGGCAUCGGGGAACUCAAGUCCGAGGUCGAGAGGAUGGAGACGGUGGUUAAUGGUGUGAAGGGGAGGGCGGUAGGGAACAAGCCGCUUGCCCGCUCGCUCGCUCGUGUGAAGGAGCUCAUGUAUGAUGCCGACGACGUGGUGGAUGAGCUCGACUAUUGCAGGCUCCAGCAACAGGUCGAAGGAGGUACGUAUGCAUCCAUCCUUGCGAUUUGUGUUUGUUUCUACUGUUCUUUCUUCUGGAAAUUGUGAUCAUAACUUUCUCCUUUCUCAUCUGUCAGUUAUGGUUGCUCCUUCUACUGAGCCGGAAGGCAUGGUUGUUGGAGAUGGAGCAGAGCAAGCAGAUGCAUCGACCAAUACUGUUGGUAUACUUCGAUCCUCGUGAUAUGUGGUUUUCCUUUACAGUUCGGUUUUCCUUUUGAAUAAUCUGUGAUUAUAAACACGCCCUCGUACCAUGUCAUCGUUUACUCCUUUCUCUGUCAGUGAUGCUUGCUCCUGCUAUUGAACCGGAAGGCAUGGUUGGAGAUGGAGCAGAGCAUGCUGAUCCAUCCGCUAGUACUGCUGAUAUAUCGGCCAACAACGGGCGCAAAAAUCGAUCCAAGGAGCGGGACUAUUUUCACAUUACACCAGCGGUAAAUGGACAACCUGGGAGAGCGAAGUGCAUUGAUUGUGGCACACAGGUUAUUUUUAGUCACGGCACAUCAGUUUUGCGCAAGCAUCGUAACAGUGCUAGUUGCAAGAAAAAACGUGCAGCGAUUGAAGAGGUGCCGAACUGUCCAAGGUACUGCUUACCCCUCAAGUUCUGGAUUGCAUCACUUUCGAAUAUCCAAUUAUGUCUGUUAUGGUAAAAAAACAAGGGACCCAGUACAUUGGUCAUGCAUAGAAGUUUUUAUAUGACCGUUUCAUUUGUUUUGGAAAGAAAUGAUUGGUUCAUUUAAACUAUGACUUGCAGUGCAAAUCUGAAUUGUGCUAAUAAAUUUGGGAUAACCAACCUGCGAUCCUUUUCCUCUUGUAGUGCCGGCGAUAGUAUACAAAAUGGUGCCACAAUUUCAACUUAUGAUUUAGAGGGCAGAAAAAGAAUGAGAAUUGAGUACAGUGUAUCUACUACCACACACCUCUGGGGCAAGGCCGAUUUUUUUAUAAGGAUCCAGGAAAUAGCUCUUGAGUUACGGAGCAUCCGAGGCGAUGUGAUUGAGUAUCUUAAGGACUCUGUUGCAAGGUCUGAUCAGUACCAGAGUAAUACCACCUCAGAUGCACGAGUAAGAACAUCAGGCUCUCUUCUUGGAAGAGUCUAUGGAAGGUAUAUUGAGAAACAACGCAUCAUGAGUGUUAUAGAAGCUAUGUCAGACAACAUAACAGUACUAGCUAUUGCGGGCAUUGUAGGAGUUGGGAAGACGACUUUAGCUAAACUGGUAUACAAUGACCGGUUUGUUAAAAAACAGUUUGAGCGAAUAUGGGUUUGGGUGUCCAACAUCUUUGACGAAGUAAGAGUGACAAGGGAGAUCUUAGAUGUUGUUACUAUGGCCAGCCAUGAAGGAUCUUGCAAAAAAGAAAGCUAUGAAGGAGUCAGCAACUACUCGAAGCUUCUAGAGGUCUUAAAGAAACAUAUGCCAUGUCUGUCCAAAAAGUUUCUACUUGUUCUAGAUGAUGUCUGUGACUGCAUGGAUCAUUCCCAAUGGGACGAUCUCUUGGAUGCAUUGGGAUCAAGUUGCAUAAACGGUAAUGUGAUUAUUGUGACAAGUAGAAAUUUAUCCGUUGCAAAAAGGCUAGGUACAGUCAAACCAGUUGAAGUAAGAGCUCUUGAAAAUGAUGAUUUUUUGCAGUUCUUUAGAGCUUGUGCAUUUGGUGAUAACAAUUACAAAGAGCAUCUAGACACCAGCCAACAAAUAUGUGAAAAGUUAGAGGGAAACCCAUUAGCAGCGAAAAGUGCCGUGGAAAUGUUAAGAGAGCAUCCUACUCUUGACCAUUGGAAAAACAUCAUUAAGAAUGGUAUUUGGGAAUCUAUGCAACUCCGUGGAGGCAUUGUGACUGUAUUGACGAAUAUCUAUUACCAUCUGCCCUACCAUUUACAACAGUGUUUCUUGGUGUGUUCUAUAUUCCCUAAUGAUCAUCAGUUUCAUAUUGAUGGUUUGAUCUCCAUGUGGACAUCUUCUGGAUUUGUGAAAUCUAUUGAGGUAGGACGGGAUUAUCUCAAUGCUUUGGUCAACUUAUGUUUCUUUGAGCAGGUUGGAACAGAAGAUGACUCAGAAGAUGACUCAGAACAAUGCUAUGUUAUGUGUGGUAUGAUGCAUGAAUUUGCGAGACUGAUUUCAAGGACCGAGUUUGCAACUAUAGAUGGUUUCGAGUGCAAAGUGUUGCCAACCGUGCGCCAUUUGUCAAUUCAAAUUGAAACUAAUUUGGAGUACCAUAUAGAUGAAUGUGAGAUCCUAAUUCAUAAUGUGAAGUUUGAAGAAAAAUUGCAAAGUAUAGCUUCUUCAUUGAGGAGAUUGAGGACGGUGAUCUUAAUUGGGGACGAUUCUUUAUUCGUCCUGAAGUCCUUCCAUACCUUUAUUUCCAAUUUGGUAAAUUGUACCCAUCUUCGCUACUUAAAACUUGGGAAGAAACUCAUCAAUGAAUAUUUGCCUAUAUCUCUAAGCAAGCUUUACCACCUUGAAAUAUUAGAUGCUGGGUGCCGAGCAAUUGUAAAUGAUCUCAUAAGCAUGAGGCAUCUUGUUCUAACAAAGGGAGCAUGCAGCCCUUCCUCCAUAGCUAGGUAUGCUAGCUUGCAGACGAUCCAUAUUGAGGAUUGUAAAGGAUGGGAAGUACUCACAUCUCUAGAAAGUCUGUCGUCUCUUACAAAGUUGAAGUUAAGGAAUAUGGUGGAAGUAACAGAGUUGUUAAUACCUUCGUUAGAGGAGCUGGUGUUGACUGAUAUGCCAAAGUUGUAUAGAUGUUUCAUCAAUUCAGUGGAGGACUUGAACUCAAGUUUGAGGAUCCUGAAGAUCACAAGUUGCCAGGUACUUAUGUCCUUUCCCCUCUUUGAGAGGUGUGAAAAUUUUGAAAUCGAGCAAAAGUCAUGGUUGCCCAAUGUUAGCGAGCUAACCGUCUAUGGGUGUCCUCAUUUAGUGGUAUCAAAUCCUGUACCACCAUCAAGUAACUUUUGUAAAUUUUUCAUCGCAAAUAUUUUAACACUUCCAACCAUGGAAGGAUCAUCAAACGGAGAAAUGAAAAUUGCAAGGCAUCUUGUUCUCUCGAGAUUCAAGGAGUUGUCACUGGACGACAAAUUUUUGUCAUUCCACAACCUGAAGACCAUAACUCAAUUGCAAAUAGUGGGAGGCAUAAUGAGUGUAUUGUCUAUGUCACCCAAAGGUCUCAUGCAACUUGUCAGCUUGAAGAGGUUGGAAAUAUACAACUGCGCAACAAUUUUCUCUUCGGAUGUUCCGUCACCGCAAGCCCAUGAAGACAUGGCAGCCACAGUUUUUGAUGCCCUCCCAUCUCUCGAGUGUCUCAAGAUUAUGUAUUGUGGAAUAACCGGAGAGUGGUUAUCUGUGAUGCUGCAACAUGUGCGAGCCCUAGAGGAAUUGCGUCUAGAUGAUUGUAAGAAGAUACCAGGGCUAAUGAUAGAUGGGGAAGAUAAUAGUUUUUCAAAUCUCACCUUGGCUCCACGUGCUUCGUCAAACGGAAAUCCAGAUUCUGCAUCAAAAAGGUCAUGUUCUGAACUCCUGCGCAUUCCAUCUAAUCUCUUUCCCUCUCUCAAGAAGAUGUCUAUUAAAUAUUGUGAGCUAAUAAAGUUCCAACGAAACAAAGAAGGCUUCUCUGAAUUCACCUCUCUUGAGGAGUUAAAUAUUUAUGGAUGCCACGAGCUGAUACCGUCUUCGGUACAUGGAGACGAAAUUGAUGAGCAGGAAAACGGAAGAUGGCUUCUCCCGUGUUCACUUAGCGUAUUGGAUAUCAGAGGCGUUUCCCUGGGAACGCUGCAGCCCUGCUUUCCGGGAGAUCUGACCCGCCUCACGGUACUAGAAGUGUCAGGAAUCAAUGCAUUGAAGUCUCUACAGCUGCAUUCCUGCACAGCACUGGAAAAGCUGACAAUUAGAUAUUGCGAAUCGCUGGACGCACUAGAGGGCUUCCAAUCCCUCUGCAGUCUCAGGUAUUUGGAAGUAUACAAAUGCCCUGGUUUACCUCAAUGUUUGAAGAGUCUAUCAACGCAGGGUUAUGAGCUGUGCCCUCGUUUGGAAAGCCUUCGGAUCGACGACCCGUCUCUUCUUACCACGCCAUUCUGCAAGCACCUCACCUCUCUCCAAUGCCUACAACUCGAUCACAGAUAUACAAAUAUCGACGUGACAGGGCUAACAUAUGCGAGCAAGAGGCAGCGCUUCAGCUCCUCACGUCCCUGCAAGAGCUCCGAUUUGAAGGUUGCCGCAAACUCUCGGAUCUUCCCGUGGGUCUGCAUAGCCCCUUCUCUCUCUCAAGCGACUGCAGAUCUUUUAUUGCAAGAGUAUCUCAAGGCUGCCACAGAGGGGCCUCCCACCAUCGCUGGAAGAACUGGAGGUCAGCUUGUGCAGCGAGGAGCUAACCGAGCAGUGCAGAAUGCUAGCAACAAACAAGCUAAAGGUAAUAAUCGAUUGGAAAUAUGUGAACUGAUUACUGGGUGGCUUGUUUAGCAAACGUGUCUACCAGAACAUCAACUUUCGCGACAUCACGUUGACGCCUUGGAAGGUACAUAUGCUUCUACAGCUGACCAUGUUUAUCUUCAGGGUUUUUAUACGUGGCUGUAAUGCUGAAGUAAGAAGUCUAUUUACAGGCAUUCAAAGCUACCAUCAUAUGGCUGCAGUGGCUGUUGUCAGAACCAAUAGGAGUACCGUACGAGUAUUACAAGCUGUUCGAGCAAGUGUUGAAAGCCCCUCCUGUUUCUCCUAGGUGGCCCUGCUACAAGGCUUGUAUUGGCCAAAGAUGAGGGGCCAAAAAUGUUUUUCUUUAUUAUACUCUGUAGACUAAAAAAACCUGGAUUUGCUGUGCAAGGUUCUCUGGUUUUGCACAGGCUUUGUUCCACUUGUAAACCUUGUCCUAACGUGCUCAUGUUGCUGAAUACGGUUUUGGUCAUAGGCUUGCCGCCUUACUGAGAUAGAUGUCCAUGUCAUAUGACUGAAAGAGGCCUGUUUUGUUCCCGUGGAUGUUUCCUGUUUAUUCUGUAUACUACAGAAGGGACUCUAAGAUAUGAACAGUCCACUUUACAUCAUAAAGAAAAGAGUUGGUGUAAAUAAUCGUACCACAACUUCCUUGCUAACACAUGCAAAAUGCUCUGAAUCUACAGCAUGACAAUGCCCAGUUUUCAGCCUCUGAUGUGAUGAAGACGCUAACAUGAUGGGUUUGAAGCAACCCGUUUCGCUCUGACCCUCUGUGCUAGAGAUGAGGAUUCAUAUUAAUGAUGGUGAAGCGAUGCAGACCAGAAAUGAGUUACACCAAUUCACAAGAGUAGAAUUUGCAACACAAAUAACAAUCUUAUAUUCAAACUUUUUUUCGCAUCAGUAGAACUACAAAAAACACAGUUCCUCAAUUCAUCUAAAACCACACACACUCAAAUUAUAUUGACUUGUCGUAGGAUCAUACAUGUUCUAUGUGCUGAUUUUUGUGAUCACGUCAACCGAACCAUCUAAAUGAUACAUUCAUGGCUCAAAAAGUAUUUAUCUAUACACUUAAUUUUUACUGAAAAAAUACUCAUUACAAAGAUCUAUAUAUUCUAGAACAAUACAGAUGACAAGUUUGGCACAAGAACCACAAUGCCGAACACCUAAUUUUCAGCUAGAUCGAUAGAAGACUUGAGGUUAAAUACCAUCUACUAGAGCUAACUCGGCGCAAAACCAAUCUUGUGAAAUUAUUUGGGAAACAAAUAGUCCAUGCUCUAAUGAUCAAUCCAUUAGUUUUGUAUGGAGGGAUGCCCCAUUGUUUUGCCAGGUUGUUGACACCCAUUGCCACUUGGACAGAAAACCUACAGAUUUGGUAGUGGUAGCGACAUCUGCCAGAAAAGAGGACAUUAAAAGCAAACAAACAGAGAAACAAAGUUCUCAAGGAACUACUUAAUAUUAUUUUUGUCAAGAUAAAUGAGCUGGGAAAUCCAUCAAUACAUGGUUAGUUAAUUGUUCCUUCAUGAAGCAGGACAUUAAAAGCAAACAAACAGAGAAACAAAAUUCUCAAGGAACUACUUAAUGCAGCUGGGAACUACUUAAUAUUAUUUUUGUCAAGAUAAAUGAGCUGGGAAAUCCAUCAAUACAUGGUUAGUUAUUUAUUCCUUCAUGCAGCAGGACAUUAAAAGCAAACAAACAAAGAAACAAAGUUCUCAAGGAAUUACGUAAUAUUAUUUUUGUCAAGAUAAAUGAGCUGGGAAAUCCAUCAAUACAUGGUUAGUUAUUUUAUUUAUUCCUUCAUGCAGCAAGAAUUUACAACAAGUUAACUUAAUCUGUCCACAGACUAUACUUCACUUAAGAUUUCUUGUUUGCAACUAUAUAUUCAGAUUAGGUCAAAACAUGCCCAAAUAUGGAUGCAUAUCAGUUUUGGAGUUUUCCUUUAGCAUUUUCUCCAGUACUCUCAUAGAAGAACACUUAAGGUGGUAGAUCUCAAGCAAGGCAACAUAUCAAAAUCAGAAUGAAUAUAAGGCAGGAGACAGAUGACUGAAAUGGACAGUUCCUACAGAGUUGAUGAUUUGUAUAGGCCACAAUGCCAUGAAUAAAAGAGAGGUCACGAACCUUAUGCAUCAAACUCUACUGUUCGAUGAUCCAAAGUCCAAACAUGACGUGAUGUUGCCUUCUCAAAAACUCACCUGAUUAUGCAACUGCCCGAUGGUCCCUUUCUCUGCAUACAAGCAACUAUUUAUUCAGUUCAGAACUUUGAACACAACACUGAGGUUCCCAUGAGGCCACGGCCAAUUUUCUAGGAAUAAGUACGUCAUUAUAGCAGUAAAUAAAACUUCUUAUAGAAGUGGAUGAGUGCAGUGUGAAGAUGAACACACAAGUAAUAUACAUUCAGGGCAAACCGCAAUUUCAUGAAAACCAGUCCUGUAGCAUGAAAGACUAUUGCUUCCAAUUGAAGGAGAAAAUCCUUUUAAAUUAAACAAAAAGAAACUAAUUAGCUCGGUUUGAGCAUACAACAUGGAUAGAAAUGUAUGAAUAUAUUUUUUAUUAUAUUGAGGCAGUAGGAGGUAGUUACUGGGGUAAGAUUCAUAGAUGACAAGGAAAUGUACACACUGUGGAGCUGGUUUGAUAGCACGAAAUACAUAAAUGAUAUCUGUUGAGUCGCAUUGCAGGCCACCAUAAACAUCAUGAUUUACACAUGGAUGCAAAUUCCAACUGGGAGACAUAACUGCCCCUCUUAUGCAAUGCAGGUGCUUCAGCUUCUCUUCUUCCAAACCAGAUUGUCAAACUGAAAUGGAGUAACCUAAUGGUGAAAAAAAACCUGUGGGCUCGAGACCUUUGGGAGAACAAUCUAUAAGUACAAGUACUGAGGUUCACCCACUUAAAGAGGGAACGAUGAAACGGAGCAAAGAGUCAAUUGGGUUUGUAACCAUUAGUACUAUAGUUGGAUGACUGAAAAUUGCGGCACAAACAGACCCGUACUCCAAUCAAUCGAUAAACUGUCUAAGAGAUGGAAGUCUCACUCACCGGUUCCGUACCUCUUGCUCUCUUGCUCUGAGGAUUCAGCUGACUUCACCGGAGCCCGGAGUUCUAGAACAAGGGAUGUUCUCCUGUACAUUAACCCGCAGGUGCGACCUCUGGGCGUGAUGUAGGCUGGGGUGCUGCAAAACAAUGAGAAGAGGAAUAGGAUUAAUCUGACAGAGACCAUAGUGUCGGUAGUUUAGCGCAGAGCACGAUUAGGAACCUACCAGAAGAAAUCCUGGCUGGGGAUGCAGCAAUCCUUCCCCUCGACUCCUCCAUGGGCUCAUCCGUGUCCAUCUGUGAGCUAUCCUCCUUGCCUAGGAACGCCUCGAAGGGCGUGAGCCCAGCGGCUGUGGCGCCGGAGCGGCAGUCGGAUAGGAAGCAGAUGAGGGAGACGUGCUCCAGCUGCAUCGGGGGCUCACCCGACGGCGAGCUCCCCACUGCUGUCGCGACCUUCGCCUUCACCGCCGUCCCGCCGGGGUCGCAGUGGCAUGGCGCGCAUUGCCGCUGUGCGGCCGCGGGGUCUUCGUCGUCAGCAUCGCCGGCGGACGAGCGGCGAGUCAGUCGGAGGAAGAACCCCACGGACUGGGCCCUGGGCCGGCAUACUCGUUUGGGCCACUGGUGUUGGGGAACAGCUGGUAGCGUCGGAGGUUAUCCUUCACCUGAGGAACCUCCGACGCCUGAAGCGUCGGAGGAUAUGUUUCAUCGGGAAAUGCUAAUGUUGACGACUCGUCUGGUCGUGCUAAGUGUGUGCAGAGACUGAGACACCGGCGGAGGUCCACGAGCGAGGAAAGGUGGGAACCUCCGACCCUCCCAGGUCCGAGGAUGGCGGGAGAACGCAGCCAGGCCGAGGGACCUCCGACUGGACCAGACUAAGGAGGAACUCCCGGAGUGGCCGGGUCGAGCAACCUCCGGCCCAACCGGGCUGAGGAACCUCCGACACGAAAGCGUCGGAGGAUCCGCGACUGGGCGGAGGAUCCAAGCCUCCGACCAGCUGAGGCCCCAGUCAGAGGAUGAACGAAGGGCUUGCAAUGUGAAAUUACGCAGGUGUAUUGGGGUCAGUACACUGCGAUGAAAGAAUAUACUGGAAUAUUCCCCCACCGUCACGGGGCAUUUAUGUAAAUGUCAUUAGGUCGGUUUCCGGGCCCUAUAUAAGAGGCGCGAUACCGCCAUUAAUAAAGGGAGAGAGCAUUCACUGUUUUCACCUACUACUGAGCCUACUAUCCGUUGGAGCUCAAACCUCUCACGGCACCGAGUGAGAAGGUUCACGGUUCACCGUACUGCUGGGGAGUGCGGAGGGCAUCUCCCCAACAUUGGCGCCCACCGUGGGGCCCGAAGUAUAACCUGCGAUGGCUGGAAAGAGAACAAGCACCACAAGACCUCGGGCAGAGCCCUCCAGGAGAGGAAGGCCGAGGAGGGCCGUGCGGAGCACGUACGCGGCCGUGGAGGGAGAAGGUUCUGAGGGCGGGCAGCCAGAGAACGAGCAGCCGGAAACACGCCAGGAACCUCCUCCCGCCGCGGGCCCGACGCAACCCACGGCCACGCAAGAGCUCCAGCAGCUGCAAACGCAGUUGCAGAACCUUCAGCAAGAGCGAGACCGGAUCGCUGCUGCCUACGCCGCCAGCCAAGAAGCAGCGGUGGCCGCGACGCAAGCGGCCGAGAUCAGGCAGCAGCUUUCACUUCUGCAGGCAGAAAUCCUCAGCAUGCAACCUCCACCUCAGCCGACGAUCCAGCCCGCUGUUCUGACCAGCGCCGGCCCGACAUUAGAUGUGCAACCGGCAAACUACGGUGGCAUGCUGCGGGGCACGUUGGACCUUCGUUCCCCCUUGUCCGAAGGAUUGCAGACCUCGCCUUGGCCAAAAACCUACAAACCUAUCACGCUCCCUAAAUUCAGCGGAAAGGCAGACCCGCGCCAAUUCCUGAUGAGUUUCGAGGCAGUCGUGGCCUCAGCUGGAGGGAAUGAAACUGUGAUGGCAAAAUCCUUCGUGAUCGCAGCCGAGGGAGAUGCCUUGGCGUGGUACUCGAUGCUCAGACCCGGGUCAAUCUAUUCAUGGGAGAACCUUCGAGACAAGAUUUUAGCGAAUUUCCAAGGAUUCGCGGUUGAAUCACUAACCUCCACGGACCUGUUCCAGUGUCGUCAGAAUCAGGGAGAGGCACUGCGGGAGUACUUCCAAAGGUUCGUGCAGACUAAGGCGAGAGCACCCGGUGUGCCGGAGGAGGUUGCCAUUGAAGCGGCCAUCAAGGGUCUUCGCAUAGGGCCCUUCGCGGCUCAUUUGGCCAGAGAAAAGCCAGCAUCCAUGCACGAGCUGUACCACGAGUUUGAGAAGUAUUGCAGGUCAGACAACGACUACCGCAAAAGGUUGGAAGACCAAAACUCUCAGAAGAGGCAGAGCAAUGAUAGAAAUUCACAGAAGAAGAACCUCAGCCAGGAUGAACGCCGGCCACAGCGAGAGGCUGGUGGACAGAUGAUGAAUAUCGAGCAACCGAAAAAUGACAGGCCGGAAAAUAACCGUCCACCAGCGGAAGCGCGAAGCUCGGAACGCAUACCCAAUCAAGCCGUAAGAGGGGGUCGAAAUGCGGGAUGGCGGAAAAAUCAAAGUCAGCGACCAUGGAAACAGUAUUGCUUCUUCCAUGGAGAGGAGAAGGGUCACUCCACCAGAGAUUGCCCAGAUGCAAAAGAAACUCAGGAGAGGAUCAAGAGCAGGUCAGCUCCGCAACCUCCGAUACCAGUUGCUCAACCUCGGGAAGUAAAUCACACAUUCCCUCAAACCUUCUACCAUUCAUACGUCGGAGGUUCAAGCCAGCAGCACCCAGCUCCACUUCAGCCCAGCGCGCUAGCCUCCGCUUACUAUCCCAGCUUCCUACCAGCUUGGCGCCCAGCCCAGCAAACCGCGGACCACAACCUUCCACCAAACUAUGUUCCUCCACGACCUCCACAUAUUACGUACAUCGAAAACCCGCAACCCUGCCAGCAGUCACUACCUCCUCCCCCAAACCAGCUACAGCUACUCCAAGCCCCACCACCACCAAAAACCGAACCCCACCCCGAUAAUCAGAUCGGCCCUCAUACACCCCUGCCCACGAUUGGAAUGAUCUUACCAAUAGCUGGAGGGUCUUCAAUGGAGUUCCAGACAAAGAAACAGAGGAAGGAUCACCUCCGGCUCGUUAACAACGUUGCAGUUCAAGGGCCAGUAAGAUGUACCGAUUGGUCCAGAACCCCAAUAACUUUCACCGAGGAAGAUCUAAGAUUGGAAAGCUACCCUCACACAGACGCCUUGGUCAUAACAACAAAUGUUGCGGGUUGGGGAGUAAGCAGGAUCUUAGUGGAUUCAGGGAGUUCCGCAGACAUAAUAAUUGCUGGAACCUUUGACCAAAUGAAGCUCAUUAGAAGCCAACUCCAACCUUCGGAGUCACCUUUGAUCGGGUUCGGAGGAAAGCAGAUACAUGCUCUGGGGAAGGUCGCCCUGCCCGUAUCCUUCGGCACAACGGAGAACGCAAGAACAGAGUAUGUCACCUUCGACGUGGUAGACUUGCACUACCCAUACAAUGCCAUAUUCGGGCGAGGAUUCUUGAACAAGUUCAAUGCGGCUGCUCAUAUGGGAUACCUGUGCAUGAAAAUCCCGGCUCUGCACGGAGUGAUAACGGUUCACGGAAGUCAAAAGGAGGCAAGGAACAUAGAGAAAGCAAUCUACAAGUCCUUCCGGAACAUAAACUCCGUAGACUCUACGCAGCAUGAAGCUUCCCAGCCACCAGACAUGCCAAGGGGGAAAACAGACCUGGCUGAUCAGGAGGAAACGAAAUGUGUCCCUCUGCAGGAAGCUGUUCUAGAUAAUAAGGUCACCAUCUCCGCCACCCUCGGUAGAGAGGAGGAACUCGAAUUGCUAGACGUGUUGCAAAAGAACCAAGAUAUCUUCGCUUGGAGUGCCGCUGACCUGCAAGGAGUCAGCAGAGACAUCAUAGAGCAUUCGCUGGACAUUGAUCCGAGGAUGAGGCCGAAGAAGCAGAGACAAAGGAAAAUGUCUGAAGAAAGAACCUUAGCCGCGAAGGCAGAGGUACAAAGACUCCUGGACGCAAAGGUCAUCAGAGAAGUCAUGUACCCGGAAUGGUUGGCAAACGUAGUCCUGGUCCCCAAGAAAAAUGGCAAAAUGAGGAUGUGCAUCGAUUUUACGGAUCUCAACAGGGCUUGUGUCAAAGACUCCUUCCCCUUGCCAAGGAUAGAUACCUCUGUGGACAAAGCAACUGGUUGUCAGAGAUUCUCACUGCUGGACUGUUUCUCCGGAUACCACCAAAUUUGGCUCAAAAAAGAAGACGAAGGAAAGGCAAGCUUCACAACCCCAUUCAGCACGUAUUGCUACACCAGAAUGCCAGAGGGCCUCAAAAACGCUGGAGCAACCUUCUCCAGAAUGAUGGGGAAGGUUCUAGGAAGUCAGCUGCAGAGAAACAUUAUAGCUUACGUCGACGACGUUGUCGUCAUGAGCAAGCGCAAGGAGGAUCAUAUCAAGGACCUUCAGGAGACCUUUGUCAACCUUAGAUCUGCCGGACUGAAACUCAACCCGGAGAAAUGUGUAUUCGGGGUCAGCAAGGGAAAAAUGCUGGGAUAUAUCAUCAGCUCCGAAGGAAUCAGAGCUAACCCAGACAAGACAAAAGCAAUCAUGUCAAUGGCAGAACCUUCAAACAAGAAAGAAGUGCAAAGGCUGACUGGCCGAAUAGCAGCCCUUAAUAGAUUCAUCUCAAGAUCGGCAGAACGGAGCCUCCCAUUCUUCAAAGUGUUGAGAGGAGAAGGUAAAACAGAAUGGGGUCCGGAACAAUCAAAGGCCUUCAGGCAUCUCAAGAAUUACAUUGCAACCAAUCUGGUGGUAACAGUGCCUGAGCCAGACACCCCACUACUACUGUAUGUGGCUGCCUCCGAUCACGCUGUCAGUGGUGUCCUGGUGCACGAGACAAGCGACAGUAAGGGAACGGUGCAAAGACCCGUUUACUACGUAUCUGAAGCUCUGUCAGGAGCAAAGCUGAACUACACGGAGAUAGAAAAAAUCGCGUACGCGGUCCUGUGUGCAUCGAGGAAGCUCAAGCAUUACUUCCAAAGCCAUGAGAUUAAAGUGCCCACUUCACAGCCAUUGGGUGAUAUCCUUAGGAACAAAGAGGCUUCCGGACGUAUAGAAAAAUUGGCGGCCGAACUAUCACAGUUUGACAUCACCUAUGUCCCCAGAACCUCCAUCAAAUCUCAAGCCCUGGCUGACUUCAUGGCAGAUUGGACACCUUCGAACAAAAACGAGGAGAAGGUAAUCGAUCAGCCGUGGACGCUGUAUACAGAUGGCGCCUGGGGUCAAGCGGGAGCAGGAGGAGCAGCCGUUCUAAUCGCACCAUCUGGACUCAAACUAAAGUUUGCUGAACGACUCGAAUUCAAAGCAACAAACAACAUAGCUGAGUAUGAAGGUCUCAUCCUCGGGCUGAACAAAGCUAAGGCUUCGGGAGCAAAAACCCUACUCAUCAAAACAGACUCCCAAGUGGUGGCAGGUCAAGUGGAGAAGGAAUACUUAGCACACAACCCGGAGCUGGCAAGAUAUCUGGCCGUCGUAAGAGGCCUGGAGAGAAGGUUCAAGGGAUUCACUCUGCAGUACAUUCCAAGAGCCGAAAACUACGAGGCAGACGAGCUAGCGAAAGCAGCAGCCAACAACACCCCCUUGCCAGAAGGAACCUUCCACCAGAUUGUUGCAACACCCGCAACCGAGUCGUUGCCAAAAGCUUUUCGCUCAGUCCUGCUGACAGAAAGCGAAGAUUGGAGGCAGGCAAUAGCUGAUUGCCUCGAAGGCAAGACAGCUGCAGAUGACGAAGCAAUAGCCAAGAGGAUGGAGGCAAGAGCAAGGAAUUACACCUCCAUUGACGGGAUCCUGUACAAGAAAGGCGUAGUCCAACCUUUGCUGAGAUGCAUAUCACAAAGCGAGGGCAGAGAACUCCUGCAAGAGAUACACUCUGGGAUGUGCGGGUCUCACAUUGGACCUCGCGCGUUGUCUGCUAAAGCAUUAAGACAAGGCUUCUACUGGCCAACUCACAUCAAAGAUGCUGAAGAAAUAGUGAAGACAUGCAAAGCCUGUCAAACCUUCUCACCAAUUCAAUCAGGACCUUCAGCACCAACUCAGCUUAUAUCAGCAUCAUGGCCGUUGCAGAGAUGGGGAAUGGACCUGGUAGGACCAAUGCCAACUGCACAGGGGGGAAACAAGUUUGCCGUCGUGGCCAUUGAAUACUUCACAAGAUGGAUCGAAGCUAAGCCACUGGCAACCAUAACCUCUGAAACAAUCAGAAAAUUUUUCUGGCAGAACAUAGUCUGCAGAUUCGGAGUUCCAAGCUUGCUCACAGUUGACAACGGGAAGCAGUUCGAUUCAGACAGUUUCAAGGAAUUCUGCCAUCACAUAGGAACCAAAAUUGCUUUCGCUUCUGUUUAUCACCCAGAGUCAAACGGGGCCGUGGAGAGAGCAAACAGAACAAUAUUCUCCGCAAUCUCCAAGACCCUACUCAACCUACGCAAGGGGAAAUGGGUCGAAGAACUACCCAGAGUUGUAUGGUCACAUAACACAACAGUUUCAAGAACAACCGGGUUCACCCCGUUCAAGCUCUUGUAUGGGGAAGAGGCAAUGUUGCCCGAAGAAAUCAAACACCAAAGCCUGCGUUCCAUGAAGCAGCAGCUGGCUGAAGAUGAAGAGUACUGCAAGGAAACCUUAGAAUCAAUAAGACUUGAGGCAGUGGAGAACAUUACCAUAUAUCAACAAGAAACCAAGAAAUGGAGAGACCGCAAGGUAGUACGAAAAGACAUACAAAAUGGGGACCUGGUACUCAGGAAAAAAGGAGAUCACCCAAACGCGGGUAAAUUGCAACCCAAGUGGGAAGGACCUUAUACAGCAAUACAAGCGGGAAGGUCGGGAUCCUUCUACCUAAAAGAUCUCGAAGGUAGAACCUCCAACCACUCGUGGAACGUCGACAAUCUACGAAGAUUUUACAUUUGAGUGUAAGGAUGACCCCCGCAAAAAUAAGCGACGGCAUCCACGUCCCUAAAUACGCUUGUUUUCUUUUUCUCUCUUCUUUUUCGCACUCCAAGGUCUGCACUCUUUUCCUC
RNAcentral lists this long non-coding RNA (91264 nucleotides) under Sorghum bicolor (sorghum). RNAcentral describes it as "long non-coding RNA (SBIC_LNC016764)". The record is from RNAcentral. Lineage: Eukaryota; Viridiplantae; Streptophyta; Magnoliopsida; Poales; Poaceae.